UUUUUUUUUUUGGUUAAUUAUAAUAACAGGGCAAAACUCGAAUAAUCAAUACGACUAGUACGACCCGAAUCUAGGCCACACCUAGGGCGGUGAACACACUUGACCAUCAUGUCAUCACAUGAGGUUCAAUGUAUCUUUCACGUUACACGAUUAGUGAAGAUUAAUUUUAUUGGAGUUAAUGAUUACUCAUUUCAAUAAUGUCAAUUUUAAUAUUAGAAUAAUUUUUUAUCUGAGAGUACAAUAUAAUUAAUUAUUGUAUCAAAUACUUGUUAAUAAAACAUUUAGUAUUAACUUAAAAAACAUAAAAAAUAAAAUUCGCUCUUUUAGGGUUUACCAGUUUUUUUACAAUAAAAAAAAAACUAACGUCAACUGGUUUUCAACAUGGUGCCACACAACAUUAAUGACAUUUUUGAAUAAAUUUUAUAAAAAAAUAAAAAAAAUAAAAAAAAGGCUUGAAUGGUUAAAAGAACAAAUGUAAAAUAAAUUGACAUCCAAUUUCUCGAAAUUAUCUCAUCUGUUGAAACCCCUAAGGUGUAUAAUUUAAUUGCAAAUGAAAGUUUUUUUUAUUGUUAUUCUUUUAAUUAUACAUUAAUAAAUUGAAUAAUUUUAUUUUGCAAUAAUUACAUAAAAUAGAAACACUGUAUUCAAUUUCUAUUUGCGAGUAUGUUUUGGCUCCCUUAUUUUCCUUGAAUUUUUAACCAAUUUUGUGGUGGUUUUUGUGAUGGAUUAAAUCAACUCGUUAAUAUCAAAUCCGUAAUAAUUGGUUUUGUACAUCCUUUUCUGGAAACUUUUGGCAUUCAUUAUGUAUCUCUCUCUCAUCCAGUGCGCUUUUAUGAUGUGCAAGCAGCUGUGAGAAAUCACAUUUUCAUUUUGAUUUUUUUAAAAUCUACUGCUUUUAUUUUUUUGUUGUUGUUGUUCAGUGAAUUGUGUUGGGUAGUAGUUAUUAUUUCUCCAAAAGAAAUACAAAUAGUAUUAUAUUAUUACCUCCAUUGACUUGGCGCCGCGGUGAGAAAGAAAACCCUAAUUUCCUCUUCUACAUUGAGGUCAAGGGCGAAGGGUGAUCCAGAGAGAGGGCCGGGUUUUUCACAAAUGGUCACUUUCCGGGUAAGAGCCAAAUCGUUUCUCUUUUCUCGCUACCCUGCAUCCCUAUUGAUUUCCCUGUUUUACCUUCAGAAUUUCACGAUUAUUCCUCGUUUUGGGCCUUUUUUUUUGUUUUUUAAAGAACUUUAUUUGAUGUUAUGCUUGGUUUUUAAAGUAUGGCGUAAAACAGAUUUGUUUUCAAUUCUUUUGAUGAGUUUAAUAGCAACCAAAGGCAGGAAUAAUGAAUAAUGUAAGGCGAAAAUGGAAGUUUUGAUUUACGUUUUUGUUUAAGGAUGCAGUUCCACCAGUAUCAAGUUGUUGGGAGGGCUCUCCCAACGGACAGCGAUGAGCAUCCCAAGAUUUACAGGAUGAAGCUUUGGGCCACCAAUGAGGUUCGGGCCAAGUCCAAGUUCUGGUUAGUGAUUAUUAUGAUUGCCGUCUUUUGCUUUUGGGUUUGAUUUAAUUCCAAAUUUGAGGGUUUUUGACGGUUGCAUUUCUCCUUGGAUAUCAUCAGGUACUUCCUGAGGAAGCUGAAGAAGGUUAAGAAGAGCAAUGGCCAGGUCCUUGCCAUCAAUGAGGUAUGUGCUCAAUGUUAUUUUUUGAUGGUUCACCAUUCAAUCUGUAUGAAGUAAUUUAUCAUGGAAUGAUACGUUGAAAUUUGAAUGAGACGAUCCUUUUAUUUGUAUGUUCUGACAUUUUUGUGAGAAAUAGGGUUUAUGUUGGUUAGUGCCUUAAACUAUUGUGUGUGGGAUUCCCCACAUUUAGCUUAUGAUUGUGCUAUUAAGAUGGAAAUUUGUUUUGAUCAACUUGUCUCUAGUAUUUCCUGUGAAAAACUGCGAAUUAGAUGGCAAAGAAAAAUCUAAUCUUAAAGAGUCUUUUUUGCCAUUUUGUUAACAUUUGUAGGAUUUUCAUGCAUCUUGAAUAUGAAGUUUCUGGUCUUUUGUGCUAUUUGCUUCUCUUUGUAGUAAUGCAUUUUAUAUAACAUGUUUGUGUUUUUUGAAUGUCCUUUGCACUGAGUGAUUUAAUAACUUCACUUUUUGGGACUACAUAUUUAAGGUUUUGAAUGUGAAUGCUGAUCUUGGAAUUGAAAUUGGUUUGUAAUCUUUGGAAACAAGAUGCUGCAGCUUUCUGAUACAUUCUUCAAUUUCUUUCUGAUUCCCCUUGCCCAAAUGAAAUCCUCGGCAGAUUUUUGAAAAGAAUCCAACCAAGAUAAAGAAUUAUGGUAUUUGGCUUCGCUAUCAAAGCCGUACCGGUUAUCACAACAUGUACAAGGAGUACCGUGACACUACUUUGAAUGGAGCUGUUGAACAGAUGUACACUGAGAUGGCUUCUCGGCACAGAGUCAGGUUCCCUUGCAUUCAGAUUAUCAAGACUGCAACCAUCCCAACUAAGCUAUGCAAGAGGGACAACACCAAGCAGUUCCACAACUCUAAAAUCAAGUUCCUCUUGAUGGUCAAGAAGGUGAGGCCACCUACCAGGAAGCUGAAGACAACCUAUAAGGCAUCAAGGCCCAACCUGUUUAUGUAACUUGUAUGUUUUGAUGAAGGAGAGUUAAGAGGUUGUUCGAUUUUUGGAAUUUUUGGUAAGUGAAUCUCCAUUAGUUUGUUGAUCAGAUAUUGUUUCAUUCGAGAAGCCUAGGUUGUCAGACAAGUUGAACCUGGGUUCUUUUUUGGGGCUCAUUUUUGUUCUUAUAAAUGUUGGUAUUGUUAAGUUUUUAUCUUUCAGAUGAAGUAUAAUUUAAUGUUAAAAUUCUUUUUGGUGGGGUUGGAAUUUCCCAAGGCAACUUGCGCAAGUCCAGAAACAAUUUACUUUUUUGAGAAUGGUUGGAAGCCAUUUAGUUUUAUAUAAGGAAACAAAUGUGAUCGCUCAUAAAUGAAGAGGCUAAUAUUUCUUAACCACAACCGUUCCCAUCUCAAGCAUGAACAUUUGCUAUGAAUCACUCAAUUCAAUAGCAUUUUUGUCAAGUAUUUCACCCUCUUAAAAGUAGUUUCUGGUAAGCCAAGUGGCUCUUUUUGUUGCUUUAUAACUUGUUACAAUAUUAAUUUUCCAUCAAAUACUUCACCUACCCACCAAGAAAACAAGUAUUAACCAUAAGCAUGAUCAUAUUACAUCCAUCUAACAAUUAAAAGCUGCUCCUCUCAUAAAAUGUUCCUAGUAAUAAUAAUGUUGUUCUUGGUUUUGAACUAGUACGAGAUAAGCAGGUAAUGGAGCACCAAGACUAGUGCCCCAGAAAAUUAAUAAGUAAUAUAACAUUUCAUAAUAUAGGUGAUAAACAGGACUGAUCAUGCACCCUGCAAUUGGAGGGACUUGGGGUGGGAAUGGAACUUCAGAAAGAAAAGAAUCCAAGACAGUGGGACUCGCGACAAGUCGGCUAAUCUACGUGCAAUUCAUGUAUCGGUGUGUUCUCCUAUAAUUAUGAACCACCCGACCUGGAAACUUUUAUUGGGUGGACGAUUCGAGAUCUUUAGGAGGAGAGGAGACAACAUCUGCAGCAGAACAUAUUGUUGCUUUCAAAUAAUUUGGAAAGAAAGGUACAGUGGAUAUCUGAACUGUAUAGAAAUUGAAUAAGAUGGCGGAGGAAGAAAAAAAGAAGAGGGUGGUGGUCGAAUCCCUAGGAUGGCUAACGGAAUCUUCCAUCAUGCCCAAGUUCGUAGGGCCUGGAAGAACUGCUGGAAUCCUUGACAAUGAUGAGCAUAAGCAUUUCGUAAGGUCAGGAUUUUACUUCUCUUCUCGCUAAUGUUAUGUUAAUUCACGUUAACUUAAGAUUAAAUGUUCGAUGGAGUUCACAAUUCACGGGGGUUUGCAUUUUUCCUGUUGUGCCACAGUUUGUAUAGUUGCCUAUAGCAUUUGGUUACAAGGUUAUUUGAGGUCUAAGAGAUUUAGCCACAUGGCAUAGUGAAACAAUCUCCUAGUAUCAUGCUGUUUCAUCCAUUUUCAUCAUUAGCCUUUCAUUCACCUCCCAUUAUACAUUGUUGAGUGUUCAUGGAUUUGAGGUGAAAUUCUCUUAAUAGUUUUUUAUAAUGUUGUUGAAAAUUACCUACAAAUUUGCUACGAAUUUGAGUUAAUGUCCCUUUUCGAAUUUAUUGCUACAACCACUAGUUGGCUGCCUGUUUUCAACUUGCUUAUUUUUAUGAUUUAUUUGCCUGAUGGAGUGAGAUAUAUCUGAAUAUGAUAGUCACUAGUCCAUGGAUUGUGCACAAUGUAGAGAAGUUUAUGUGUGAAUAUGGUAAUCUAAGACAUUACUGGAGGUCCUUAAGAUUGGAAAUAAUAUUAAAAAUCUGAAGUUCAAAGUCAAGAUAAAAAAUAUAAUGUAUUUGGAUUGCUUGUGAAACUGAAAGUGAAGGCCCUAAAUGAUUUAAUUGAUGUUUGUUCACAGAGAAGUUCAUGAAGAAGUCAAUCAAGCAAGGGAGAGAUUGUCUGAACUAAAAUUGCGAAGGCAAGAGCAAGCAGCAGCUGAUCGUGAGAAACUCAGGCAGGCCUAUCUUCGGAAACAAGUGGAGAAGUUGAAGUCUGCGUCAAAAACAGAACAGGCAUGAGUAGUAGAGCUGGAAAGGUGAUAUGUGACUAUGCAAAUGGAAACAGAGAGAAACCCCCAUUGUAUUAUUUACUAACUUGCAUUGAUUUCGUCCUCUGUGCAUAACAAAAUUUAGUUACAAAUCAACUCACCGGUUUUGCUCACUAGAAUAUAUUUAUUCACUGUUUUUUACCCCAUCAUUCUUAUCGAACAUAUAGCAAUUGCAGUCGUACCGCCCUCGUUUAUCUGUCAUUUUUGGUUGAGGCUGAUUGCAGCAUCAGCGUAGAAAAUGAGUGAGUUCUCUUUCCUAUUGUACAAAAUACGUUUUAGCCAAUUAACAUGUAGGAUUCUGAAUCAUUCUAGACUGUCAGCAGUUAGCUUGUUUAGAAGUAGAAUUUGGGGGGGGGGGUUAGCUAUGUUUUACUCUUUUAACUGUAAAUAUCAGCAGUUGAAGUAUUUGCUGGUAUUGUUGAUUUGAUUUAUAUGGGAAUGGCUCUUUGUUAUGAAGUUUAUUUUUGAGUAAAACAGCAGAAUGUUGGAAGUUUGGAAAUAUAAUAGAAAAAUGCGUGUGAACAAGUCAGAUGGGAAGAUCCAAUGGAAACUACAACUGCCUUUUAAAAUCAUUGUUUUCUUAAGAUUUGCACAAAUUUUCGCCCAUGUAAGAGCUCUUGCCCAUCGUGUUUAUAAACAUAUGAAACAAGGGGCCAUCUUUUCCUUGAGUGCUGUUUGGCUUGGCUCUUCCUUUGGGUAUAAAGGAUUUUAUUCUCCUGGUCCUGGAGGUCCUCCAUCAAUCAGGAUCCUGUCAAAGGGGGUAUGUGGGUGCAAAGGAACGAGGUUGUCUUCAGAAAAGGGAAUACUAAUCCUAUCUCUCGGUUAUUCUUUCAAGUAAAAUCUUUUGGUGAGGUAUGGUUAUUAGCUUUUGACAUGAAGGGCUAGAGGAGAUCAGAUUGACUCGCCUUCUUCAGGAGAAGAGCCUAAAAGGAAAAUGUGGCUAUGGCAUUGCUUUUUGCUUUAAUUCUCAAGGACAGUGGUUAUCUGCUUUAUCGAAGCAGAACCUUGAGCAUCAAGUGGCAGCCCUCAUUUUGCUGAGAGAAAAUUUCCUUCAAGUCGCAAAGAAAAACCUGAAGCUUUUUAAUUGGCAAUCCUGUUGAAAAAUUAAGAAAAACGACUCCGCUGGGGAUCGAACCCAGAAUCUCUGGUUCCGUAGACCAGCGCCUUAUCCGUUGGGCCACGGAGUCAAUUUUUGGAAUAAAGUGGCUAUUUUCAAUAUAUCAUCAAAAGUGAGAUCUAAGGUCCGAUACAAGGUUGAUCCAUAUGGGUCAAAAGACGAGAAAACACCUGAUGACCCUAAAACAUGAUUAAUACAUCUUCACACUCUCAUUAUCAACCCAUACAACUGCCAAGCAUAGCCCAUACAUCAACCAUGAUUUGUUUAUACUCGUAUCAAGUAUACAAGGGCUUGUUUAUUAGUUGGAAUGGAAAUAAGUUUUAUGUUUUUAAAAUAAGUUUGCGAUUCAGGUAAAAAAUAAUGGUGGAGUUUAGGGUUUAGAGUCCCAUAACUUAUUAUGAUAUGGCAAAACACGAUCUAAAAUUAACUGUUAGGAUAGAUUGUCCAACACUUCAAAAUUCUAUUGUAUUUAUAAACAAGGUUCAAAAUUAACUCUUCAGAUCUUGAGAUUAUUACUUCAAUUUAAACAAAAUUUAAAUUGGAUUAAGAUAACUGUGUAAUAAAAAAAUAGAAGAAAGGCUUUCUUUUUCUUUAAAUUUUGCAUUAUUUUUAACCUACACUUUGUUAUACUCCAUGUCCAUGAAAAAAAAAAAACACAAAAUUGAGAAACAUAGCAUAAAGCAACUCUACUAAACAACGAAGCCCCUAUUUUGACACACGUCUUACAUGCAUAAGAGAACAGCAACCCAUUGUCACCGCCACUAGUCGCUCCUCCUCUCCACCGCCGCUCCACCACCUCCGAGCGACGUUGCCACCUCUCUUUCGACCAUUUCUCCAUCCGCCACCUCCUUCACGCUAAACGACAAAGACUCUCUCCUCAUCAAGAACCUCCCAGUUGGCGGAACCCACAAGUUAAGCAACCCUUGUGGCCUACCCGAACUCCUCCAAACCUGCACCGUCAAGCACUGAAUCGGGUUAUCCACCGGAUCCGAAGCAUCCCCUCCUUUCAAGACAUCGCAAAGUAAAACCCUGGCACUCACCACUGGCUUCUCCCUCACGUGCCCAUGCUCGUAUAUGUCGACGUUCACCGCGGCCAACACGUCCUUCUCCGCCAGCUUGGCGUGGAACUUCACCUUCACCAAUUGGUUCCUUGUGGGGUUGGUCCCUCCAUGCUCGUCCACUUGGGUUUUGGCCAUGUGGAAGUCCUUUUCCACGUAGACAACCGCGUAGGCUCUCAUUUUGGUCAAGUGCUUCACGUUCUUGAGGUCUUGAGCUGAGAUUAUGAGAACCUCAAUCUCUCUUAGCUCAUCUUCCCCUCGUUGAAAUGUUGUCCAGCGAUCCGACAUGAUGCAGGAACAUAAAUAAUUUCUCUUUUAUUUUGCUGAACUAAACAAAAAAAAUUCCAAUUUAUCCAAUUUACUAUUGGGCUCUCUGUCAAUGUCAUGGCCCAAACUUCACAAUGUUUUGAACUUUUUUGGGUUUGGGCUUUCGAGUUUCCACCAUUUGUUAUUUUUUAAUAAAUUUAAAAUUUUAACAUUGUAAUUAAUAUUUGAUGGUUGAAUUUGAUUUUUUUUUUAAGGUUGAGGACUAAAUUAAUAAAAAAGAAGUAAAAAGUAUUAUGCUUUUUUUCAAACAUUCCUCAAAAUUUUAACAGAACAAAUUACAGCAAAGGUUUGGAACCCAAUUCGCCAGGCAUGGUUCAGCAAUCCAAUGAAGGACAGAAGUAGCCGCAUUGGUAAUAACCCAAAAACAACAUUGGCCUCACUGGGGAUUCAAGCUAUGUCCUAUGAGUAUGAUAUCAUCAUUACAGAAAUCUCUCAUGGACCCAUUCAAAGCAUGUAUGAUGUUUAUGCAGUUAAAUUUGGGGCACAUUACAAAGUUCCUCCUACACUGGAACAUGCUCUUUAUCCCCAAUAUUCCAUCCACUCAAAGUCUCUCUUUGGUGUUUUGAUUCAAGUAUUUCCAUAAUUGAAUUACUUUGAACUUUUCCCCACUUUAUUACAAUUUUCUUUUAAUAAAGGAUGAUCAUCACCAUUUUUAUUCUUUAAUAAUAUAUUAAAAUUGUGUAAAAAUUAUGAUCCAGCUAUGGGUAAAGUGCAUAGUGCUUCCAAAAGGAAUUACAAAGAAGAUGCUUAACAAACCAACCACUGCCAAUCUAAUAAUUAAUUUAUAGGUUUAGGCUACUAACCAUGUUACUUUUAUGUUAACUAAUGUCUUAAGCCUUGAGAUACCCAUAUAAUGCCCUAUUUUCUCAUGGUGAACAAUCUUUAAGCUGAUUCUCUAACAUGCUCCUCAUUUCCAAAUUCCCAACAUACUGUUUCAAAAUGAGUGAAACUUAUUGAAAUAUAUAAUAAUGGCGGCGUAAAGUUUAAGUUUCAAAAAAUAAUUCAACCAAAACCCAAAUUAUGGGAAUGAGAAUAAGCAAAAAAGCUUGGUUAGAAUGAGUUAUCAGUCCAGGCUGGUAUACAGUUUACAAAGGAAAUUAAAAUAAAAUAAUGAGAUGACAGUGCCUUGAAAUGAUUUUGUUUGUGGUUAAACCAGCAAAACAAAGCUGGCAAUUAGUUUGAAUAUUAGAGCUUCGUCUAUAAAAGAGUUCCAUUGCAGUUAAAAGAUUCUGUUCAAUAUAUACAUAUAGCUUCUCUCACUUGGGUAACUUGUGAGAAAUGGAGGGAAGCAAAAUGAGCAUGAUUUUGAUUGCCUACAUCACACUUGUUGCGAGCGGAGCGAUGGGUUUGAGGGAGGACCAAGGAGCGGUUGCACCCUCACCAAUGGAAAGUGGCGGAGUGGCUCUGGGUGUUCCGGCCGCACUUGCUGCUGCCUUAGCUUCUAUGCUUGCAUUUGGCUGCUUCUUUUGAUUUUAAUUCCUUUGGUGAAUACUGUUUUCCAGUUUCCAUUUCCUUUCAUUUGCCAACUAGUUUCUUUCUCUGUAAAUUUCAUUGUUAUUUUUAAGAAAUUGAAUAAAAUCUUGAUUUAUUUAUUCUUUUUUGUUGUUUAGCUUUCUCAUAGCAAAUCUGGAACAGGUACCGUGCUGAAAAGGGGAUGUUAAAAACAAAACACACUAACCAGAAGAAUAAAUAAGAGAAAUUUUGUUCAAGUGUUAAAACAGUUGAAUUUAUGUAGAUUUUUUCAAUCUUGUUUUUUUCUUCCGUUUCUUCAUACAACAACUCCUAUAGGCGUUUUGUGCCCAAGGCAGUAAGGGUUUUUUUCCCUCUUAGUUUUUGCGUAUGUCUAAAACUAAAUAUAUGAAUGGUCUGAAUUUUUUAUUUAAAAUUCGAAUUUGGUGUCAUACAAAUAUUUCAUGUCAAAAAUAAUUUUGCUGAAAACAACUCUUAAAUUUUAUCAUAUACAUAACAGGAAACAAACAUAAAUGUAUUAGUUAAUUUUAACUAAAAAAAAUAAAGGUCAAAUUGAUAAUAAAAAACAAUUGUAUACAUUAAUUAAUAAAGAAAACGUUUCAAAUCAGGUUCCAAAGAACCAACUUAUAAGUACUUCAUUAAAGCAUUGAUCUCAACUUUCUGCAUCUUCAGUCUCCAAAGAAUACAUGUUACAUCAAAUUCUGGAAUAUGUAAGAUUCUGAGCACUUCACAGUUCACCUAAUAUCAGCUACACGACAUGAUCAUUCUUUUAAGAUCUUAGACUAAAUCAUGAGUAUUAUAACUUUCAUGUCACAAUGAAGCAGAACCAUCAUAGAAGAUCAGCUCCAUACCUGCUUAUUUUGGUUGAUCCUGGUCUUCUCUUACAUCUUAAACUAUCAUAUGCACGGUUUCUCCAGCUAUCAUCAAUAUAUUCUCAUCUUGCAAUUUCUGAAAAUUGUGAAAAAAAAAAAAACAAAAAACUGGCUGUUAUUGCAUACCCUUCCUGUAUAUUGGCAAGUUGGAGUCCAAAACAUGAAAAUUGCUGGUGCCAGCUUCAAAAUGUUACACCAAAUAAGGGGAUAAAAAAUUGUCAAACAUCAUUUAGAAUACGAAAACUUCAUGCUAAUAUUCUCGUCUCAAACAACGAUAUCUGAACAUUACCUCUAAUAUAGACAUGAUCUCAACCCUUGAGUAAUGGAUGUCAGCUCCUACGUUGACAAUAUCCUCCACUUCUGCAAUAGAUACGGUUUCCUUGUGGUUUACACGCAUAUGCUGACCAAAUAUAGUUUUAAAAGCUUCUAUUCUGCAAUCCAUCAACAAGGAGAUACAAAAAGGAAAAUCAAAGGAACCCAUGAAACUGUAGAGCUGAUUUGGAGGGAAAACAUGUGUGAACUUGUAAUUGAAGUGUUUAGUAGGACACAGACCUUUCGACAGAACCAGUAGCAGUGGCCUGCUGGGCUAGUGGAGGAUCAUCUACUUCCAUAGCAUCUGCAGUUUGGCUAAUUUAAAGCAAAAUAAGAUAAGGUGAGCCACAUCUGGAAACAUUUUAAGCCUUUACUAAUUUGCUGAUCAAAUUUACAAAUGGAGAAGUAUCUACACUAUUCAGAUAAUCCAAUAGCUAAUAAUAAGUAAUGUUUGUUUGUAAAAUUAAGCAUUGGGCAAUUGUAAAAUCCACAUUUCUUGAAAGGCUUAUUGCGUUCUCACCCUCGACGGUCAGCUCUUUGUUUUCUCUGUUGUUCUCUUUCCCGUUCUUGUUCGCGAUCCUCCAUCUCAGUCAAUUCUUUAUGAUAAAUAGCAAAAUUUAGAACUUUCAGAGCAGCUUCGACAUCAACUUUCGUAAUCUGCCAUGAUAAAUUAUCAUGCAAUCGAAGUGUGAAUAAACACAUAAGCCCAAAAGGAAAUAUAAUGAAGCAGCCACAAGGGCCAAACAUGCAAUUGAAAGACAAACAUGAAAUCACCAUAAUAGUUUUGAUUACGGUUGACCCUAAAGAAUAAAAAUGGAAAUUAAAGAGAAAUAAAAGCAAGUUUCAGAAAAGAAAACUAUAUGAACAUUGCCACAAAUCCCAAUACCAUCAGAUUACAAGUAGAGGGCUGCUUUCUUUUUAAGAAAUCAUUACCUUUCUGCUUAACUUCAACUUUGCAUGAGCAGUUGACAGACGAAUAAUGGUUUCCAAGGUUCUAGCUGUUAUUGGAAGGGUUCCACCAGUCUACAAAUGCCAACCACAUAUCAGACUUGCCAAUUGAGGUAACUAUAUCAAGAUAUGUCAGCUGAUUAUAAAAUCAAACCUUUGCAUUUGAACUGGCAUUUCUGAGAUCUGCAUAAGCUGUUGCAAUUUGUUCUGAAGCCUGCAGAUGAGAAAACUUUAGAGUAAGCUGAGGAUAAGUAUGUUAAGAAUGGUAGGGAUCUUGGGGAGACAAGUUAACAUGUAAUGAAUGUUUCUUCCUGAGAAGACACUGCAGAAUUACCACAGUAUUUCUAAUGAUUAAAACUGAAGAAAGAGGAAGAAACUAGAAAGUAAUUCAAAUGGGAGGAUAAUCUAAAUGGAUUAAGUAAAAGAAAAGAAUAUCCACAACCUCAUCAGUUAGCUCAGGUUGAAUCCUAUGCUUUGCGUAAUGAAUAUACUUUUUGAGGAACUUUAUAGUAAGAGUAUCACGCUUCCGACCUCUUUCAGUCUUCCUCCCAUGCAGCAUUCGAUUAUACUUGACAAAAACAGAUGAGUCGGUGUCAGCUUCAUCUUCUCUUCCAUAUCUUGAACUUUCAUCAAGAGCUGCCUCACCUGCAUCAUUAACUACCUUAGUAGGUAUAUGUGCCAGUCUUAGGAACACAAGAAAACUCUUUGCCUACCUCCAUCAAUAGCAGAGCGAAACCGAUGCAUUCUCAAGACAUGCUCAGAGAUGUGACGAUCAAUAUCAGCAUCCAUUUGAUCCAAUACAAUAAACAGCAGAUCGAAACGAGAAAGCAAAGAGUCCGGAAGUCCAAUGUUCUUUGUUGGAGUCAACGAACGAUCAUACUGCAUAUUGAACCGUUAACUAGUAUAAACUCAAGAUGUACAUCCUUUCUAGCAGAGUGAAAAUGCAUCUUAGCAACCAAUAUACGCUUACAGUUCCAUAUAUAGGGUUUGCAGCAGCCACUACACUGCACCGAGCAUUCAAUGAUGCAUGGAUACCAGCUUUGGCGAUAGUUACAGUCUGCUGCUCCAUGACUUCAUGUAUCGCAACACGAUCUUGAUCAUUCAUCUUGUCAAACUCAUCAAUGCAUACAACACCUCUAUCACCAAGGACCAUGGCACCUGCUUCCAGUCUUCUUUCUCCUGAACACAGAGAUGUUUAAUUUCAUCAAAAGCACCAAAAUUUGGACUAUAAGCAGCAAGGCUAUAACAAUUGAAAUGCUUUACCUGUUUCUUGGUCGGAGGUAACAGCGGCUGUCAAACCAACACCGGAAGAACCUCUACCGGUGGUUGAAAUAGCCAAUGGUGCAAUGUUCAUGAUUGCUCUUAAAAGUUGGGAUUUUGCAACAGAUGGAUCUCCAACCAUCAUCAUGUUAAUGUCCCUGGAAAAGAGCAAGACUUUAGCUUAUGUUUAGCAUUUACCUAAUCUUAAGACAUAGUGGUAAAGCUGCAUAAAGCAUACAAUCAGAAAAAUCAAGAUGCAGUUGAAAGGAAGGAAUAACAAUCAGUGGGGCAACUAUUUAUCAGAUAUAAUAUAUAACUUCAAAGACACUUAAAUAGUAAGAGUACAACUAACCCUCUUAAAUGAGUGCCAUUCUUCAAAUUCUUUUCCACUCCACCAAGCAUCAGUAAAACCACAGCUUUUUUUAUCCACGAAUGCCCAUAUAUUGAAGGUGCAAGGGAGUUACCAAGCAAAUCAAAUGUGUCAUCUCUCUCUGCUAUCUUCUUAAUAUUUUUCAGGUCCUCUGGGCUGUAGAUAGGUGCAUUAGCUUCUUUGUUGAGCAGAGAGACAUUAUUAGCUAUAAGAACAGUCCUGCAUUGAAAAAUUACUCAGUCAGGAUUUGCAUAUUGGAAAAACUGAGUUAUAAUGAUUAAAAUUUUCUUCCAAAUGAUGCACUACAUAUGUGAUACCUGAAAACACCGUUCACACUGCCCUUACUUUUUCCUGGAAGAGCUUUAUAUAUCCCUACAAUAGCCACACGAUCUCCAGGCUUGCAUGAAUCAACCAGGUCAUCCUCAACUAUGGCAUCAACGGUUCGAGGAAGCUGACCAGGAGCAGCAUUUUCAGGUACUUCUUGAAUCGACAAGGUCUGGUGAUCUUUAUAUUGGCACAAACCAUAUUCAGUCACCAAUAAGUUUCCAUUUUCAUCCUGAAAGAAUAUUCCCCACGAGACAAUGCUUAAUCCAAUAGCCAUACAGAUAUGAGGAGAUCUAGACAAUGGAAAUUACCCUGGUAGGAUACACGGAUCCGGUUGGCAAACCAUUGUUGGAGGUGAUGUCUCGAUAUUCCCUAACGGUGAAGUUUUCAGUGGCAGGACAAAAGUGAACACUUUUAACAACCUUCGGUCUUACCAGAGAACCUAAAUUGAGAUAGGAUCAUGUUAAUACAAAGCAAAACAAAGAAAAAUCAUUUAUAGGGGGAGUUCCCAAAAGCAUUUAGCGAAUUUUCAAUACCCAAACUAAUCAGUUUUUAAAGCAUGUGCCUCCUUUUAACAAAAUCCUAGAUUCAACUUUUAGCACAUUAUAUGAACAAACAAAUAGUAGUGUAAUUAUGCUUCAACUUGAAAGGAAGCAAAAAGAGCGGAGUAUUCGAGAGUAACGAUACAUUUGGUAACAAUGCCAACGACGCAGACCAUGGAGCCAAUAAAUUCGGAAAGGAGCUCUCUGGGUGUGACGCGACGAGAAACAAAAGGACCUUCAAAUCCCACAUGAACUAUUUCCCCUUCUUUCAAGUACUUUGGGUCAAUACUUUUAGCAGCUUCAGUCACCGCAUCGAAAAAUGGUUGCAUAUAUUCACUCGGAUUCUUCAGAAUCCUAAAAACUCAAAACAAUGAAGAAAAAACUCAAAUCAGUUUAAACAAGCCAACGCUUAAAAUGAUGAGGAGAAAAAGAAAAGGAAGUUCUGCGAGAAGAGAGCGAACCUAGUAGCCAAGUUGUUAAAAGAGUGUAGAUCGGAGAUGUUGACGAUGAGACGGCGACGCUUGUGAUUUAUCAUUGCCUUGAUUUCAUCUUGGUAAAUCUGAUCGAACAAACAAACAAAAAUGAAACCGUUAUUAACAUUGAUAGUGUUUAAAAAAAAAAAACAGAGAACGACUAGAAGAGAAGGUAAUGGGGGAAAGUACAUCUUGAGACAGGAAUUGGCUGAUAUCUUUCUUCCUAUCAGCAUAAUCUUGAGCUCCCAACUCCAUUUUUUUUUCCUUCUUACUGUACUACAGUAUUGAGACCAAAGUGCUAAUUCGAUGAGCUACUUUUCCUUUUUCUUCUUCAGCCCUAGACCCUGGUUUUGGCGGGAACAAGUGAGAUGAUGGCUGUUUUGGCGGGAAUUUAGUCUUUGUAUAUAUAUUAUAAAUAUUGUGCGAAGCGUAUAACAACUAGGACUUCAUGACCCAAUGAGUAUGGCGCUGGUCUACGGAUGAAGGGGUUCUGGGUUCGAUCCCCAGUGGAGGUGGAUUUGCUUAUUUUACUUUGAUUUUUGGUAUUGUAAUCCAAAAUAAAUAUUGGGCUCCCAUAAAACCCAUCUGUUAUGAAAAUCCGGAGGCAGAGGGCUUACUGUUAUUUCGCUGAUUAUUUGAGAGUUAAUGAGUCUUAUUUUAUCAUUUUAAUUCGAUUGAUAUUGAGUUAAAUUUAAAAUUUUAACAUUCUUUAGAUUUUUUAAAAUUUUUAUAUAUUUUUUUAAAAAAUAAAAAUUUUGGAAUUUUUAUAAAUAUUUAAAUAUUGUUUUUUAUUUUUGUUAAGGCUUGAGAGUGACCAAUUUGCUAAUUUUAAAAAUCGACGGGAACUAAAAAGAUAUUUACACUAAUCUGUUAUUCGACUCGAACUCAAAACAAGACUUGAAUAAUUCAAAAUUUAAAAUCUUUUUCUUAAUUUGAGUUUUACUCACCCCUAAUUAUUAUCAUGAACUAUUACCUCAAAUAUAUGGUGAUUAAUCAUAUCUAGUUAUUUAUUAAACUUCACAACCAUUCCAACAGAACCACAAAUUACAUUGAAUAUGUUUCAAUUUAAUUUAACACCAGUAAAGGUCGAUUGUGCAUUAAAUUAUAGUGUUAUUGCUUUUGCAGAGAUUGGGGGUUCAAAUGCUGUCGAGGGAAUAAAGAAAUCAGACGAUGGUCUGCGAAGAGAUGUAAGAGGGAUGUUAAGGAGUCUUUGGUCUGGUAAGGAGGUAAAAGGAGGAGGAGAAGAUCCCUCCCCAAGGUUAAAGGGCUUAACUUAGAUCGGUCACUUAAAGCAGCACAGCCAGAGAGGUUCUGUUUAGGCGGGAAUUUACCCAAUAGUUUAUAAAUCCAAUCAAAGUAGUAAUGAAGAGCAACCCAGUUCACAUGAUACGUAUUUAAAACAGAACAAAAUCUCUCCUUCAUUAAUUGCCUCGUCAAAUAUUGUCGUGUUGGUGUUGAAAAUAUACGAGUUCACCAAUUCCUAGGCUAAAGCUAGAAUUCAACUCAAAAUCAUUCCGAAACUGACAAAAUCACAAAUUGGCUCUCACGAAAAGUUACACAAGGAUUGAAGCAGCCUCCACAUCCACAAACAAAUACCUGACUCGCUCUUUUAACGAUCAAUAUUCUCUAUCAUCAUCUUUCCUAACAAAUGCAGAACACGUAAGUAACAGACUUUCAUGGCUUGAAGGCUGAAAAUGCCACCACCGAGUUGUGUCCUCCAAAUCCAAAUGAAUUUGAGAUUGCUGAAUCCACAAGAACAAGUCGAUUAGAAUUACAGAACACACAGGUUCUGGAUGAUCCGGAUCUAUCAAAAUGUAAGUAUAUAGACAGAGAUGGUGUGCUUCCCAAGAAAGGAUAAAGAGUCUUACCAACAUUAACCUCGUGCUGCUGCUUUUUGUUGGCAACAGUGUCAAACUCAACUGAUGGCUCUGGAUUCUGCAUUCAAAAAAUUUAGCACUUCAAGGUAUCUAAAGAGAUCUAGCAUUUAAACAUGAAGUAGAGGAAAGAACCAAAUAUAUUUUAAACACUCCCAAAAUGUUCUUUUCCAAGUAGUAAAAAAAUAUUGAGUUACCAAAAAGGGGUGCCAUAAAUAAACAUAAAAAUUUGAAAAAACAAAACAGAGUUCAGGCGGGGUUUGGUCCCCAUUAAAUCAAAUAUUCGAGACUUGGUAGACAAUUUGAAGAAAAAUUAGUAAUGGGGAAUUACUGUAAAUAAAAGUUUUAAAGAAAAAGGAAAACCGAUAAAUGACCAAGACUCGCACACACUAUCUUAAGUUAGUUUUAAUACACUUUACAGAACAAACAAGGUGCAUUAAACAGGAAACUGGCACAUACAAAUUGGUUUAUGGAGGGAUGCAGCCAUCCCGUGGUAAUGGCUUUCACAGUGGCAAUGGCUUCUAAACCGCCUGCUGCACCCAGACAGUGCCCUAUCAUCGACUGAAACAAAAAGCAAAACAUUUAGCCAAUAGCAAAAGCGUAACAUCACAGCAUGGUAAUCUCAAAUUUUGCAAGAGAAAGAAAAGGUACCUUUGUUGCAUUGAUUUUGAUGCCAGAUGUAUUCUUGAAUACCUUUUUAAUAGCGUUUAUCUCAGCCAGAUCACCAGCAAGAGUAGAAGUUGCAUGUGCAUUUAUGUAGUUUACCUGAAAUACGGAACUUACUUAGUUCGCUAAUUUUUCCACCUUUGGAACCAUGCAUAAAUUUUAGAAAACACAUAUAUUCUUAAACCUAUUAUUGAUGUGAAGUCAACAACACUGUGUUAACUAGUCACUAUAAUGAUUUAUGAACCGCAACCAUUAGAACGGUUCUCUACAAUCUCACUUAAAAUUGGAACCUGGAUCUAAUAGAUAAAAUAGAAGUUAACUCGAUACAGAUUUUGUGAAGACAAGCCAAAGACAAACAUUAAAUGCACCAUAAAACAUAGAAUUUGGAGUGCUAUCGAUUCACCCCCGCCCCCCAAACUCUAAAUGCCUGCACAGGAGUCAGCAAACCUAGAUAGAAAGAAACAACAUAACAUGGGAGAAGAGGAAUAUCUAGAAACCAGAACAACCUAACUGGAUUUUCGCACCAUAUAUUAAGAGAAUUGGUUGAAAAAGCAUAGAAUCACCUCUUCAGGAGACACACCAGCAUCUUCAAGGCUUCUCUCAAUGCAUGAAGACACCCCAAGACCAUCAGAUCUUGGAUCAGUCAUAUGAUAAGCAUCACAAUUAACAGCUCCACCUAAGUACUCAGCAAUAAUUGGUGCACCUCUUUUCAUGGCAUGUUCCAAGCUUUCCAUUACCUGGAAAGCAAAAUAAACAACUCAUUAUAAAAGGCUAUGGCAUUUCCCCCAGUUCAAGAUCAGUAAGCAAGUAACAAUCAAGCCAAGAAUCUAUAUGGAAAAGCAGCAUCCACUGACUCAAGACCAUGUCUCAUUAAUCAAGUAGUUCAAAGUGAUAAAAAGAGGGGGAAAGUAUGCAAGUAUAACUGGAAAACUUUUCAUGAAUUCCCAAGUCGGUGAAAAUUUAUACUUCAUUCCUACAAAAGACCACAAUAAUGCGUAUAAAAGUUUACAUAGAUAGUGAAUUAGGUUCCAUCAGUAUAAAACAACACAAUACAAUGGCAAAGAUUUUGAUAUUGUAAAGGAAGUGUUCAGCCCCCUCCCUUCACCCCCACAUAGUCAGACUCCCCAUCAGGCCACAAAGCAUCUCUUAACAACAGUAUCAAGGAUCACCAAUGGAGGCAAAACAAGGUGCUAAACAGGCAUAAACAACAUAACAACUAAAAAAGAAGUCAAAUGAUGCAUAUAAAGGAUUAGUAUGUAAACUUACCAAUACUCCAGCACCCUCACCCAUAACAAAGCCAUCUCGGUCUUCGUCCCAUGGUCUUGAAGCAGUUUGAGGGUCAUCAUUUCUUUGAGACAAUGCCCUGCAGGCAACAAAGCCCCCCAGCCCAAUAGGAAUAAUUGCAGCCUCAGUUCCACCAGCAAUCAUCAUUUCAGCCUCACCUCGACGGAUGUGGUUGGCAGCAGCAUAGAAGCAAUAAUUGGAGGUAGCACAAGCAGUUGAAAUUGAAUAAUUUGGACCCAUGAGACCAAGAUCAAUGGCUAGCAAGGCAGAUGACAUGUUUGUUAUAGCAUAGGGAAUGAAGAAUGGUGUUAUUUUUCUAUAGCCUUUCUCUAUCAGAUUUUGGACGCCAUCAGAGAACACCGUUAGACCACCCAUACCAGUUCCAACUAGCACUCCAGCUCGCUCUUUAUCGAUCUGCAACGUAUACAAAAUUCUGUAAGCAUUACAGGGAGAAAAAGUAGUAAAGGAACAUUAUUUAACGAAGCACCGCUAACAAGAGCCGAAGCUAAAUCACAAAAUAAAAAGUGAGUUGAUAAUCUAAAAACCAGACGAGAGAAAUAAUGAAUCCACCGUCCUGUAAGCACUCAUGUAAUUCUAAGAACAGAUUUCACUCUCAACAUAUCUUUUUCAUUCUGUAGGGUAGGAUUGAUGCAGGCGACUAUACCGAUGCUAUAAAACAUAAAACCCCAGUAAAUAUGCUCACAAAAAAUAGAAAUCAAAUAAAAUCAAUAAUGCUAAAAGAACAAUCGGGUAACAAGCACAAAAAGCAUCAGGGUUUGUAAAGUUAAAUUAAAUCUUGCUGAGGUUCGAAAGUCAUGCAAAUAAAGAAGCAACUCUUUCUUGUGAAAAUCGCACAUCAAGGCAAGCCAAGCCAAUAAAGGAAUAAACUUUGGGUCUCUAGUUCAGGAAUAAAACAUACAAAAAUGCAAAUCACUAGCAAAACAGCCCAAGUAACAAAACCCAACAAGCAAGAACCACUGAAAAACCCACCUUGGAUAACUUAUCGCCCCCGAGAUCAGCAUCUUCCAAAGCCUUCUUUCCUGCAACAAUGCAGUACCUCAAGCAAUCGUCAAGUCGCCUAUCGUUCUUUCCGUCAAUGUAACCCUGAGAAGAGAAACCCCGGAUCUGACCGGCGAACCGGGUAGGAAACUUGGAAGCAUCGAACCGGUCGAUGAGUCCGAUCCCGCUUUCCCCAGCCAGCAACUUAUCGUAAUAAGCAUCGACAUCAUUCCCAAAAACGGAAACCAAUCCCAUACCCGUAAUAACGACCCGUUUUUUGGGGUCCUUCUCGCGCUUGGGAGCAGAUACGGUGGGGGAUGAAGCGGUGAUGGAAGAGAAUUUCUUGGUUGGCCUGGGAACGAGUCUCGAUGCAUUGGGGAAAUGGAUAUUGAGUUUGGGUUUUUGGAGAGGUUUUAGAGGGGAAGCUCGAAGAGAUGAGGCUUGAAGAGCUUCCAUGACUCGUGGGAACUGGGGAAAGUGCUUAGGGCGAUAAUAACAAAGUGACACUGAGCAACCAAUAAAAACGAAAGCUUUACUGUAUAUAUAGUCAGAGCCUCAAAUCUGGAUUGUGGAACUACUUAGAGGGCUGCCUCCAACUGCACUUAUGACUCACCUUACCGGCCGCCCAGCCACUGGGACGAGUUUAUAUAGCGAGGCUAUUAUCCACACGUUAUUUUAUUUUUAUUUUUGUUCAUUCGUGUAAAUCCAACUUCAUAAAUUCACUGGAAGGUGCAACUAAUCCUUAUACAUUCCGGAUUUCAAUCCUUUGGAAUGUCAAAUUAUUUCAUCCUUACACUAUAAAAAUGUUUAUUUUAUUUUAAAAUAUGGCUUUUUCAGUUUGAUUAUAAAUUAUAAUGAAUAUUUAUAAUUAUUUCAAUAUACAUUAUUUCUAAUUAUGCUCGUAUUUUUUAUUCUUUAAUAAUUAUUAUUAUCUUAAUAAAGAAAGUUUUACAGUUCUAUCCAAUCAUUUUUCUCAUAUAAUUUAUCUUAAGAAAUAUUUAAUGGAUCGUAAGUGCAUAAAUUUUAUGUACCUUUCUAGAAUAAUAUCAUAAUAUUUCUUUAUUAAAUGAAAAACAGUAGAGAAAUGUCAAUUGAGUCUUAAUUUAAUUGGUAUGGGUAAUAUUAUCAAUACAAAAAGAUAUUGUUUCGAGUGCACUGAAACACAAUAUCUUUUUAUUCAUGAGUUGGGAGGGGUUAUACCUAAUUAUAGGCAUUGUGUGGUGGAAAACUUAUAAAUAAAUCUUGAUAACUUUAUUUAAACACAAUUAAAUAAUAAUUAAUUAUAAAUAAAUACUAAAACCUUGAACUUUAUUUACAAGUCCUUCGUAGGCUUUUGUUUAACUUAAUGAUAAUGUAUCAUAUUAUUAUUCACGAAUAGUGCAUGAGAUUUAUACACCAAUUAUGUGAGUAAAUUAAAAAAAAUGUUUGUUUUAAAACAUAUUUAGCAAAAUAGGUCGUUUUUUUUUUCAAAUUUAGAAAAAUAGGUCGAUUUUGGAGAGAUAGAUAGAAAACCCUUAUUGCAGGAAGCGUUUUCAGCUGGCAUAUUGAAAAAUACUUUCUACAAAACACAUUUUCUUUUGGCACAUUAACUCUCUUAGUUAGAUGAUUGAAUGUUAGUGAUUUUGUCCUUUAGUCUCGAGUUUGAUUUUUUUCUUACUCACAUUUGUAUUUUUUUUAUUUCACGUUGUUUUAAUUUUUUAAUCUUUAAUUAAUGUUUUUUAAUUAAUAAUUAUAUUAUUUUCAAAUUUUUAAUUCAUCUUUUUAAUUAAUAACUCUUUUUAUUUAUAUAAAUAUGUAAGUAUAUAAUGAAAUUAUAUAAAUUUUUACACAUUUUAAAAAAAAUUUUGAAUUAAUGUUAUCAAUUAAUAAUUUUUUUUAUUUUUUAAAAUUUAUAGUUCUUUUAGUUAUAUAAAUAAAAUAAUAAAUAUGUAAUUAUAUAAUGAAAAAUAUAAAAUUUAUUUAUAACUCUUUUUAAUUAAUGAUAAAUAUAAAAAUUAUAUAAUUUAGUUAUAUAAUUACAUAAUUAUUAUUUUAUUUAUAUAAAUAAAAGAGUUAUUAAUUAAAAAAAAGUUAAAAACACUAUAUUUAUUAAUUAAAAAUUAAAAAGAAUAAAACAACAUAAAAUAAAAUAUACAAAUAUGAAGAGGAAUGGAACUUGAAAUUGAAUGAAGAGUUUCAUAGAAAGUGUUUUCCAACAUAUGUGCUGAAAAUGCUUAUUGAAGAAAGUAUUUUUUUUAUUUCUUUGUCCAAAUGAAAAAAAAAAAAACCGAUCUACUUUACAAUUUUUCCUAAUUUUCCGCCAGAUUAAAUAUUAUUGCUUGCUCAUUCUUGAACAACUAUUUGUUUCUAUCCAGAACAUUUCGCUUCUUAAAAGGUUCGGAUUAUGUUAGUAUGAUAGUAUCAACAUCCAUGCACCAUACAUAUUUCUCCAAUACAACUCAUCUCAUUUUCUCUCUAUAAACAAUUAAUUUUUCCCAAGUAUAUCUACACGCGCAAAUAUAAAUAUAUGUUGAAUUCCUUGUUCCUUUCAAUGGCAAUCAAUCCUCCAAAACUUUCGGCAUACAAAAGAAUAAAUUUAAUAAAAUAAUUUAAAUAUUUAAAAUAAACAAAUUUUAUAAUAGAUUAUUCUACGUAUCAACGAUAAGCAUUAAAAUAUCAUCUUUAAUCAUGGGCAAAGUUGCUCGUAUGAUUUUCAUGAGUUAUUUGUAUAAAUAUUUUAAGGGAGAAUAGCCGAGAUAUCAAAUCAAUGUAUGGAGAUGUCUCUAAUACUUGUCAAAACCAUGUAUGUGAAAACUCGUAGCUUAACUUAUAAAAUAGUGUAUAUCUUGAUUAAAUAAGUCACGGUUUUGUCUUCAGAGUUUCUCCUGACAUUGAUGUGUUGACAUUCAUGGCAUUUCUGCAAGAGGAAGAAGACGCAAAUGUUUGUCAAUGUUGCCACUACUUUUGUGGAUUUAUAUGACCUGUUUAGGCUUGCUGAAGUUUUUUAGUAAGCUUGUAUAGAGAUAUCAUGACAAUAAAAAAUAUUAGUGCACGGCAUAGGACGCCAACGAUAUUGAUGGUUGAUUGUUCAUAUUCAAGCUCUGGACUUGAAAAGGGAAUUAAAAGUUACAUGUGAUAUUGCAAGCCAGAAAGGAGCAGGGUUUGGAUCCGGCUGUUCAUAGUAAAUAUUCAUGGAUUUUAUGCCUACUGAGAGCUGCAGCUGCUGCUUUCUUCUUUUUUGAAAUUCCCCUCGUCCUCUAUUACUUGAAUGUUGGAUCAGGGGAUUAUGCCUUCUUCUUCUUCUUUUUCUGAGUUUGUAUUGUUUAAUAAAACAAUUAAAUCCCAGCCUUGAUGCAUAUUUCAUUCUAGCUUUUAUACCAACAUAAUUUUUAGUUUCUAUAAUUAAUAAAAAUGAGUAUCUUAUCCAAUUUUGAUAAGGUUAAAUUACACCAAUUAUAAAAAUUUUCAUAUUAGGCACUCAAAAUAAAAAUUUUAUAAUUUGAGCACUUAUGUUACAUAGUUCCGUAAUUUUGACCACUCCUAUUAAAAUCACAAACGGCAAGUUGACAUGACAGUUUAAAAAUCAAUAUAAUAAUAAAUUUAGCCUUCAACUUUUACAUAUUAUAUUGAUUUAGUCAUAAAUUUAAAAAAUUAACUGUUAACAUUUACAAACAUUUUCAAUUUGAUCCUAAUUCUAAAAAAAUCAAAGAAAUGCAUAAAAACAUAUAAAUAUUUUAAAUAUAUAUAAUAAAUUUAAAAUUAUAUAUAUAAAAAAUUAUUGUUGACAAAAAAAAACAAUAUAUAAAAAAUUAAAAUAUAUAAAAUGUAAUAUUAAUAUUAUAAUUUAAAUUUAUUAUUAUAUUUUUCGAGAAUAUUUAUGUAUUUUUAAAUUUUAUAUAUUAUUUUUUGUGAAUAAUCAUUUUUUAUUUUUAUAUAUUUUUAAAUUUAUUAUUAUAUUUUUGGAAAUAUUUAUGUUUUUCAUAUAUUUCUUUGAAUUUUUUAGAAUUAGGAUCAAAUUGAAAAUAUUUGUAAAUGAUGAGGGUUAAUUUUAUAUAUUAUGACUAAAUUGAUAUAAUAUAUAAAGGUUCAAGGCUAAAUUUAUUAUUAUACUGAUUUUUUAACUUUCACGUCAGCUUGUCGUUUGUGAUUUGAACGUAAGUGACCAAAAUGGCCAAACUAUGUAACAUAGGUGCUUAAAUUACAAUUUUUUUUUAUUUUAAGUGCUUAAAAUAAACAUUUUUUAUAAUUAAGUGACUAUUUGUGUAAUUCACCCUUUUGAUAACCAUAUUACUGUGACUUUGCAAUAAUCUUAGGCCCGGUAAUGAUAAGCUGGAACUUUGCUUUGUCUAACACUGGCAACCAGUCUUGACACUUGAUUCACUAAAACCAUGGAGUUCCUAUAUUUUGCAAUAAUUGUUCUGCAAACUUCAAAAGUGCCUGUUACUAGCCUACCCGUAAAAGGACGUGAACGAGUUAAAUGAGAGUGCUUGGUUCUGCAAACUUGAAAAACCUCCAAGGUUUUGCCCUUGUUUCAUUUCUUUUUGUUAAAUUUGGUUGGCAACAUCUUGUUUCUCCCAAAGACUUAAGAACCAACAAAAAUCCCUGUCUUGCACCUAUAAUAGAAAAACAGAAAUCUCUGUCUUGCAUUGCAUUGCAUGAUGAGACCAUACACAAAAGCCAUAACCUGGUGAAAUGGGUAACUCGAACCCAUGAACAUUAUCACAACAGCAAAGUUCGUGGCAUUUUCCUUGGUUCGCAAUAUGGAAAUGAUUAAGGCAAGGAAGACAAUUUGUUUUUGUUUUUUCUUAAUUUCUUUUCACCAAUUGUUCAAGGAGCCAGCCACUUAUACUUCAAGACAUCAUGGUAUGAAGUAUGAACACUCGGACUUUUGGAAAUGGAAAGUGGUUCCAUUUCUUUGCAUCCAUCAUUUUUACAAAAAGAGGAAAACCAGAGUAAUGAAACUUUAAAGAAGAAAUAGAAAGGCUGAAAAAGGGACAACAUUUCUUCAACAGAAGUUAAUUUAAUUAAACAUUUAACUUUACACAUCAAGAAAUUCGUGCACUAAAUUAAAAAAAAACUUCCCCGACAAGGAUUGAGGUUAGGAAGUUAGCUUUCUUCACCCAGUUUUCAACCACCUUUAAGUUCAACAAAGUCCUGGAAUUCAAAGCUUUUACCAAUUUCUUCGCCGUGAAAACCACCAUUAAAACGCAAUCAAUCACAUUUCCCUCUCAAAACCCCCGUCGGAACUCAGAAUUCAGACUAUUUUCCGACACCCAGAAAGAAAACAAAAGAUAGAUACAUUGAUAUUACAUAUAAAAUACGUGCAGAGGAGUGUCAAAAGUGACAUCCACAACAAAGAUAGAAGAAACAGAGAGUAGCCACCAAGUAAAUAGCCUCUAAAACGGAGACAAGCUUGAAAACUACAUUAUCAACGAAAGAGCGUUUAAUGUUUAGCCUCUUCCACUUGAAAGCAGAACCAAAACACUUCCAUCUCCAUGCUUCUUUCGUCAUAAACCUCUUGAACAACACCCAUCUCUUCGUUCCCCCCAUCACUUUUUUGGUUUGGGCGUUGAUAUUUGGUUGGAGAAGAAGAGAAGUUGAAAAGCAGUUUAUAUAUGAGAGGAAAAGUUCAGUUUCCUGGUAUACACGGAUGAAAGAAUCGUUCGUGGGAGAGAGACCCCAUUCAUUAUUUUGGUUUGAAAGUCAGGGUUAGCCUUGCUUCGGCAGCUUUACACGACCAACUUCCCCGCGUUUUGAUGACUCAUAAUAGUCAAAAUCAUUUAUUGUUAUAAUUAUUUUGAUGGUUAAAAAUAAGACUUUUAUAUUUUAUUAAUUUCUGAAAAAUUAAUUUAAAACCUUUGAGAAAUAAUAAAAUAGUUGAGGAGAAAGUACCGAGAAAGCAGCCUUGCGCGUGAACUCGAUUUUUCAAAUCGAAUGUUCCUUUCAUUUCCAAGAAAAGUUAGCUGCUCAUUCAGACUUUGACGUCAAACAUACAUGUACUUGAUCCACCAUUGGCUGGCUUAAACAAUUUUGAGACCAACGUAUAAAUUAUAUUUUCUUCAAUAAGUGCAUAUGUGACUAAAAUUAAUUAGUUAUAUAAGAUGUAAAACUUUUUUUUACAAAAGAAAGAGCGGGGAAUGUAAAAUAAUUGUGUCCAGAUUUAUAAUUUUUGUAAGAGCGAUAUAAUUUUAUUAUUAUAUAUUUGCUUUAAAUAGAUGGUGUCUCAUUUUUAAAAACAUUAGGUCACUCUUUCUAGAAUGAUGGACAUAUGUCACUAUUUUUUCACUUAUAAUUACUUAAUUUGAUUAGUCGGUUGUAGCCCAAAUAAGGUUUAACAUUUAGAUUUUUUUUUUUUAGAGAUUUAAGAGUCUAAGAGGAUUUUAAAUAUAAAAUUAGUGACAUAUGUAUAUAUAAUUUAUUUAAUUUUGUAAGUCAUCAAAUUGUUGUCAUCUAUCUUUUAGUCACGUAAGGAAGGUCCAUUUAUUUUGACCUAUUUAGUCUAUAAAAUACAUAUGCAGUCUAAAUGAUCUUUUAUACAAUGUUUUAAAAUUGUGAACGGUUUUGAGAACAGCUAGAUGCCAAGCUGAAGAAUCAACCUUUUUUUAAUAAAAAAAUCCAUGUAGCUGCCUUUUUUUUUUAUGGAAUAUUUCUGUUUUUGUUGAAAAAAAACCAAUGUAACAAAUAAAUUUCUUGAACGUGUCGUUUUCCCUUGUAAAGUUAAAAAGAAAAGUCUCAUAAUAAUGGACAAAAAGGAAGAAAAAUAUAACAAUCAGAAACCGUUUAUACAUUCUAGACGUAAGCUUGGAAAAAAUAGCAAAUACUUCAAUCAAAGUUUGAAAUAUUACCGAUAUAAAGGCUGCAAUAAUACUUGAAAAACUUCUAAAAAAAAAUCUUUGAAAACAUCUUCCAUAAUAUUCUACUCAAAUUGGCUGCACUAGUCAUCUUUUUAGCCAUAAUUUUGUCGGUCAGAAUCCGGUUAUAAGUUUAAUAAUUGAAAUUCUUAGGAUAUAAUACUAUAAUACUCAUUUUCUAUUUUACUCACUCAAUUUUAGUGAAUUUUUCUGUUAAUUACCAGUUUGAUAUGGGGUGUGAUAUACAUAUUUUAUUAAUUUGAUAUUAAAUCUAAAAAAUUAACAAAUUUAAUUCUUAGUAUUUACAAGAUUUAUCAUUUUAAUCUUAAUUAUAAAAAUUAUAAUAUAUAUUUAAAAUUUUAAAUGAAUUUUGUAUAAACAAUUACUUUCAACAAAAACUUCCACUUUAAUCUAUCUUUUGUUCAAUUGAUGAAAUUAGAAAUAUCAAAUGCCAUGAUCUUAACAUGCAAUUUCUCCGAUGCUUGAACUAGAACUAGUAAAGACAUGAGAGCAUUAGAGCUCGAAGCACCAACUGCCUCUGUAGCAAAGAGUAAGGCCAUCGGAGUUGGUGUCACCAACCCAACCACUUUUUUGGAUUUAUAAAUUUGUUAGUUUUGAGUUUUUUUUAAUUUUUAUUUUGAGGUUUUAAUUAGGCAUUUGAAAUUAGUAACUUAGCAAAAGAAUAGGGAGACUAAAACAAAAGAGAUUAAAUUAAAAGAUUGCUUUCACUUUUGGAUUUUUCACAUAUUUUGGUUGAUGAGAAAUUGAGCAUGGUAGAUUAGAAAAAAGUAAAUAUAAAUUAUAAAUAUUUAAACAAUAAAAUAUAAAAAUAUUUUUAAGAACUUCUAAAUAUAUGUUAUAAUUUUUGAAUUAGAACUAAAAUGAUACAUUUUAUAAACACUGACGGCCAAAUUUGUUGACCUUUUUUAGAUUUAUGAUCAAACUGAUAGAAUGUGUAAAUUUUAGAGAGUUAUAUUUGUUAUUAGGUUAAUAAGAAUAGCCCACGUAAGACUUAUGUUACUAAGUUAACGGAAGAGUGACUAAAAUAUUUAAUUUUAAAGUCUAGUGACUAAAAUGAACAAAAAAAAAAAUUAAUAGCUAAGUGACUAAAAUAGAAUAAACUAAAUAAUUAGAUGACUAUUCUUGAAUUUUACCCAAAUUAUUAAUUGUUGGUUUAUAAAAAGAGGGGAAAAAUGAAUCUUUAAAUUUAAUAAUUUUUUAACUUAAUAUUUGAAUUUUAUUUCAUGUGAUUUUAAUAACUUUUUUCUAAUGACGUCUUUAGAUUGUGUUUUUCAAUAUAAAUUAGAUGAUAUCAUAUAGACGAAAUUGAAAAGGUUUUGUUAAAGUUUAAGAUUAAAAUUGGAUUAAAGAAAAUGAAAUAGUAAAUUGACUUUUUGAACAAAUCGUGGAAGAACCAUUAUUGUUUCCUUUGAUCAUAUUUUAGGAUAUUUGGAAGUAUUAUGUAUGCAUGCAGAUGCUCCAAUUCAUUUGAAACUCUGUAAAACAUCAGAAUCUCACUGAGUGCAUGGUUUUAGAAAACCACCCUAAAGUGGAGGUAUUGUGGAAGGGAUUUACUUCGGGUCGGAUCUUCAUGGAGAGGGGGCUAGAAAUUUUGAAUUCUGAUUGCGAAGUUAAUUUUAAAUGUAUAAAUUAAUACAUAAUAUAAACCUUUAAUAAAUUAAGGUAUAAUAUGGGUAGUGUAAGUCCAUUUAGAAACUAUUACAACAACAACUAAGAGAAAAGGAUCAUUAAAUAAAUACCCCAAUUUAAAAUAAUAAAAAAACCAUAAUUUGAUGAUGUUUGAAGCAAUUAACUAGAAUGUAUUUUAAAAUAGUUUAAUUUUGAGCUAAUGUCGCCAUGUUAACAAAUAGCAAAGAAAAGUUGGCUAAUUUCCUCUUAUCCCCUCCAUUGAUUUCUUAAUCUAAAGUUCUCUUUCAAUAACAUUUUGUAAGGACAAACUAGAGAACUUUGAAUUUUACGAUUUUACCAAUUAAUUAUCCGAUAUUACCAUUAAAAAAGAAAUCCACAACCAUGUAAAUUAUUUUAUUAACAUUGUUUUGUUGGCACAACUUAAUACUGUGUCGUUGUUUUAUUUUUCUGAUAUGUGGUGCCUUCGUCUCAUUAGGUAAUAUUGUCUUAUUAUCUUCUUGCUCAUUCUUUGAAUUUCCAUGGAUUGGUUUUUUGUUGCAGAAUGAGUAAUUUAGUUGUUUUAUCUUACUGACACAACUGUAUAGCUUAAGAUUAUCUUAAUUUAAUAUAUAUAUAUAUAUUAUUAAUGUAUAAUCGAAAACUGCUUACACCCAAAAUAAAUCUAAAUAUAACAUUUAGAUUAUUUUUGGGGCACAAUUCAUUAUACUAUCUCUUUUAUGUUGCGUAAAAAAUAAAUUUAAUUUCUUAUUUAAUGAUAAUUCUAAGUAUUAGUACAUAUUUAGUAAACCUAAAACGUAAAUGUAUAAUCAAAUUUUGCUUAAAUAAAGUUAUAAUUAGUGCAUGUAUUUUAUUUUUCAAAAUAUGACUUUUUAAUUACCUAAAACACUUUAAAAAGAUUGUGGUGGGGACGUAUCAUUAAUAUGGAAUUGUAGGGGACAAAAAAUUUGCCACAAGAAGAAACUCCCAAUAAUAUUUUCUAUUUAGACUCCAUGUGCCUAGAGGGCCUGUCAUUAUUCUUAAAAUGAAAACUAUUUAGACAAUAAAUUAUUAUCGAGCAAUCUUUUCAAUAAAUUUCCAUUAAUUUCAAAUUAUUCGAUCGCGAAACUUAGCGUGGAAUCUUGUAAGAGGAAAGAGCAUAUUCCACUAUAAUAUAUUUUUCUCUUUACGUUGCAUGAAAUUUUGUUAACAAUAUCCUAAAAGCGAAGAGUGUACCAACGUAUGAAUUAAAAAUUGAUUGUGUUAUUAAUAUAAGCAAAUUCGCAGGCUUGAGCUCAAAUGUUAGCAAAUAGGAUGAAACAAUUUCAUUAAUCAUCGGUUUAUCGAAAGUAGAUAGUUGAUACAACAUGAUAAUUGGAAUGAAAAUACCCCUAGACCCUAAAUAGUCAAUGCUCGGGAGUACUACAAUAGAGACCACAGACCGUAUGUUGGUUGGCUAUGUAAGCAUAUUCAUGUAUGCCUUAAGGACUCCAAACAUUGACAAGUCUAGCAAACAUAAAAAAUAAAACAAUAAAUAUAACACUUGAAGUUGUGGGCUUUGAGUGUAACAACUCGUUUUUCAGUGGUUUUAGGACCACAAAUUCGACGAGUGAGUCUAUAAAUAUUAUUUAUUUAAUAUUUACAAAUCAAAUAUUAUAUUAUAUAAUAUAGAAUUUUGACUUGAUAAUUUUUGUUGUUUUAACUAUUAGUUAAAGUUAAGUGAUCCGUCUCUAAAGUCAAAUGGUUUUAGAAAAUAAAGUAUCGGGACUUCUUUUCUGUAAAUCGAGCUCGUAAAUAUUUUUAUUAAAUAUUUACGAAGUUACUAUAAAGUUAUAUUGAAGUUUGGUUCGAAAAUUUGAGUGAUUUGAUAGUUAACUAAAGAAAAAAGACUAGAUCGUAAAAGUUGUAAAUUUCGUAUUGAAAUUAAUUCUCCAUUAGAAAGGUUUCAUCAGUGUUUUUGAUUUUCUGAAUAUUCAGCCUCACCUAACAAUACAUGGAUAACAGACAUUGUAUGAGAAAUUAGGAUAUAUCCAGUGAAAGUUCUAAAGCCUGGCAGAUAUGCAAGUAAUGAAUUUUAUAUCUCAAUGGAAUGGCUUGGAUGAUUCGGAGGUUGAACCAUUAAAGAGUUUGUAAUCGAGCAUGUUGAAUCGAAGUACGAAACACUAUGGUGUUAGACAUGUGCCUUAACGUCCGUUACCAAUUUUGUUAGACCAAGGAAUAAUCUUCAUGUGAAGAAGUUAAAUAUUGUCCUUGCAUCCAAAUUAUUGUUAAGAGUAUAUUGAUACAGGAACUUAAGGAUGGGAUUGUGAAAUGGAAAUUGCCAUUGUUAUGCUCUGUUGACAAAGUAGGUCACAAUGCCAAAGUUUAUGGAUUGAGGUUCAUUUUGAUUUUAUAGGUUCAUCAGUGCCAUCAGCUUUUAUAUCAUGGGUCAUGAGAGAAUGACCACCCAUGUGGAAAGCUAACAUAAAAGAAGAAUCAACGACAGUAACUUUCAUUACCGAUAAUCCGGCUGAAAUCCACCGUCACCAGAGCUGGACUGCCGCAGCAAGCUCACAGAUUCAGGUUCAGAUUCACAUCCCUUUUUUUCUCUCAUUCAGUUUGUACAGACUCUGCUUCUUCAUACAUGUUUCUGUUUCUCGGUAGUCUUUCCAUUGCUACCAUCUUUCAAAACGAUAGAAUGAUUGAUGGGGUGUUGUCCUUUAGUUUUGAUGUGGUUCCGUAGCCAACAUAUUCUUCUAUGCAGUUGAUAUUAUUUCAUGGAAUUGCUCCAUCUAUCUUAUUAGCUUUAGAUUUGUGCACUGCUAUUUAUAUCAAAGAUGUACAUUAAGAUGGUUAUAGGAGACAUAGGACUUUCAAUGAAUUGGGCUUCUGUACCGCAGGUAUCAAGAGGUAGUCCUAUAUGAUUGCUGGUUCAUACAAGAACACCUGUGCGCAAUGUGGACCUGAACUUGGAGCAAUCGUGUCAAAUAAGGGUGGGUUCGGAUUGCGCAUUUGUGCUGUGGGGUUACACUCACUGACUGUAAGGUUGCCAUUGCCAUGUUUGACAUUUGGAGGACGUGAAGUAGCAACGGAAUACUAGGUGAUUUUACUUUUUAGCUUUUGGUGUUUUAACUUUUGCCUGCCGUAGUCGUCUCUAUUAGAAGACAUUUGAUAUGCCACUUCGACCACACAAGAAAUGUUUUUAUUAGUACAUAAAUUGAAGCCACUAUUGUAGAUAGAAAGGGCGGCCACAUGUGCAUUAAAUAUAUAGAUGAUAAAACUCUACCUUCUUAUGAGGCUACCGCGUUCAAUUUGCUAAUAGGUGAAUUCAAUAUUUAUUUCGUUUGGUGGAUGUAAUGAUUUUCAAAAAGCAAUAUCCAAAUAUAAUCUAUAUUGGAAUCUCAUGGCUUGGUAGAGUUUGAUAAGAUAAGGAAUUUUAAAGAAAAAAAAAAAGAGUUGAAAUAUGUCAUAAUUAUUUACAUUAUUUACAAAAUUUUUUCGAAAAUUUAAUAUUUCUAUUUCUAUUUACAAUGUAACUAAAAAAUAUUGUAAUGAAUUUAAAUUUAGCAAAAUGUUUAGUUUGAAUUUUGAAAUUUGAAAUAUGAAAUUGGAUACAUGGAGAAAUAGGAAGAAAACAUAUUCCUAUAUUGGUGCUGGCUAGGAAAGAGAAAAUGAAAAAAAUACAAAGGAAAAAAAUUGUUUUAAAAAAUACUUAAUAUCUUUUUCUCGUUACUUUUAUCAAUUAGAAUUUAGAAUAGAAAAUUAUAAUUUUAUUUUAUUUUACUUUUUUCUCGAACUUUUCUUGCAAUUAAAAUUAUUUUUCCCUUUUUUCUAUUCUCGUCUUUCAUCCUUUCUAUUUUUUUUACUCAUCCAAUCAAUACCCAAAAUGAGCUGAAGUUCAAUAAGAAAGUUUAUCUCUGGUCUAAAUGAAAAUUUCCCACUUAUCGUGUCAACGUUUUAGCUUUCAACAUCAAGACAACAAACUAAUGGAGGUUGCAGCUCGAAUAGAAUCCGUCCAACUUGAUAUCAUUUUUCUUAUAAGUCAAGUCUUUAUGUGGAACAAAAAAGUGCAUAGCAGCAUGAUUCAUCGAUGAAAACAAUACAAUUUCAUCAUCCAACUUAAAUCUUCCCUUGUUGCAUAGCUUGAAAGACAUUUCAGGCUGCUUCACCAUCUUCCACGCUAGAACUGAUGAAUUUGAAGCAAAAAAUACAAGUUUAACAGCAAAAGCAUGCAUGCAUGGCAACUACACAUUUUCACUAUUUAAAGAUUAAAAACGGAGAGCAAACUAUACGUAAAAGUCUCCUGACCCGUGUCAAUAAUAUAUCAUAAUACCCGAGAGGAACUAAAGUCUGAAAAUGCCGGUAACAACAAUAAUUGUUUCAAAAGGAUUGCCUCUAGGGACACCAAAGAUGCUUCGAUAAGGAAGAGCACAACCAAAUGGCAAGAAGAGACCCACUCCCCAUAUUUUAUUUGAAAGCCCUAACAUUACUCCACAGCAGACGUUUUCAAAGCAUCUGACAUCCCAAGAAAACAACUUACUAGACAUUUUGACAAACAUAUAUUGUGCACAAAGUCCCUUACACACGGAAAAUCACAAACUUAUCCAAUUCCAACCCGAUAUAAUAAGAACCUACCAAUCAUAGGAACACCAAUUUUAUUCUGGUUUGGGUGUCAAGGGUCCAAAAUCUUUACGAGGCAAUAACUACAAGAGGAAAAAAAAAAUACAGUUGGAUAGUAAAUGAAGAUCGAAUAAUAAAAACUGAUGUAACAUGAAAACUAAGAGAAAAGGGAGGGCUAACCGUCCAAAAAGCUCUGCCUUCGAGAAGGCCAUAAGGAAGAGCUCCGAAAUUCCUCGAAUCCUUUGUAUUAUAGAUGUAAUCUCCUUCUACCCAAACAUGCCCUUUAGGAACCUAGCUAAAAGCAACAAAUUACUGAAUGAUAAUGAUAAUUAAGGUUUUUUUUUAAGAAACACAGUAAUUCUUUGAAUAUGUACCACGAUAGUUUCGCAUCUAUCACCCGAUUGAGGGUCGACGACGUAGGUGAUUUGAUCACCUUCCAAUCCGAUCAACCGUUUGCAGACAAUCUUCCUAGGAGCCUCGGGAGAUCGAAAGAUCACAACAUCCCCAGGUCGAAGUUUGCCGAUGCGGGUCGAAAUGCGCUCCACCAACAACAUACUGCCUGUUACGUUUAAGGUCGGAAGCAUGCUAGGACCAUAAGUCUAUUCAAGUACCCAGUCAUUGCCCCCAUAUUCAGAAGCAAAAUUAAAACCCAAGAAAGAAGAAACAGAUUGAUAAAUUUGUUUUUCUGGGAUAAGUCGGAAAUUUUGCUUACAAUAGUGACGGUGCCGAGAUAUUUGUUGGUAACGUAAAGCAAACAGAGGCCUCUCACUACAGCAGUAAAGCUGCUCCAUUCACCCAUUCUCCUCUUUUUCUCGAUCGAUUUUCGAUUUGGGUUUAUAGAAGAAGAAAGAAAAUCAUGGAAUUGUUCAAUGCCGGUAGUCGACUAUUAACUUUCUUCUUCUUCUUCUUCUUUUUAAAUUCUUGAAUCCAACAUUGCCCGUGGACCAAAAGUAAUAAUCCAACGCUGCCUGUGGGUUUUAGCCUACUCAAAGAAUGGCCUAAAACAGUCUUAACAAAAACCCAUUUUGUAAAGCUAAGAUAGUAUUAGCUUGAGCUUGACAGCUUUAUUGCUUUUCAAAUAGGUUUCUAAUUAGGCUCACGUAACCGGGUUUUUCAAGAGAUAAAAGUUAAAGAGGGAACGUGUUAUUAUUAUGUAAAAGUACAUCAUUCCUUGCUUUGAAACGUACUGCCUAAUGGUUGUCACUAGGAAUUAGCUUCUUUGUCGAACAUGUAGCAUUUGGUUUGGUUCAAUUUCAAAAAAGAAACUUCACAAUGGGGCUAUAUUUUAUCAGCACUGGUAAAACAAAUCAGCAAAGUUGGUAACCUCCGGAUCCCUAAUUCAAGAGAGAGACAACACACAAUCAAAAAGACGAAAGAUAGGUCAAAAAUUGUUUUAAGUCAUGCUUUGUGGACCUGAAGUUGAGUCCCUGACAAGUCUUCCCUGGAUAAAGCUCCAGUCACUACUAGUUGGAUUGGGUGAGUCUCCUAUUUUCCAUCACUAGUGGCUGAAAACCCAUCGAAUUGCAGUAAGUUGGCAAAUGGGUUCGUUGACAUAAUGAUAGUGGUGUUGAAUUUUUUUUAUUUGUUUUUGCAUCACUCGCUGAAUAUAGCCAGCCUGUUUCCCUAAAAGUAGGCUAACAGAAAGUCAACUCUGUUAAAGUCUAGCCCACCCCUGACAUUUGACAUGAGGCGUGCAUCAUUGGAACCAUAGUUGCUUGGGGGUGGCCAAUUCGUAAGACCAUCCCGCCUCUUUCAUAUUAUUUUUGUAGGUAGAUUAGACGAUACUUGUAUUUUAGUCAAAGAUGAAAAGACUUCCCUCCAGUUUCGACAUGAUUCAGCUUUACUUCUAGUCUUUCCGUAAACAAAAUAUAAAAAAGAGUUAACCAAUUGAAUCAUGAAGACGCAUAACAAGCUGGAAGUGAUGAUGAGGGAAAAUCCAACUUAACAAAAGUUGAUAAAAGAAGUGGGUCCGUCCAACAGGCACAUAACUUGGUAGGAGUUCGAAAACUGAUAAAAAAGGUCGUGCUGGUGCGCCACUAACUGCACUACCUACUGGCUCAAAUACAGCGAUUGCGGGGGAAAGGUGCACAAAAGAAAAGCACCAUGCAUGCAUGACAAUGAGCUCUCAUGUCUCUAAAUAUCAGCACAUAAAAGGGCAUAUUAUGUAUAAAGGUAUUAAGACUGACAGGUUUAUGCACCUCAUGCUCAAAUACUGAUAAACAAAAUAUACACAAACAGGAUCGGGCACCACAUAAAAUGUAUUAACAGACAACAGCACGUCUCUGGACUUGCAACAAAUUAUUUCUCAAAUAUAGUGUACCGUGGGGUAAAAAGAAACCACGAGAAUAUUAAAAAGAGAUGCAAAGAAACGACAUCAAACAAAGACAAAAGUCCGAGUAAAGUGGUACUCAAAAGGUUUAACAAGCAUUUAUAAUAUUUAUGCAACAACGGGGAAUAAACAAAAAGCAAGUAGAAUAAGAAACCAGGCAGCGAAGAAACUAAUACUGAAUAUCUUUUAAGUACAUUUCAUUAACAUUCAAAGCAGCUACUAGUGCCAUAAAGAUAAUGGCAACUACAAACUUAGUAGUCAUAUUACAGAGCCAAACUCCACCCAACCUCUCUCCCUUUCCAAGGGACAUGAUAUAUGAUCUUCAGAAGUUUAAGCAACACAUGCACUGGCACCAUUAAUACAUAUGCAUAACUGGAAACUAAAACACACAUGAAUUCUAAAUGCCUGUCUUCUUUAUCUCUGGAACCCAAACCAUCAGAGAGACGGCGAAGGAUGGGUAUGCAAUACAGGAUAAACUUGAAUUCCAGAAGAUGAGGAAACCAUUACCAGAAUAUGAGUUUAAUCUCCAUUCUUGAAAUUCUCAACUCCAAGCUUCUUUACUUCAACCUUGAGAGACUUGAGGUACCGAACAGCUUCAUCGAGAACGGCUACAGUACCCAUCUGAUCAGCACCUGGUACAAUUCCCCUUAGAACCUUAACCAUUUUCUUCAUUUUCAGCCGCUUUUUGGGGUCAGUACCAAAACCGCUACCAGAGGAUUUCAGAGUAGAAGAACAUGAGCUGUUUUUUCUUGGUUUUGAGCCAUAGGCAGAGUGAGAAUCAGAGUCACUUUCAUAAUUACCAGAAGUCCGUGCUGUGCUAACUUCUUCCUCAUCAUAAUCUUCUUGUUCCUCCUCUUCUGAGCUGAGUAGUGCAUCAAUAUCAUCUGAAUCCUCUUUCAGAGAGGAUGAGGUAUCUUUUUCCGCAUCAUUAACAUCUUUAAUGUCAUACUUUCCAUCAAGGUAAGUUGCAAAAACAUUUAAUCCAUGACCAUUAAAUUUGUUUGCAACAGCAGGAUUGAACAUUAUCUGGUUUCUAUGAUCAUUCUGAUUGAAGAUAACGAAAUUUUUGGGACAAACCUCUGAGGGUUGAAACUCAAUGCCAUGGAGGGGUGGCAAUGGCUUAGCACAUGGAGGAAAAACUGUACCAAAAGCAGAAGGAACCGGCAUGUGAAUGUAAUUAUCAUCCACGUGAUCUGCAAGUCUGGGCACUGCUUUUGGGGAGUAAAACUGUUGAUCACUCUGCAUCGAAAUUUCUACUUAAUCAAGAGGUUCACAACAAAAGAUUGCUUCUUGGCUUUGAACGUGAAGUUAUUCAGCUUUUAAGUUGGAAGAAGAUUUAUAACUAAAUUACGGUGAGACAAAAAUCUAAACUACUGGAUCGCCAUUACAAUAUGUCAAAGCUACCUAUCCCAAAUUUGCCAUCAACACAAUCAGAUGUUCCAUUCUAUCACAGCCUCACACAUAACACAACCGAACGGCACUCUCCCAGAUCCCAAUUUCCAAGAGUUCUGUAAUACCAGACUACGUAACAGGCUUAAGCAACUGACGGAAAUACUCUGCCUGCAAUAGCAUAUAAAAAAGUCAAUAUAACCAUAAAACUUGCACGAGUAAUAUGUGCAGCAAAAACAAAAAGAUACUUUGUCGAUCAUAUUUAUAAGAACAGAAACUUUAGUCCUGCUUAGUAUUUUGGAGUCACUUGACAAUUUCUAUUUCAUUAAGCCUGCUAAAAAUGGCCAAAAGUCUAUGUACUGUACAUGUCCAGAUCUGUUGACAAAGGGAAAUCCACAACAACACGGAUAUACAAAUGAUAAACAUCUUUCAUUACUCAAAUUUGAAUAUAACUUCUUUCUCUACAGCCAUAACAAUUGCAUGUAUGCCCACAUAAAUGUGCUUUGUGUUCGUGGUUGUUGUAGUUCAUUUGCUUGUGUGCAUUAAUAAGACAGAUUUUUCCAAUCAGUUAUUUGACAAACUAGAGAUCAAGAGGCCUACUCAACCUAAUCCAGACAUACUACAGCAACAUUAGUGAUGGGACAAUAUAUGACAUGGCACAUAGAUUUAUCUAAGACAGCCUUUCAUGCAUUUCCAAGGACACAAACAUAUAAAAUAUAACAGGAUGGAACAUCAACAUGAAAUUUGAAACAAGAAAACAUAUUUACCUGACAAACUUGAACUAGCUUAUAGUAUGCAAUAACACCAACGCUCAUUUUAAUUUUCCCAACUUCCUUAAUUGCUCGAUAUCUCUUUAUGGUUACCGAAAUGUACAUUCUCACACCUCCAACCCAAAAUCUUCCAAUUGCGAACGAAAGUUGAAGGAACCCUAUCCCCUUUCAAAUUCAAUCGAAAUUCACCUACAACAGUAGAAUAACAACAGAUAGAUACAUGAUGCACAUUACAAUGUAAAUUCUUUUUUUAUUCUGGAAAUUAUAAGGCAAGCAAAAGAUCAUGAACAGAACUUUUCAGAUUAAGAGAACUCACCAGAAACAAAUAAAAUUACAGUAUGACAAGAAAGAAAACAACUAAGCGCACGCAGUUGACGAAAGACCACGGCAUUUUGUUAGACUUUGAUUCAACCCCGAAGUGAUUAUUGAAGAACAAAUCCAAGUCUUUUGCCUGCCAAAAAAAGAUAAAGGAAGUAGGAGUUAAAAUCAAACACAGUUACACAAGCACUUACAUUAAGAAACCAGGGGAUCUGCAGUAAAAGAGGAAUGAAGUAAACAAAAGGAUCAAUGAUAAUUCAAGCUCAGUGGAACUAAAACUCAAAACGGAAAAUUAAAAUCAAAGAAAGUAGUUCUAUUUGGUAGCAGAUAUAGAUCUAGGAGAAAUUUAGAAAACGAAAGCACUGAAGAUUUAAUAUAGAAAAACUCACUUUCCAUUAAAAAAAAUCACAAAUUCCUCAGUGGAACUAUAUGCACGAAUUGCAGAUAAAUUAGAGGGGGAAAACACAGAGACUAACAAAAAUACUACCAUUAAAAUAUAUAUGAUACCUAUUUUUUAAGGGGGAAACGUAAAUAAUCUAGAUAACGAAAAGGAAAAAAAUGAAAAAACUUACAAUAAAAAAAAAACACAGAGAAACAAAAAAAGUGAAUCGAAGGACAGGAAGCAACCAAACAAGAGAGGAAGGUAAUAGGGAAAACUGGUCUGAAAAAGCCCCUGGAUUUGCGCUGAAGAAAGCUGCAGAGUUUUAAUUAAGGGAGUGAAGAUAGUGAAAUUCUGGGUAAGAGCAAUUAAUUUUCAUUAUAUUUUUUAUAUAGGGAUUUUGAUAUUGAGAUGUGUGCAGUUCGGAGUCAAACGCGGUAGGAUUUGAGCCGUCGGAUUUGGGGCAUUUCCGUGUAAUGCGGAAGGGAAAGUGACCGUUGGAUGCACGCGUGACAGAGAGGAACCAGUGGGGCUCACGAGGUUUGACGAUUUAUGCGUUAUCGUGGAAUCGACUCUUCUUCUCAUUUGCUUUUUGUUUUUCGUUUUUUUCUCAAUAAUCCUUUGUAGAUUACUUGUAUUAUUAUUUUGUCUAAUCAAGUAUUAAGAACAAACUUUAGGGUGGGAGUGGGGCGGGGGUAAACGUCUUCUAAACUUCUAAUCACUUUACUAGUAAUCUAUCUAAUUUUUUUAUUAUUAAACUAUUUUUACAAUUAAUUAAUUGUGUGAUUGAAUUUGGGGUUAUUAAUUGUGUGGACACUUCUUCAAUUACAAUGAAAUCAAUACAUUUUUUAAAUCGAGUCAGCGGUAAUUAGGUAUUUUCUUCUCUUUUUUUUAAUUUUUAAAAUGUUUGAAAUAAUCUUCCACCUAAAAAUUCAACAUUUAUAAAUGUGUAAUUAAGUUCGCCUUACAAAAUAAAAGAAAAUUACUAAAAUAAUUUUACUUAUUUCAAUUUAUCAUGAAUUCUUUUUCUUAUCUAUAAAAAUCAAUAAAAAUUUAUAGAAAUUAAUAUUUGAACUUAUAUCAACCAUAUUCAUAAUUUUUUUUUCGCUUCAACAAAAAUUUUAUUUUAAUAUUUUAUUACACAAAUUAUUUCACUCACAUUGUUUGUUUAUUUCAUUUUAUGAACUUUCGAUGAUUCUAGAUGUUCUGUUAAUAGCUUUCUACAAGUAAGCUCGACACCAACCCAAUAAAUUUGACAAUUGAAGUGCAUUUAAUAUUAUUAAUCUGAUGUAUUUAUUUAUUUAAAUUUUAUUUUACUCACAAUUUAAACAAUUUUCUUAUUUUAAUUCAAUACAUAUUGUAUAUGUGCUAUUACUAAUUUCAAACUUUGCAUUUCAUUAUUUAUUAUAUGUUAUUUUUAAAUGCUCGUUUAUGUUUUAAAUACGUAAUUUCUACAUGUAUACAAGUGUAAUAAAAUUUUUAGUUUUAAUUAAAUUAAUAAAAAAAUACUUAUCAUUUAAUUAUUUUAAACAAAUUUUUAUGUGUAAAAUAUUUAUUUUUUCACCGCCAUAUUUUCUAGUGUUGAUUAAAUUUAUUAUAAAUCAAAUUGUAUCAAUUAUUAGGUGAAUGUAUGAAAUAAAUCUAUAUUAAUAUAAAACUCUUUAACUGAAUUUGAUAUUAUAAGUCAAGUUAGAUUAAUUCGAUAAGUAAAUAAUUAAUCCUAAAAAUAAUAUAAAUUCAUAAAAUGUAAAUAAAAACCCUAAUUUAAACUUUUAAAAUUUCAGGUUAAAAAACUUCUCAAUCUCUCAUAAAGUACACACUUAACUUUAAACUAUAUUAUGGCAUAGUUAGGAUGGGGUAUAAUUUUUGACAUAACAAAUCUAUUUAUAAAGAAAAUUAAUGCAAAUAAAUAAAUAAAUAAGGAUUUAGUUAAAAUAAUAAAAUUGACAUGAUAUAAAACCAUAUUUUUUUAGGUCAAAAUUCCAUAAUUUUUUAUUUCCCUAGAUUGUAUGGAAAAAUAUAAAACUACAAACACCAAUACACCAUCAUACUAAUAUUUCUUAUUUUGUAAAUGAAUGAUUUUUUGGUAAUUUUCCAACUAAAUUGAGGCUCGAUUGAUAGGUUAUAGCUAAGAUGUCAAAAUCAACCCAAUCGAUGAUAUCAAUAGUUCGUCUGGUUCAACUAGUGGCAUAAAAUUAGAUGUAGACCCAACAGUUUGUGAAUCAAUUAAAAAAAAACUAACACAAUAAAUAUAACGGUUGAAUAGUUUAUUUUUUUAAAAAUAAUUUGUCUUAUUUUUAUGUUUUUCUUUUAAUUUUUUUGCUUAAUCAUUGUUGAACCAACGAUCGAAUCGAUCAAAACCAAUUGAUUCGAGAAUCAAUGGUCUAGGAUCUAUUUGAUCACCUGUUUGUUUUUUAUAACAUCGGAGACACCAACUCAAGCAAACAAUUUACCAUUUAUUUAAAAUAAAAAUAUAAUCAAUCAAUCAAACAAGCUAUAUUGUUGUUUAAUUUUUACUAUAUUUAAGUUAUUGAUGGAAACCAACUUAGUUGAAAAGGGACUAAAUGUCUCAUCGUUUAACCAAAUAUUUACUAUAAGGUCCUUUUGGAUAAGCGUCUACCUCCAGUGCGGUGCGUUUAGUUUUCCUUUUAUCUCACAUUAUAGUAUCUAAUCUCGCUGCCACUGUUGUUUGUACACUAACCGCAAGUAAACGCACCGCCCAUUCAAAGGUGAAACAUAAAUAUAAUUAAAAAAUGACUAAAAAAUUAAUCAUAUUUUUUUACAAAAUCAAUUAUAUUCUAAUAAAAAUAUUUUCCUCUUUCUAUUUUUUUUAUAUAAAUAAAAUAAAAAUUGGCGCAUAAUAAAAUUAGAACUUAAAAUAAUAACAUUUAAAUAUUUGAUUUUAUCUUUUUCAACCUAUACAUUAUUUAAUAUUUAAAAAGUAUAUUAAUCCAUCCAUGUGUUGUAAUCCAGCUUUUAGUACCUAAUCCUUUCCAUCGCGUAAAAAAUGUGCACAGACAGAAGCAUAUAAAAUAAAUUUACAAAAACCAAAUGAGGUACUCUCUCUUUAAAUAUAUAAAAUUUACAAUUGUGAUGAAAUCUCCUUCUUUUACAUAGAAAUAGAAUCUUAUUUUCGUGGUCCCAUUAUUCUCCUCAUCCAAUUCAUUUGUUGGAGGAAAAGACUAAAGAGUUUUUAGGUCUCUCAAAGUUCGAACAUCCGCUCAUUCCUACUAAAAUCAAGAUGUUAAUUAAGGACGAGAUUCCUCACAACAUCACUUUGAUUUUCUUUUAAUCACAUAUUCUAAAAAAUUAAAUUAAACGACCUUGUCAACAUAAAAGGAUUGUUUUUAAGCAAAACUAUAUUAUCAAGUACAUAAACUAUCAUUGUAAUUUAACCUCCAAUAAAAUUUGAUUAUUUUUAAAAUAAAAUAUUAUUUUCACGUAUAUUGUGAUUAAUGCAUGCGUAUAAACAAAAUCAAAAUAUUAGAAUUACAUGAUUUACAAUAAAGAAAAGAGCAAUUUCACGUGAAGGUAUUGUGGGCAACAAACAUUCAUGUUUGAUGGCUUUGGGCAAAUAUUUCCAUCAAAUUCCUUUUCUUUCCAAACUCAUGUUCGUAAUUUGAUUACCGAAGGAGCAAAUUUAAAUUCCAACUAGAACAGCUCAACAAUCUCUGGGAAAAUUACGUCCCUUUCCAAACAUCUGAAAAUUCCUAAAGCUCUCAUGUCGCCCUCUCACCACUCUGCAAAAUCUUUCCUCUUCCCCCCCAUUGGAACUUCUUUGUUGAAGUUUCAGGUAUGAAAUGUGGAGUCGAAGCUCUAAGAUCUCGGCUAUCAUUUACUUUGAUUACGAGUUGUGGUACCAUUGUUUCUUCGACUUUGUGAUGAUUUCAAAGUUGUAAUUGAAUUCAAUCUCAAAUUUCAGGGUUCGUGGUGAUUUCAUAUUCUUCACUGGAUUUUAAUUUGUUUAAAGAUUGAGGUAAGUUUUCAUGAGAUUAUUUUCAAUCAAUAUUAAAGAUUUUUAGCUUCGAAAUGAGAUUUUAUCAUUAAUAACCUACCUCAAGGACAACCUGCGAGCCCAAUAAAAAAAUUGUGUGCGCGCGUGUGUGUUUUUUUUUACUCUCAGAUUUUAUCUUACUAAAUUUUCACUGUUCUUUCUUGCGGGGUGAGGUUUCAAGACUUUAUGUAUAAUUUUGUUUACUAGAAGUUUUCUUCUUUAGAGAUUUCAUGAAGCUUCCGAUAUUUACUUUUAGAUAGAAUUGUGGACGUGGGCGUUAACAAUGUUAUCUUUAAUCUUUAGCAGGGGCAUAAACAACGGGCUAAUUGGAAAUGAUAUAAAAUAAAAUAUACAUGUAUAUUUCAUCCAAAAGUAGGUUGGUAGAAAAAUUAAAUAGUCCUUACAACAUCCACAAAUAAGUUUAAUUUUAAUAUAAUUCAAGAGCUCGGGCAACUUACAUGCAAUGCGUAAAUGCAUCUCUUUGUAAGAGAAGUCGGAUUGUAUUUUAGUUUUUUAUUAAAAAAAUAAAUAAAUUAGUCUUUGCACGCAAACUAAUCAUUCUGUUAAAAAUUUCAUUAAUUUUACUGUUAAAAAUUAGUCAUUGUAUGUUAGCACAAGGUAGAUGUGACACACCAUGUGUUAUACAAUGACAAAUUUUUAAUAGUAGAAAUUAAUAAAAAUUUUAAUAGAAAUAACUAGUCAACCAUUUGAUCUAAUAUACAAAGACUAAUUUAUUCAUUUUUUAAAUAAUAAGACAAAAUAUAAUAUAACUCUUAAUACCUACAUUUUGACAGCAACUCAAAAUCAAAAGCAUUAUUCUAAAUAACUUCUUCUCAUCCUAGUUAAUGCAUCAGUAUAUUGGUUCGAAGCAUCUAUAUUGGAAACCGUUGAGAAGCAUCAAGAUAUAUAACCACAGUAGAAUCAAUUUCAAUAUCCAGAUAUUCAAUAUUAAACAAUUUGUAACACAUAACUUUGCAUUGACUCAGGUUAUAAGCACAAACUUACUUCUUCCUCCCUUUCCUUUUUAGAGUAAGAUUGGAUGGGCGAUAGAUUUACAUAUGAGUAGUUUAAAAACAACGGUUGUAGCGAAAUUAAAUACUGUAGUGAUACUAUAACGUGAGACAAAAAAUAAACUAAAUGCAUCGUAUCACACCCCACCACCCAUCCAAACCCAUCCUUAAUCACAAACGAAACACUUUAUUUGUAUUUUUCUCUAAUUUUAAGAAUUUUAAUCCCACUGCCCGUUGACUAAAUAAUAAUUCAAUCUCUUAACUAUUAAUAUUAUCAUUCCCAAUAUAUAUUUAUACUUCACCCCUCAAAUUUUUCCAAUGAUGUUUGUUUUCUUAAUUUGACCCUACUAUGAUAUUUAGCUUCAAAUUAUAAUUUCUUAAAACUUUGGUCUAAACCUCGUUUAUUAAUAUUAGUUUAAUUAUUUAUAUUUUAAUGUUUAAAAAUUAAAUAGAUAAAUUAUAGCAAUUACUAGGCGUAUAUAUAUAUAACUUUGUAUAUCACACCUUGAUGGUUCGCUAUUUAAGUUGGCUCAUACUUUAUAAAUAAUGGGCGACAAGAUUACCCUCAUCCCAUUUCAAGCUGGGCUUAAGUGAAGUUUUAAAAAAUGGAGUAACAAUGCAAUUUUGACCCGUUGUCAUAAUUCAGAAAACAACAACAACAACAUGACCACGAUCUCUACAGAGUGCAAUGAAAACAUGUAAAUACAGUAAUUAUUAGAAGUUUUAAUUUUUAUUUUCUGAUUGUUACCUUUUGUACCAUACAUGUGCCACUUAAAAUAGUUCAUUAGUAGCUUGUCUAAAAUUUUUGAUAAGUUUUAGGUAUUAUGUCUAUGUUAUUUUCAGAUUCAAAAGGUAAGUGUUAGAGAAUAUUCAAAAUUUAUAAAAUCUAUUACAUAUUAAAAAAACCAUAUAUUCAUAAAAGAAUCAUCCCUACUUUUAAUCUAUCUUUUAUUAUUUUAGUUUAGUAGUGAGAUUUGGGUUGAUUUGAUCUAAUUUAAAUCGGUCGGUGGCUGAAUCUAGUUUGGUUGGAGGUUGGUUAAUGAGUUUUUGAAAUUUCAAUUAUCGGUUAAUUCAGUUUGAAAUUAGGUAAUUAAUUCGAAAUAUUUGUUGUUUUCAAAAUUUAUAUAAUAUUUGGUUGUUAACUUUCAAGACUCAUGUAGUGUUUUAAUGUCUUAUUUGUUGUUUUCAUCUCCAUUUAAAGUUUUUUUGAACUAUUAAAUAAAAAAAAGAACAUUAAUAAUGUAUUUUUUAUAUGUUUUAUACUUAUUUUAACCAAAAGAAAAAAAACAUAUAAAUUCAGGUUAACUCGGCCGGUUAACCAAAAUAUUUUGAUUCGAUUAAUAUAUUUAAAAAAAACUUCGAUCCGAUUAAUUAUUAAAGAUUUUUACAUUUCAAAUAAUUCAAUUAAUAAAUAUUAACCAAACCGACUAUUUUAUCACACUUACUCUCUCUUAGUUUUGCACCAACUAUUACGUUUUCUUGCACCCUCAAGUUAAGGUAAUUUAAACUAGGAAUUCUUUUAGUUUCCCCCACUUUUGUUGGUUGAGACUUGAGAGAGGCUUUGCCUCAAUAAAAAGUUAUUGUUUUUAUUCCAAUUAACUUUUUACCUCGUUGCUUUUCAUGCUACAAGUCAUAGGACAUUAAUAUAGCUUUAGCCACUGAUUUUCCUCACCCAAUUUAAUCUUUCAAGUUAGCUCCAUCAAUCUUUUUCUUCUUUUUUUUUUGUUUUUUUUUUUGGUUCUAAAAAGAAUGGGCUUUUACUUCCAAAGAGGGAGAACUAGAAAUUGAAAAAGUUUCCACUUACUCCAAGUGAAGUCUGAAUUUUUUUUCUGUAAGGUCGGAUUUGAAUCAUUACUAAUUUUAUUAUCACUAUAUUAAAAGAAAAUUUUACAAUUUCCCUGGGGAUAAAACUAUAAACUUUCUAAUUUUGAAGAGACUGGAGGUGAAUUUUAAAUUCUAGAGGAAGUCAAUAUGCAAAUUUACCCAUUAAAUUAAUUUAAUAUUUUAUAAAGUUAAAAAAAGACUAAAAAGGAAAUGAUCAUUUAUUGGGUAACGUUGGCAAAGGAGAAUAGUAGUAGGGAAAACCAAUAUAAAAUUUCUAUAGAAUGAAACCAUAUGCAGAAGAACAGUCUUUAUAUAUCUGAUAGAUUGUAGUGAAUCUUGGAGCUGCUGUUAUCACAUAAUUCUCCCAUUGUUUCGUGUAAGAUUAUUAUGCAGGCCCAGAUGCUAUAUUCAACACUUUUUAAUCAAUCAUUUUCUUUUUCGAAAUAAAAUGAAGAUGAAUAAGAUGAUUAAAGCUGUGAAAAGAAGGUAGGCAAAAUGCAAAUGCAUGUUUAGCACAUAAAAAUUCACCUCAUGCUCUCAUUGAUUUGCAACAAAUUUACAUCACAUCAACAGAGAAAACUUCAAACACAAAUCACUCUCACCAUCUAAUCUCACUUUCCGGGAACAAAGUUGGUGGCGUAGGCCCAGGCAUUGUUGUUAACUGGGUCAGCAAGGUGGUCAGCCAAGUUCUCCAAUGGUCCCUUUCCGGUGACGAUGGCUUGGACGAAGAAUCCAAACAUGGAGAACAUAGCCAAUCUGCCGUUCUUGAUCUCCUUCACCUUAAGCUCAGCGAAUGCCUCUGGGUCGUCAGCAAGACCCAAUGGGUCGAAGCUGCCACCUGGGUACAAGGGGUCGGUCACCUCACCGAGAGGCCCGCCAGCAAUACGGUAACCCUCAACAGCUCCCAUCAAGAUAACUUGGCAAGCCCAGAUGGCCAAGAUGCUUUGAGCGUGGAUCAAGCUUGGGUUUCCCAAGUAGUCAAGCCCACCUUCGCUGAAGAUCUGAGAUCCGGCCUUGAACCACACAGCCUCACCGAAUUUGACUCCAUUCCUAGCCAAAAGCUCAGGGAAAACACACCCAAGAGCACCCAACAUAGCCCACCUACAGUGGAUGACUUCGAGCUCACGGUUCCUGGCAAAUGUCUCUGGGUCCGCCGAGAGUCCAGCAGUGUCCCAACCGUAGUCACCAGGGAAUUCUCCGGUCAAGUAAGAUGGAGGCUCACCAGAUAGUGGACCCAAGUACAAGACUCGGUCAGGACCGUACCAUGGACUUCCAGAGGGAGCAGCCUUGGUAGCGGUUUUCCUCAUGGAAACACGGCCAUUGCCUUGGAUUUUAGGGGCGGAAGGAGAGAGCUUGACGGCCUUUCCGGCGAAAGAUGGGGAAGAGAGAGCCAUGGUUGCAGCCGCCAUUCUGAAGGGGAAAGAUGAUCUCGGGUGAUGGGAGUUUGUGGUAUAAGUUUUGAGAGUGAUGGAAAGGGGGCAAUGCGCAGGGAUUAUAUAGGGAGCUGUGGGCGAGGUUCCUCAAUCCUUAUCUAGGCCAGUAUCUAUAUCUCUCAUUUCAUUGGGGGCUCAAGAUUUCGAUAUUUUCUUUGGAUUUUCCACUUGGCACUCUUUCCAUCCACAAAAACACUUAACGGGCAGUAGCCGAUGCCAGUAUCUAUCUUUUUUUUUUUUUAAUUCUCAUUUUGUCUUUGAAAUUUGAAUGCACAGUUGGAGAUUUUGACACUCACUAUAAUUAAAUAUUGACAACCACAAAUUAUUAGGACAAUAAACGAGUUUUGAAAGAGAGAAACUUGUUGAGCCCAUAUGCAGUAAAUUUGUUCUUCAAGUUAUGAUGUUGAAAUGAUGGCAGCAAAAUACAAGUCACUGAGUUUGAGUGGCUGUUAAGAUAUUUAUGUAAAAUAUCUACAUGGGGAAAAAUAUCUUGCGUUGCAGCAGUAGCACCAUGAAAAAUACUUGAAAUAGAUCAAAUCUGUACAAACUUUAUGAACCAAAUUCACCCCCCUCCCCAGUAGGCUAAAUUUAGUAUGGAGACAGAGUUCCUUUUGUCAAGCAGGAACAGAUAAACAAUUUACGGUUGAUAAGAAGCCAAUCAGCCAUUUAAAAAGCUUCCAAAUCUUAGCUUUGAUCAUUGUUAUUUCUUUUUCUAAUUUUGUGUUGUGUUUAUAGUUGAAGCAUUUACGGUAUUCUGCAAAAUAAGGGCAACAUUAUAUAGACAGUGAAAUGGAAAUAUAUGUUUCUAAAUGCAGACUGUUAGUAUUGUUAACGUGAUAACGAGCUUAGCCUUGGAACAAUUUUCUCAGGAAAAAGUUAGGAUUUUUCCUAUUUUGGUACAACUCAAAAGCGUUAUCUUAUGAUUAUCAAUGUCUGAAUUCCUAUUGGUUUGUAACAUUUGGGAUGUCUAUUUUGCAAUGUCCAGUUGGAGUAAUUUUGGUGAAGCUGAUCUAUCGAAAAUCUCAACCAAUUUUUGAAGUGUUAUUUGUUGCUCCAAUGAGAUAAUGCCACUUGUUAUGGUCGGAUAUAUAUUCCCCAAUACCAUAUCUGCUUGGAACAAACAUUAUUUUAUUUGUUUUUUUUUUACUGUUUGCUUACAGAUUAAUGGUUGACAGAAACAAGAAUCACGGAAUUUAAAAAGAAAAAAAGAAUUAAUUAAGUUUUUUCAUGAGCAUUCAAAAUUUUAAAUUGUAUUAAUUAAGCCUUUUUACUAUUAUUUAUUUAUUUUUAACCAUUACUGUCAAUGAUAACAAUUUCUAACCUAUUAUUGCCAGUUAGUAAAAAAUUAAAAAAUUUCAAAAAAAAUUAUUUGAACUUUUUAUAUCUAGAAUAAAUUUGGACAAAUAAAUAAUUAUUUGUGUAGGUUCAUCUUGGAUUUAAUCUUUUAAAAAAUAUAUAAAUUUUAAAAUUAAUAAAAAUGUUAAAUAAAAUUCAAAAUAGAAAAUUAUUUAAAUGUUUAAGUCCAAAAUUAUAUAAAGUUUUAAAAAUAUUAAUUUUUCUUAAAAAUAUGAAAUGUGUAUCAAUGUUUUAAUUUUACUGUAACUUUUAGACUAUAAAAAAAAAGAAUAGAUCGUAUAUAUAUAAUUUUAAAUUUUAUUGAUUCUAUUUAUAAAGUUAAAAAAAAUGAGUAUAAAUGUAUCUCAAUUGUAUUCUUACACGUGUAGCACUAAAAGUACUUGAACAAACUAAUAGAUAUUACAAUUUACUAAAAUAAAUAAAUUAGUUAAUAAAAAUUUUAUUUCUAAAAAACAAUUUGAAAGAAUUUUAAUAUUACCAAAUUUGAAAAGAGUUUUAAAUAUAAAAAAUUAAUCAAAUAAUAUGAAGAAUAAUAAUUUAAAAGGUAAACUACGUUGGUGGUGUUAGGUAGGUUUUAUUUUGGUUACUCAAUUUAAAAUAUUUUCAAUUUCGUCACUAGCAUUUUUAAAAUUUAAAAUUUUAAUCCCUACCGUUAAAUACUUAACGAAAAGUUGACGUGGGCCAUUUUUAUUGGCCUAAUAAUAAAUUUAGUCUUUCAAUACUUACACAUUUUAUCAAUUCAAUUUGAUUCUUAAUCUAACAAUUUAACAAAUUUACAAAAUUUGUCAUUUAGUUCUAAUUCUAAAAAAUUGAAUAAAUUUAGCUUUAUAUAUUUACAGAAUUUAAACCUUUAGAAUUAGAUUAAAUUAACAAAUUUUGUUUGAGUUUCAGAGUGCGGAGAAAACCGAAGUUAAAAUGAUCAAAUUUUAUUGGAUGAUGUAGGUCUCUUAUAAAAUUCCCUAAAAAUCCCUUCAUUAGGAAUUUGAACUUUAGAAUUUUUAUUUAGAUUUCAAAAAUAGUAAAUUAAAUGGUAAAAUAGUUAGAUAUGUAAUAUUUAAAGCCCAAACUAAUAACUAGGGUAGAAGAAGUACCUGAUUUAUGUAAUAUAAGUUUUUUCUUAGAAUACAAUUAAAAUGUUUUGAUAUUUGAGGAUCAAUUUAUAAUAUGAAAUGUAGUUUGAGGAUGUUAAUGCAAUUAACUCUUUCUAGAUAUUCAAGCGAUAAUUGUAUGUACAUGGCUGAUGCCUUUGUUAGUGAGGGAUCCAGCUUGGAAGGGUAACUGCAAUCUGUUUAAUCCGUUGGUUCGAUAACUUUUUUUAAUUAACUUAAAUCAUUUAAAUCGACUUUGAUUCAGUUCGUAAAGUAAGUUUUUCCAGUAAAUCGAGGUUGGAUUAUUAGGUUGAGUUUAUACGAUUAUAUAUUUAUUAUAAAAUAUAAAAUAUAGAUAUAUUUAUAUAAUUUAAAAAUAAUAUAAAAUAAGUUAACUUUUUCGAUCAAUUCAAUUUCAAGUUUCAAAAAUUAAUAACUGACCAAAUUAAUCGAUUAAGUCAAGGCCAAAACUAACCAAUUCACUCACUUGACUAAACUGAAAUUAAAAAAAAAAAACUGAAUGAGUCAUUUUUUUCGAUUUUUUCAACUAAAACUGAAAAUUGGUCUCCAUAAAUAUGAUAGUCUAAAGUUCAAAGAUUCAAUGUUUCUACAAGGUAAACUUAAAGGAUUUCGGUGGGAAAGUACUUUUCCAAUUAGUGAUGAAUAUAUUGCUUUUAAAAAGUGUUUUUUCGUCUAAAUAAAAAAGUUGAGAUUCGGAUGCUUUUGACUUUUGCUCUCAUCUUUUGCGUUUUGAAGUGAAAUGAUCAAAAUAUCAUUAUUUAUAGUAAUUAUAUUUAAAAUGUAUAUAAAAAAUUAGUUUCAUUUAUAUUUUUUAUAUCAUUAUAUUAAAUUAUUUAAAUAUCAUUUAUCAUUAUAUUAAUUUACUUAAAUAUUAUUCAUAAAUAUCGUUAUAUUAAAUUAUUCAAAUAUCAUUCAUCAUUAGGUAUAAAAUUUUAAAAUAUUUUAUUUUUGUAUCAUUGAUUUUAGAAGUAAUUUAUAUUAAUAACUCAAAAGGUGGUUGGAAUUUAUAUUUCAUGUAUCAUUAUAUUAAAUUAUUUAAAUAUUAUAUAAAUUAAUUAAUUUUUUUCUUUCCAAUAUCAUGUUUAAAAUAGAUAUUUUAAUUUUCAAUCACAAUUUUUGAUAACAACAUCAAACAUUUAAAAUUAACAAACCAUACUUUUUUCAUAAAAUUUUCAAAAACAUUUUUCAACACAGUAAUAAUGGGGAACUAAGCCUUCAUUUCUAAGGGCUAAGAAGGGUUGGAUGGUUAGUUAUGUCAAUCUGUUUUGAGUUGGGUUUGUGUUUAAAUUUUUUAAUUUUGGGUUGGUCUGAUUCAAUCUGUUUUAUUGUUUAAAAAAUAAAAUACAUAAAAAAUAUUUUUUUAUUUUUAUAAUUAAAUUUAUACUAUACCUCCUAAUUUUUUUAACAGUUAGUUAUAUGUCUUGCAAUUAAAUCUGUUUAAGGGUUGAGUUCUCUGUUUAAAUUAGAAAAUUUAUUUGAAAUAUAAAAAUGUUUAAAUAAAAAUAAUAAGCUUGUAACAACCUAAUUUUUAGUGGUAUCAAAAACAGUGAUUUGGGAUCACUAAAUCCGACAAGUAAGCUUGAAAAUAUAAUAAAUUAAUAAUUAUGGGUCAAAUGUGAAUUUAAAAGAAUAUUUGAAUUAGUGAAUUCUGUGAUUUAGUGAAUUUUGUGAUUUAAAAAGAAUUUAAUUGGUAAAUUGGGUCUAAAGCAAGGUAUCGAGACCUCGAAUUCAUAAGUCGAGCCAUAAAUAUUUUUAUAAAUAUUUAUGGAGUGUCAUUGAGUUAGUAUAAAAGUUUCGUUAGAAAAUUUUAAUGUUUGGAUAGUCAAUUAAUUAAAAAAGACUAAAUUGAAAAUAGUACAAAAUUUGUUAAAUUGUGAUUAAAUAGUUUUGGGCAAGAAAAUCAGCAAGAAAAUAAGGAGAAAUAAGGGAAAAAUUGGAAAUUUUGCAAAUUAAACAUAUAAAAUAAAGACAAAAUUGAAAAAUCUAGAGAUAUUAUCAUUUUUCUUCAGCCAAAACGCCAUAGGAGAGAGUUUUCAAGCUGGUUUUUCAUAUUUGUCAUCAUGUAAGUUCAAUUAUUGCUUUUUCUUUGUAAUUUUUCAUGUUUUGUGACUUUUACAAUUAAGUCCAAUUAUUGAAUUCAUUUGUUUUUGAUUCUAUGAAUGAUUUUGAUUCUUUGAAAGUUACCAUGAGUGAGUACUGGAAUUUUAUGAUGAAUUAUUAUAGAUUUUAAGCUUUAAUUUUAUUAUAUUAUGAUUUUAUUAAGUGAUUUUAGUAGAAAAUGAUUUUUAAGACUUAAUUGUGAAAAAGUUAGGAAUUGGGAUUUUGUACUGAAAUUCUGAAUAUCAAAGGCUGUAUAAUAGCCUAAAAUUAUUAGAUAAAGUGUUAUUUGAGGAAAAAAAAUUAGUUCAAUUAAAGUGUUAAUUGAGUAGGGACUAGAUUGUAAAAACUGUAAGUUUUGGGGUAAAAGUGUAAUUUAAAAAAUUGAAGGGCAUAAAUUAUGAAGUGAAUUAGUAUUGAGUUAGAUGCUAAUGAAUGGAAAAAUUUAUAUUAUAGAUCGGGAAUCUGAAGAUAAAUGCGGAAAAGAGAGUAUUAAAAUAGUCUUUGAACUUUUACAAAUCCUACAAAUUGGCCUAGGUAAGUUCAUACGGUUGAAUUUUUAUGGUUAAUUGUUAAUGUGGGAAUGAUAUAUUGUAUCAAUUCGUAUAUUGUUUUUGAAUUAUGUUUAUGGUAAAAAUGAGAAAAAAAAUGAGAUUGUUAGUUUAAAUUAAAGGAUACGUAGGAUUGAGUACAUACGUUCUGUAAUCAGUGAUGAAUUGACGAAUAAGCCCAUGGUGAAUCCAUGGAAAAAUUGUGAAAGGUAGGUAUGUUUCAGUGAAGAAAGCCAUACUAAGUUGUGAAAAGUAUGUAUGGUGUUUCAGUGAAGAAAACCAUACUGAGUUGUGAAAAGUAGGUAUGGUAUUCCAGUGAAGGAAACCAUACUGAGUUAUAGCAUUGUAAAAUAUUCAAGCAAAUCGUGGCACCGGGCAAACGAUGUACUCAAAUCCGUAAGACGAUCCUUAAUUUGACAAGUAUUUGUAAGUGCAAUUGAAGCUGAAUGUUGGAAUACAAGUUGAUAUUUAAUAUUGAGCUCAAUUGAGUAAAUUCAUUGUUUGAGAUUGUGGUUUGUAGGAAAUGUUGUAUUAUACUUUGAAAUUUCAUGAAUGCUAUGGUAUGUUAUUUUAUAUGAAUGUUAUUAAACUGAGAUAAUUGUGAAAAUAUAAAUGUUUGAAUAAAAGUUCUAAUUUAGUGGAACAUUGGAUUGAGUACUUUCGUUCAGUGACUCAUACGCAUUGACGGAAAAGACCAUGGUUGGACCAUGGCAAUAUGUGAUAUGUGAUUUCCGUAUAAGACCAUAUCCGAGAUAUGGCAUCGGUGUGAUAUAUGCUUCCAUGUAAGACCAUGGCUGGGCUAUGGCUUUGGUGUGUGAUAUGUGAUUAUGUGCAAGACCAUAGUUAUACUAUGGCAUUUUAAAAAACGAAGUACUCAAUUCCGUAAGCGUUUCCUAAAUUGAUUAAGAAAGGGAAGAAUUAAUGAAAUUAUAAAUUGUAUACUUGUUAUAAGAUGUUCGGUAAGAAUUAUUUUCUAUGCCUAUGAACUUACUAAGCUUACAUAAGCUUACUCCUGUGUGAUUAAUGUUCUUUGUAGAUUGAUGUGAAAUCGGUGGAUCAGAUCAACACAUCAAGGCACACUAUUCAGAUUACUUCGGUAAAUUUUAUUGUGCAUCUUAAGGUUUAUAUGGCAUGUAUAGGGUUUAAGUGAAGGUGUUAUAAACUUAGUUAUCGACAUUUUCCACUAAAACAGUUUUUGGACAGCAGCAUUGACAUGAUUUUAAAAAAUUACUAAAAAUGGUGGAAAUUGAAUUAGAAGAUGAGUAAGAUAUGAAAUUAAAGCUGAAUGAGUCUAUUUUCACAUGAAAGAAAUAGAGUAAGCAAAAGAGUUGUAUAUUUUUAGAUAUUUGAAUUUUAGUGAGACAGGGUCAGAAUAGUUUUUGAAAUCACAUGUUCUGACUUUAGAAAAUUAUUAAAAAUUGUACAGAAAGAAUUGGAAGUUAUAAUUUAUAUUUAUAGAUUCCUUAGUGAGUUUUUUUUCAAUAGAAACAAACGAGAAUGUUAUCCGAAUUCUGUACAAUGAGAUAAUUAAUUUUUAGUGAAGAGGGGUCAGAGCUGUCGAACAAUGAAACAGGGGAGACUUUAAAGAAUAAACUAUACUAAUUGACUAAACCAAAAAUUCUGAAAAUUUUAUGAUAAGAAUAUAUAUGAGUCUAGUUUCAGGGAAAAUUUACGGAUCUAAAUUUUGAGUUUUGUAACUUGAGUUAUAAUUAAAUUAGUGACUGUUGCGCAGGUGGACAGUUUUAUUAUGAAUGGUGAAAUGAAUUUUUUUGAUUUGUUUUAGUAUUUGGAAAAUUAUUAAUGUUCCCGGUUUGGACCCGAACUGUUUCUAUUGCAUGAUUUAGGGUCUCGAGAUUCCUUUUUAGGGACAUAUUGAAAGAACGUGAGUGAAUUAAUUUUAAAAGAAAAUUUUUAUGCUCCGAACUAGUAAGUUAAGUUAGGUAAUACCUCGUGCUCGACUCCAGCAACGGUCUCGGGUAAGGGGUGUUGCAAAGCUCAAAAAAUAAGCUUGAGCAAAAUUUAAGACUCGCUUUUAUUUGAGCUGAGUCUUAGAUAAGAUUUUUUUUCCUCAAAGUUGAACCCAAGUUAAAUAUACAUUUAAUAUAUAUUUUAAAUAUAAUAUAAUAUAUUUAUAAAUUAUUUUAAAGAAAAACAUUGCGUGACACGCUUUCUUCGGACCUAAGCAAAUAUUAAAAGACUUGGAACCUUGUUUCAACAUGACUCGACCAAUUGAUCAUGUCCUCAUCAUUUAUUUGUAUUGUUCAACUUUUUACAACAACAAAAAGAAGGCACAUUGUUCUAUUCAUUAAUGGUAGAGUCACUUGCUGUUGUCUAGCUCAAACUUCAAACGUCAAAGGCAAAAGUACGUUCAAUACAUUUACUACUAGAUGUAAUGGUAGAGUCACAAAUUCAACUUAUCUGUUGGAUUUUCUACCAGAAAGAUGAAGAUGAUACAUUCAAAACCACCGUACUUACUGAAUAUGAACCGGUCAUACUUCCAAGCCCGAUCAAGAUCAUUUUGUAGUAUAAAGAAACAUUAAGCAUAUAUAUUGCAGUAAGCAUAUGGUAGAACAUAAUAAUAGAAAGUUGAGUAAAAACUAGUCUCAGGCUUUGACUCAAUGAUAGGCAGCUGCACCCUGCAGUGCUGAAUGUUCGGAUAAGCCUAUGCUAGAAGAGUUCAGAAAUUUCACCGGUGUUUUCGGUCUUCGGCAUGUAGUCAUCGAGAUAUUGCUGAUAGACAUAGGAAAUGAAGCCCCAAAUAGCCAAAACCAUAGAUAUCACCUUUAUACCAUCCAUUUUGUCAUUGAAGACAAAGACUGCAAUUAUUGGAACUAUAGGCAAACCAAGUGCACUAAUGGCAGUGCAGAAGAGGGCAGACACCUCCAACACUAAUCCUACUGCACCAAUGUAGAAAACAGCCCAACAUAUAGCAGUCCAAAUCAAUACCAUGAGAUAGGAAAAUUUCCCAAGUCCAUAUUCAUCCAUUUCUCCGCUAAACCCUUUCCAAUCUCCGCUAGCAAAGAAGCCCACUAGUAUAGCACUUGAUGCAACGAGUGAUUGGCACAUCACCAAAUCCAAGACAACCUUAAAUGACUGCCUUACCACAAGCUUUCGAAGCGCAAACUGCUGUAAGGCAACUAACAGUCCAGACCCUGCUGUUCCCAAAAUGGUGCAUAUGAAUCCAGCGGCACAAUGUACUUGAGAAACUCCAGCAAGCCUUGAAGAGUUAUUAUUGAAUACAAGGAGCACUGAGGAAAUGGUGAGAAGGACUAGAGAAUUGAUGAUAAAAGGAGUGAACCUUUGGGAAUUAAGGAAGUACGAAAAGAAUGCAUUAAAAGCCAGCUGAGAUGCAGCAAUGAGGGUGACAGUAGAUAUAGGAAGAUACUGCAUGCCAACUGAAUAAAGAAAGCCAAUUCCAGCUGACAUCAAGCCGAAGGUUACAUAGACCAAACCCAGCAUCAUAAUUGAUGGUUGGUUAUUACUUCCAAUGCUACAAUGAUUGGCAGUGAGCAUUUUGGGCCGAGAAAUGCAAUAGAAAGGGACUAGAAUAGGGAAACCUGCAAAUUGAAUUAGUGUUGAUAGCCAUUUGCUUUUUCCACCUUUGUCAAAGUAAAGUCUUCCCAGCAAUGCGGCUACUGAUUGGCCGCAGAGGAGAAAGAUUAUACAGAGCAAUAUGCAAAUCCAGCGCUUGUAUUUCACAGUUCCCAACUCUGUUAUUACUUGGUUGGUGGCAUUUCCAUUUUCUUCCUUAGCUUCUUGAGCUGCCAAAUAUCAAACAUGAUGUACUUGAGUCUCAGUAUUGAAUGAAAUUUGAAAUAUUCUUUUUCUUUAAUGUAAGUUGGUGAUUCUAAUAUCAGGCUAGUUCAAUCCCCAAGUUUAAGCUUAAAGAGUGUAGACAAUUUGAUAUCAAGAUUGUUCUUAUUUCAGUCAGACUGGAAGAUUGAUUUUAUACUAAAAUCCAUAGAUAAAAUCAAACUGUUUUGAGUUCUUUUGGAGGAGAAGCAUUUUCCAUCUUCCAAGUUUGGUCUAAAUUUAACUUACUAUACAUUGAUCAGUACAAAAUAGGGUGCAAGUGAGAACUCUUAAUCAUAUAAAUCAACCCAAUUUCUAGUCUUCAACUAUCAACAUGCUUAGUUUGAAACCUGGUAUAUAUAAUAUAUUGCUGUAAUAAUUAUAUGUAUGCAUAAUCACCUCUAAAGGUAAAUUAUAUAUAUAAAUAUAUUCCCGGUAACUAAAUAAAGCCAUAGUCACAGAUGAAACACAUAGUGUAGUGGUAAAAAGUUUUUUUUAAUUAAUAAGAAAAUCAACUUCUGCAACUAAAAUAUCAUAUGAACAUAACUUUGGGAAGGAAAAAAAAUUGCAGAAAAGUAAGGUGAAGACUUACCUACGAUGGGUAGUUGAAAAUGCCGAGUUUCUGCCAUUUCUUGCAAAGGAUGAUUAUCCAGCACAAUAUGGUGAUGGUAAUACACACACGCAUAUAUUAUGCCUGAUUGGUGUGGACUUUUCAAUGGUGUCAUGCAAUUAUUUGCGUCCAGCUUUUUACUAUUAGGUGAACUUAGUGUUAGAAUUUGGACUAAUCCAACAUGAAAAUACUGAUUAUAUACAACAGAAGCGACUUCAAUAAAACAUUAAGUAGUUAAUACGAUAUAAAAUAUAUAAGCAUGAAUUAUUAAUAUUUUAAAAUUUAUUUACCAAUAUAUAAUACGAAAAUAUAAAUAUAAUAUGAAUAUAUAAUUUUUUAUUUAAUUUAAUAUUUAAACUAUUAUUUAAAUGUGUGAGUAUCACUCGAAUCAAAGAAAUUACUAAAUAAUUUUAUAUUAUUUAAUUUUUUAUUUUUAAAAAUGAUAAAUAUUGAGAUUUUAACUAAUUUACCCACUUAGAAAAUUGAGGUUCUAGAAUGUAAUUUCCAUUUGACUAUGAGUAGAGUUGAUUUGACUGUUUUGACGCCUUGUUCCUGUGAUUUUUUAUUUUGGUCAAUGAUUCACAAAGCAAGUUGAAAAGAAAAUUAAUUGGGGGGAUUAUUCUCCUGAAAAUUAAUAUGAAGUUGGACCCAAUGCUUUUAAUUUCGUAGCGGCCGCCAAAGGAGACCAGUAGGAUUUACUUUAUCUUUUCUUUGUCAUAAAAUAAUAUUAUUUUUAAUUCCAAUUAAUUAUAAAUCAAAAUAUUUUUCAUUUAAUUCGAUAACUGCAUGUUAUGGGAUUAAGGUUAAUUUUUUAAAGAGAGAAAUGGCAUAUUAUUUGGAGAAUUCCAGACUUUGGCUUGCAAUCCUGCGACAAGUUCUAUGGUUUCUUUGCUGUACGCCGAGUCUGUCAAAUUCAAUUGUAUUGCUAUUUAUACGAUAAACAUGAAAACGAAAUAGCUCCUGCACGUAAACAUUGUACUAUGCCAUCAACAACAACGACAUUAAGCAUAAUCAAUCAGCAUCAUUCUUAUACUUACAACCAAUGAAAAACAGGUAAUAAAUUGAUUAUGAUAUUUUUAUCUUUCUUCAUCACAUGGAAAAUCCCGAACUAAAUAACCCUAUUAAGUAUGAAAUUGUUUAAUUUUAGAUACUCAACUUACAUUUAACAACUUGUUAUUAUUGCAAUUCACAAUACAUAACACUAAGAGUUGAACUCUUAAAAUUUAGAACAAUUUGAUUUUCUUCUCUAUAUAACUUUGAUAAAGACAUUGCGGUAUUUCAUGUAUCAUAAAAUAAAACCAGUAGAGAAGCAAAACCCAAGUCAUUUCAAAUGCUAUUGACAACAUCACAUACUUUCAUUGGUACUACAACCUAGACCUAUCCAUGGGCCGGGCCCUAACAAAAUUAUAGGUCCGUUUGAUAGGCCCGGGCUCGACCCGACUUGAAAAAACGGGCCUAAAUUAUUGCUCAAGCUCAACCCAUAUUAUAGAUAACAAACCUGAGCCCAACUCAUAUUAAAAUUAUUUUAUUUUAUUUUUAUAUAAACAAUUAAAAAUAUAAUAAAUCAAAAAUACUAAAAACAUUAAAAUAAAUGUUUCUCAACAAACAAAUUGAAAAUAAAUUAAAAAAUAUAGUUAUACUUAAAUAACACUAAGACAAGUGCAACUUAACAAGAAAAUGACUUUAAAAUAGUAGUAAAAUUAACAAUAAAACAAAAGUUCUACAAUAUCCAAACAAUAACAGCAAAAUAGUAGUAAUAUAAUAGUGAAAUGACAACAAAAUAGUUAAAAAAACAGCAAAACAAUAGUUUUUUUUUAUACAAAUUCAGGUUAGGCCUAAGCCAAAAGAACCUUACUUGAGGCUAAACGGACAUUUAUUUGCUCAAGCCCAUUUUUCGAGAUUAUAUUUUUGCCCAAACCCUCCUACUUUUCGAGCGGGCCUUCGGGCCGGGCCGGAUAACCUUGCCCAUGGACAGGUCUACUACAGCCUAACAUGUUUUAAAAUUUACCAUAAAUUACAAUGCAAUAAAUUUGAUAUCCAUUAUUUCUUUAUAGGUUUUUGAAGCGUUUUUAUUCUUGAUUUAUUUAGAAGUCUUUCCUUUUUUAAACAUUCUAUCAGAUGUUCCAAGGUGAGGUUGUAAUUUUAUCAAAUAACGAUAUCGAUUUUUGGUACUUUUCAACAUAUAAUUGACUUAAAAUGCACCAUAAAUCAUGAAUUUUUUUUCAUUUUAUGGCAUAUUUGAUAUAAUAUAUAUAUGAUCAAUAACGCAAGACUUAUACUGCAUUCAAGAAACAUAUUUACCUACCUAAUUCAAGAUUCAUUUACUAUCACGAUAAUCAAUUGUUGAACGUCAAAUUUGAUCACCUAAUUUAAUUAGUUUUAGCAUUUAAUGUCUAGGGUUUUUUUUUUUGCCUAUAUAUUUGAAUUCUAUCCAAAAAGAACUUCAUUCUAAACCAUUUAAAAGGCUAGUAAAGCAUUCCUUUUUUCCACCAAUGAUAAGUUUAUGUUCCAUGUGAUUUCUGGGCCAAAUCAAUCGCCUUUUGUUUUUCUUUUAAUACAUCUAGUUGGUCAUAGACCUCAUUGAAAUCUUUGACAAGCAAGUUGAUUCUUACCUUACAGUAAGCCUCAACAGGAGCAUCAGUGGUUUUAUUAAAAGGUUGGUUUGGGUUUAAAAAGCGUUUAGCGACAGAUUCAACAGACGGAUGACCAAACGAAUAAGGUUUACCAGCUAGUAAGAAAAUAAUAAAAAGAAUCUCACCACCACAUAUAGUGGAGAGCUUAGAGAUUUUCUUAUAAAUUCCUGUACGUCGUUUUGAAAAUGAGAUGAGCCUAUCAUCCUCAUUUUUAAUGAUUUUAAUCUCAAUUUUUUGUUUUCCCCUAGUUUCUUGCCCGAGCUUGCCAUUGCAAAAAAGAUCAAAAGAUAAAAGAAACAAACAAAAAAGUUAAAAAUGAAUGUUUUACUAGCCUUUUAGAUGGUUUGGAAUGAAGUUCUUCUUGGAUGGAAUUUAUAUAUAUAGGCAAAAAAAAACUCUAGAAAUUAAAUGCUGAAACUAAUUAAAUUAGGUGAUCAAAUUUGACGUUCAAUAAUUGAUUAUCGUGUUAGUAAAUGAAUCUAGUCUUGAAUUAGAUAGGUAAAUAUAUUUCUUGAAUGCAGUAUAAAUAUUAUGCUAUUGAUUGUGUAUAUAUUAUAUCAAAUAUGCCAUAAAAUGAAAAAAAAUCAUGAUAUUUUGGUGCAUUUUAAGUCAAUUAUAAGUUUAAAAGUAUCGAAAAUCGAUAUCGUUAUUCGGUAAAAUUAGAAGCUCACCUUAGAAUAACAAACAUCACCAUACUUUCAAUGGUAGUACAACCUAACCUAUUCUAGAAUUUACCAAAAUUUGCAAAGCAAUAAAUUUGAUAUCCGUUAUUUCCUUAUAUGCUUUUGGAGCAUUUUUUUUCUUGAUUUAUUUUGAAUUAUUUCCUUUUUUGAACAUUUUAUCAGUUAUUCCAAUGUGACCUUCUAAUUUUACCAAAUAACAGUAUCGAUUUUCAACAUAUAAUUGACUUAAAAUGUACCAUAAUAUCAUGAAAUCUUUUUUCAUUUUAUGACAUAUUUGAUAUAAUAUAUAUACGAUCAAAAACACAAGAUUUAUAUUGCAUCAAGAAAUAUAUUUACCUACCUAAUUCAAGACUAGAUUCAUUUACUAACACGAUAAUCAAUUGUUGAACGUCAAAUUUGAUCACCUAAUUUAAUUAGUUUCAGCAUUUAAUGUCUAGGGGCUUUUUCUUUUUGCCUAUAUAUAUAAAUUUCAUCCAAUAAGAACUUCAUUUCAAACCAUUUAAAAGGCUAGCAAAGCAUGCCUUUUCAAUUUUUUUGCUUGUUUCUUUUUUCUUUUGAUCUUUUCUGCAAUGGCAAGCUCAAGUAAGAAAAUUAAGGGAAAACAAAAAAUUGAGAUUAAGAUCAUUGAAAAUGAGGACGAUAGGCGCAUCUUAUUUUCAAAACGACGUACAAGAAUUUAUAAGAAAAUCUCUGAGCUCACUACUUUAUGUGCUGGUGAGAUUCUUUUUAUUAUUUUCUCACCGACUAGUAAACCUUAUUUGUUUGGUCAUCCUUCUGUUGAAUUUGUUGCUAAAUGCUUUUUAAACUCAAACCAACCUCUUAAUGAAACAUCUGAUGCUCCUGUUGAGGCGUACCAUUUGAAAAGUCACCACAUCUUUUUAAGUUGUUUUAUGUAUUUAAAAAGUCAUGUUGUCAUAUCCCUUUUUGAUAAAACUUCAAAAGAAGAAGAAGAUGGUAACAAUAAAAUGCAUGCAUUAAGAGCAAAUAAAUUAAAAUUAAAUUUGAUUAUACAUUUGCAUUUUUUGCUUACUAAGUUUGUGUAAAUAUUUACGAUUAUAAUUAAAUAAAAAACUUAAAAUUUAAAAAUAGUAUAAAUGUUUUUUUAAGUAAUAAAAAGGAAAGGUGAUAGCGAAAUUAAUCUAAAUGUUAUAUUUAGAUAUAUUUUACAUGUAAAAAGUUUUUAAUUACGGUUUAACGAUUUAUUUUUUAAGUAAUAUAAAGAAAAGGACAUAACGAGUUUUGCUAUAAAAAAUUCUAAAUGUUAUGCUUAGAUAUAUUUUAACGUAAGGAGAUAAAAAAAAACAUGUACGCGAAUUUCUAAUUUUGUUUUAGCGAUAUAUUUUAUUAAAUUAGGAUAAUGUUGAAUUCUAUUGUUUUGUUUUUCUUAUUGGGAUAUUAUAAAAGAAGUUGAUUAUUCAAUAUUUUUUUUAAAAAAAAUUGCAACAAAACAAUUAAAAAAAAAACCCAUCUAUGGAAAUUCAAAUGAGUACCCAUAAAAUAAUACAAUAAUAAUACCCAAUAAGACAAUGAUAUUACUUGACGGAAGUACCAUGAAGAUGAGCUCAAAUGGUUGCUUAAAAUUAGAGAGAAUCAAGUUGUGCCAACAAAACAAUGUUAAUUUUUUACCAUAUUAGGAAAAAUAAAAAUAAUGUAUACAUGGUAAUAAUGAAGGAUUAAUCAGUAAUACCAUAAAUUGACAAUAGACGACCCUUCAAUUUUUCUUAGUUUGUUCUUCUCAAGUGUUAAUAUUAUAUUAAUUUUGCCGACAUAGCAACACUAGCGGUUAUUGUUGUGUUAAGUUAAUUAAAAAUGUAAGGAGUGCCUAUAGAAGGGAUCCAUAUUCUAAGCUUUUGAGUGCAGUGAGUUUCUUCAAAUUUCUCCCUUCUCUUGUUGAUUUGUUUUGUUGUAUGGUGGGUAUGGAUGCUCAGCACUCUUAUCGUCAAUAAUGCUGUCGACAUUCAUGAUUAAAUAUAAUAAGUCCAUUACUUGAUUACUUUGUGAUUGCUUUAUUUAGUAAUGCAUAUUGCAUGGAAAAUUAAAUUCAACAACACUUAACUUUACCUAGUUUAAGAAUAUGACUGAUUAAUCUUGCAGUAUUUUAAACAAUUUCUUUAUUUGUAAUAUUUUUAAUUAUUAUAUAUGUUAAAUAGGAUAUCUUAUAUAAUUUUUUUUGAGAUAAUUAAUUUAUAAUUAUGUAAAUAAUAUAACAUUAUGUAAAUACUUAAAGUUGAACUGAGUUUAAGUUUAAUCUUCAUAAAUUUCAAUCAAAAUUAGCUUUGGCUUAUUCAUGAACAUAUUUAGGCGUAAAUUAUUGAAAAAAUUAAAUCAAUUGAAAAAUAAUAUUUUUUAAUGAUUUAUUUUUUUAUACAAAUUUAAUAAUUCAAAGUAAAAAAUGAUAGAAUUUUUUCUUUGAAAAAGUGUGGAAAAUUGUAAGUAUAUAAUAGUUACUUAUCACUUAAUGGAAAAUAUUUUUAAUUAUUUCAAAUUUAUUUUAAUUAUUUUAAUAUUAUAUUAUCCUAUAAAAAACUUUAUGUUUAAUAUUUAACUUUUAGUGAAGUUUUGAAAAUUUAAGGAUAAAAUUUAUAAUAUAAUUUUAACAAUUUAAUAUCUAUAUUUAUCAAAUAAUUUAAUUAUAUUUCAUAAUUAAUUUUGAAUAACAUAUUAAAUAAAUUUUAUAACUUAAAAUUUCAAUUUAUUAAACAAUAAAAGUUAACAAUAACAUCAAAAGGAUAUUUAACAUAUAAUUCAAAUCUAGUUGCUUUAAAUAUUGAUAAGCAAAGCAAACGUGAAAUGAAAAUUUUAAUGCUUUUAAAAUAUUUGGCUAAGGUAAAAAUUGUGGUGCCCAGAAAUAAGUAGUUUUAAUUACACUUAAAACGUUCUUAAAUGAAAGCUUUUGUAAAGAUUUACUCAGUGUAAAAAAGAGAAACACUAUACUCUUUAAAUUAAAAUGUUCGCUUCAAAUAAAAGUGAGAACUACAAGAUAAAUAAAUAGAAAGAGAGACAUAGGCAUAUCAAGAGUAAGUGUUCAAAGAUUCAAAUGGCUGCAACAAAAGAUAAUUUGAUUUUAGCUCAAUUUAUAUCUAAAAACAUUUUCUUAUUAAUAAGGUUACAUUCCAUUCUCUCACUCAAAAUAUUACAUAAUUAUACCCAGUUUUGAUGUCGUAAAAUACAUCCCCAAAUGACAAAUGAUUAUGAGAGAAGUUCCCAAUAACAUUUUGCAUUACUAUUGGAUCUCCAAUUUGUUUGGUACCGAAACACCACAUUCUAUGUCACAUCAAUCUACAUUUUUUCCUUCAAUAAAUGACCAAAAAAGGGAAAAAAAUACAAAAGGAGACGAUAUAUUGCAGUUCAUCAAUAUUCAACAAAAUGUAAAGAAAAAAAAAAAAGGAAAAAGAUUUACUUCCUGUUGGUUGCCUGCUUGCCCCCCAUCAUGCUCCCAAGGCAAUACCAAGACUCAUAGUUCCAGAUCGAGGAUGAAAAAUAGAGGGCAAUUUUACUCAAAAUCGUUGGAAACAUUCAAAUCCGAAAGCUUAGAUCGUGUAUACGUCUUCCAAGUUCACUUAUUCUGCUCCAACUAUUUAUGUAUGUUUUUUGUAUGUCCGAUGUAAAAGCGCUCGCUAUCCAACUUCAUGCGUUCUCAGGCCUGUAAUUAUGGAAUCAGUUAUAUGCAGGUUAAUAUAACAUAACAAAUGAUGAUAAAGAAGACCUGACACAUUGUCUAAAAUUCAGAAAACUCGUUAGUUCUUCAUAAUGAUUAGGAGCUUACAGUUGAAUGGGGAAUCUGAAGAAGAAUGAGUGAAGUGCAGUACAAACACACUGAAACGACUACUCCAGCAAUGAAAUUAUAUAGCAGCCGUCGGUUGUCUUUUGUGGGAAUGAAAACUGACUUAAGUUUAUUGGUCAAGUCGAACAGACGAUGAGAUAUCUGCAGAAGCAAGGCAAGAUGGUAGCAAAAGUGAGCAAGAUGAAUACAAUUGAAACUGUUGACAAAAUAUGGAAGAGAGGAGAGAAUUUGCUCACCAAGACAUAAAUAGCUGUUGUGAGCAUGAAGUUGAGUAGGGGAUAUUCCGGGAUAAAAGAAAGAAGCCACUUGGGCUGUCCAUUAGUCAUGUCUGAUCUGCAGGUGCGAAAUGCAAUUAUAACAAUCUUGUAGAUAUGUAAAUAUGUUAAUCUUACGUUGGCUUCAGUCCUUGUUGAAUUAUCAUGCUUUUUAUGAAGAAUCAAGAGAUGGAACUAGUUAUCCAGGAAAACCAAUUUCACUAACAGGCUUUUGUUUUAGAUAUAAUUUGAGGAACAGAUUAAAACAAGACGUUUAAAUGGUCAACAAACCUCAACCAGAUAUGAAAUUGUGAAAUGUAAGUCUCCAGAGUUAUCUUGCCAAGCCACCUAGGAAGCACAAAAAUGUAGCAUUAAUUAGAGCAAUGCUAAAAUAGCGCCAGAAAGUCCUCAAAAGGCAAAUCAAUAACCCACAGUCUAGUAAGAAAGCUGGAAUCGAAUGAAUUAGUUAUUUCCAGAAACAUACGCAAAGAGAGUCAAACUGUAACUUCGAAGCUGCUGAGUACAAUUCCGCAAGCAAAUGUAGACACUAGAAUCACAAGAAAGAAGACAUGGGAAUCAGAUUCUAUUUACAUGAUAUUCCUUGCACUUUCACAUAAACUUCCUCUAGUGUUCCAAGUAAACUAGAAAAAAGAUGGCAUUAAUACACACGUUAUAGGAAUCCAAGAUGUGUAUGGGUGAUAUUUGUUGUAAGUAACCUUGUCCAGCUUGUAAAUACAUUCAUACCACAUAUAGCCAACCUGAAGAAUUUAAGAAAUAAAAGGAAAAAAGCCUCCAUCAAAAACCAAAUAAGCAUAAUGGCAAUAUAGAGAUCUAGAGAUCAGGCAACUUACAAAUAAAGCAAUUGCAACAACACUUGCUUUGAUUGAAAAUUUUCUCUUGGUUUCACAUUCCUCCAAUUUUUCCAUCCAUUUCUCAACCUAAGAUUUAAAACAUUUCAAUGAAAAAGUUAAUUGUGCACAAAGAGAACUAGAUUGAUGAUUGAAAUUUUUUACUUACAUUUGGAUGAUAGUAGGCAUACAUCAUUCCAAUUAUCCAUACAUAGCGAUCCAGACCAGAUCUAAAAUGCCACUCAUGCAAUCGGUGGAGAUCAGGUUUUGCAGGAUCAGUGUACCCUGCCAUUUGAAGAGACAAAAUAACUGAUAUAAGCAAACAACUACAACAUAUCCCAGCAAAGAAGAAUGACUGGCUUUGAAAUAAGUAUAUUAAAAAUGAAGUUCAACUGAAAGUAUACAUAUUUAAAGCAAAGACAUUCCAACUUUAAUGCAAUAAAAAGAAUAAAAAAUAUUGAAGCAUAUCGAAAGGCAUCAGAAAAGGACAUGAAUAUUCUAAGCUGGUUGAUAAACAAAUAAAAAUCAGAAGAAUGAAGUCAGAAGGUUGCAAACCUAAUAGGAUAGCUAGUGGACUCCAGAAUAUUUCAAAAACUCCAGGAAUUUCCCAAAUAAAGAUAACUACAAGAAAGCAUGCAAGAAUUUUCACAGCCAUCACCGAUGGUAUCUCAUUAUACUUGUUGAAAAUCCCAAGAGCUCCAUACACCAUUACGGUGAAAAGCGUGUGCAUUGGGCAGAUGUAGUAAAGCAUGUAGUCAUUGUUGAGAACAAUACAACAAAAUGCCACAAAGAAGUUUAGUCGCCACAUCAUCUGCAUUAAAUAGAAGUUAUAGAAGGAUAAGAGGUUUACUGAUAUGCAUAAAGUGGAUAUAUAGUAUAACCCUUAAUAACUGGAAUGCUGGAAUGGUAUAGCGUAUCACCUGAGCAAAACGUGCUAGGCUAAAGUCCUUUCUGAUAUAAUAGUAUGAGAAGUUGCCAAAUCCCGUCAUCCAAACAUAUGCAGCAAUGAAGACACGUAUUGCAUUAUAUAUCUCCGCCGCAGCAAAAUAAUGGUACAUUAGAAAUAGCACCUGCAAAAAGCCCCUCCAAUAAAAGACAUGUGAAUACAGCUGAAUUUAGUACAGAAUAAGUAAUCUGCAGAGAGCAUGGAUGCCAUGCUACUGCAAACAUAAGCAAUCUCAUAAAUCAGGAAUUGGUGCAUGGGAACAUCAGUGCAGGUCCAAAGACAGAAUACUCAUAUCAAUUAUCAUAAAGCAUUUCAUACGAUAGUUUCACAAUUUAUAGGGAAUAUGCUUAUCAAUAUUAGAACAAAUGAGCAAGAUUAAGAAAAGCCAAUGAACAACUGUUAAGAUUAAAUAUAUGGAUCAAAAUUCAAAUAAUGAUUUAGGUAGCUAUUACCAAACAGAAAAAAGGUACUGCGGCAGAAAGUUAUGACAUUGACCUUUUCCGAGAUUUAAAAAUGAAAUUACGGUAUUGAGGAAAGUAAACACAAAAGGAACAUAAGGAAAUAUAAUCUAAAUACCACCUUUUCAAAAUUAGGUGAUUGGAAGGUGCCUAUGCUUCAGUAGUUACUCAUUCACAGGUUACAAGUUAAACAAUUAACACUUGCCUGCAUCCAUCCUUUCCAUUCUUCAGUCUGAUGCCUACUAAGGUACUGCAUGGUCUUUCCAGAGAAUGCUGAUUUGUCACUAUGCUUCGUCAAAGAAGUCAUUGCAGAAACUAUGAUGAGAAGAGCAUAGAGAAAGAGGAAAAGGUCGCGGUUGUAUUUCUGUACAAGGAAAUACACAUAAGAAAUCAUAUUGAGAAAAACAAAAGAACAAAAAAACUUUUAAUGUUAAUCAACAUAAGAAAGCAAAGUACCGACUCUCAACCUACCAUAAAUGUGAAAAUAUACAGCUACUUUAAACCAUUUAAAGAGGAAAAAAAUUAGCCAUCAAACAUUUCCAACCACCAGAGAAGUAAAUAAUUUCGGACAAUGUAUGGUAAUCCUUUAUUUUGAACUAUAAGCAAAAGGACAUAGUGGUCAAAACCUGCUUAUUAAAGAAGUAUCAAAUAUUUACCCAAACCAGAGGACCCAAGAAAGGAUGCAAGUACAUGGGAAGAAAAAAGGUUGUUUAUCAUUCAACUAAAAGGAAAAUGAGGACAACAAACAAUGAGCUUCAAGGGUAGUGGAAUGCAAAAAGUAAUUGAAGAGACUUUUAAGAGACUAGUAAACCAAAACUAAAGCCUCUUUCUGUCAUUUUGAAGGGGAAAGGAAUUAAGAGAAAACCAGAUGGACAUAGAUAAAAGUAGGAUACCAACAUAACCAGAAAGCACAAAAUAAUAUAACUAUAAAUAAUAAUGAAAAUGAGGACCCUAAUAAGUAUGCAGAUGCAAUAGUAUAAUGUUUAUAACUAACAUUGCUCUCAACCACAGAUGAAAGCAUGAAUUACAAUCAACAACACAACCAGGUAUAAAAGCACCUUGGUAGAUUCACCUAGUAAAUCUGUCCGAUCACAUAUGUAGAAGUACACCAGAAUAGCCCCAAACUCGGCCCUGCAUUAGAUUGCGUAGUCAAAUAUAAGACAAAAACAGAAAGCUGCCAAAAAAAGUGUCUUUCUGUUUAUAACUAACAUUGCUCUCAAAGUGGUUCGGUGUUCCAGAAGGAAAGAGUCUUCCAUGGUCAAAAACCUGGAGUCAUAAAUGGUAAGAUGAGUUUAGAGUACAAUCAUGGAAAACCAUAACAACACUGAAACUUAAAGAAAGCAACCUAAUCAAGUUUGUUCUGAUGGAUGAAGCAUGGAGCUUAGUAGAUGCUGAUCUUGUUAGACCCCCUUCAAGCAAAACAGCCCUGUCAUCUUCUUUAAUUGUCUCCUUUCCUAAUACAACCAGAUUACUAUCUGAAUGGCUGCAAAUGAAACACCGUCAUUAGCAUCAGCAAAUAUUGAAGUCAAUAACUCUAAAGAAUAGUGAUAUAAGCGUAACAAAUUUGUGCACCCGCGCUAACUCCUACUUGAAAUGAUUACUUACGCUUUAGAAAGAGAUGCCGAUUUCUUGUAUUCUAGGAACUCUGAAUAUAUCCAUGCAAUGAAAACUGGGAUAACUCCUAAGAGAAAAGACACCUGUAACAAUUAUAAAAAAAAGGCUUCAUUAAGUAUUUUGGGUAAAACUAGUCAUAGAAGAACAAGUUGAUCAGUUUAAAUAUAUAUAAAAUAUUAUAAAAUAGUAAGAACAAGUGACAUAAGUUAGAAUAGUGGAGUGAAAUAUUCACAUAAUGCAUGAUUAUAGAAGUUUAAAAGAUGAAAAAUAAAAGCCCAAUUUGAAAUAGAUGUUGAAAUAAUUAAAAUGCCACUCCUGCAUUAUAACAAUUGCGCGUAAGUUCUUUUGAUAAAAUAUCAAGUAAAACUUCAUAAACUUCCCAAUCUCAUUCACAGUUUCACUUUGAUUUCCAUUAUGAACACCAGUAUCAUCACAACUAACCAUAAUUCAUCAGAUUCUCCAUACACAUUGUGUCACUCAGUUGUGAGUCAAAUCUUUUCACACAUCAAACCAAGCAAGCCACUUAUGUAAAUCUAGUAACCAUAGAACUUUCAUAGAUUCUUAGUAGAAACAAGAAAUUUAACCCUCAAAAGUCAGAAGUCAGAAGUAUCAUCAUUGUUAAUCUCAAAAGAAAAAGAUAAUUUUCUACAAACAAACACGAGCUUAUGAGUAAGCUCUGAAACUCUAUAGAAAAAAAAUGAGGGGGCCUGAAUCUUAGAUACUUCCUUAAUAACGAAACAAAAUAAACAGAAUCCAAAAUUAGUAUAUAGAAAUCCACAAAUUCAAUAAUUGCAAAAAAAACAACUACAAAUGUUUUCAGCUAAUAAAUCACAGUGUCCAAAUUCAAAAGAUUUAAAAAAAUCUCAAAACUAAAUCUUAACUUAAACAAAAAAAAAUCAAUGAAUCAAUAAAAUUCUAAUUCGAAACCGUACCUGUCCAGGCGUAAUUGGCCCAGAAACCACCAUUUCUUUUCUGGAUCAAACAAUAACCUCCUCCAACUGUGAAAUUUGCAACAGCACCGAAUUAAACCAAUCCUCAAAAAAUGCAAAGUCUAAAUUAAAAGUGAGAAGGAAAAACAAAAGAAGAAAGAAUAGUUACCAAAGAAAGAGAAAACCAAUGAGUAGAAUAGAGAGAUUGUGCUAGGACAUGCUCAUAAAUACAACGCCUAAAACAAAUUUAUGUUUUAAUAAAAUAAUAAAAUAAAGGGCGAAUUGAAUAUUUGUAGACGAAGGAGAUCUCUAACCAGCUUGCUUCAAGAAUAGAGAAAAGAAAGGAAAAAAAAAAAAACUUCAGAUAUGACGUCGUUUUCACUCUCUCAAACGGUUGUUGUUGCCAUGGUUGCUGUUGUUUGCUUGGGUCUCUUGUUGCUAUUUUGCUUUCAGCUUUGUGCGCGUUAAUGUGAUGUGAGAAAAAUAAGAGAGAAAACAUAAAUUAUUUUAAAAAAGAAAAACAGAAAUUUCUAAAAUAAUUAUUUCCAGCAGAUUACAGCUGCUACAGAUAGAAUGUUUCCUUUUUUCUUCUAUAAAAACAGAUUGAAUGUUUAAUUAAAUUAUACAUAAUAAUAGUCCAGUGAGUUAGGAUUAACAUUCUAAUUUAAUUAUCUUUAUGUAUUUUCUAUUAAAGCUUCUUUAGCUCAACUUUGGUAAUAUUGUAAAUUAUUAACAGUGUCAAAAUUUAAGCAUUUUCUAAUUUUUAUAAAAAUUAGUAUAUCCUUUUUUGGUAAGAAAAUUAACGUAUUUUUAUUAAAUUUAAUUAUUCAAUUUAAUAUAAAAAUGAAAAUACAAUGUAUAUUUUAAUUUUAAAAGAUACAAUAAUCUAAUUAUUAAUCUGUCGUUAAAGAAAAUGGAUAUUGGGUCAUUACUUUCUUAUAAUUUUAAGGCAUAAUAAUUUUUUUCGUCCUCCAACUUUAUAAAAAAUUAUUUUAACUCUUCAUUUAAAAUUUCAUUACUUUUAACCCUUGAAUUUACUUUAAAAGUAAUAUUUUUAACUUUUCUGACAUGAAAUACAUAUAAAUUGUCACAUCGAUAACUGUUAGUAUUUCGUUAAUUUUUUAAAAUUUUAAAAAUUCAGAAAGUUUAUAAAACUCGUUUUAAAAAUCAUUAAAAUUAUUUUUAAAAAAUAUAAAAAUUAUUUAAAAAACAUAUUUUAUAUUUUAAAAAUUAAUUAAAUGAUGGCAUGUCAUUCAUUUGGCAGUUCACGUGUUUACCACAUUAGAAAUAUUAAAAAAAGUUAAUUUUGUCAUUUAUUUUAGGGUGAUUUGAUAAUAAAAUGCAAGUUUUAAGAGUUAAAAAAAAGAUGAAAAAUUAAAUGAAAGGCUAAAAUAAUUUUUUUUAUAAAGUUAGAAGAUCAAAUAAUUCAAUAUACCUAAUUUUAAUAUAUUCUGAACGGAGGGUGGACCUGAUGUGAAAACUUAACAUAGACCUUCAUCGUGGGCCAUUAAAAGGCUAAUGAUUUUGCUUUCUUACUUUGAUCGAAGUUUAAUUGAAUUUUGAUUUCGAUUGUUACGGAAUAUCGUCAUUGCAAAGUGAAUCGCACUAAUGUGAUAGACAAUAAUUGAUGACAAGUCAUAUUUUAUUGAUAUAUAAGAGACGUUUGAUUUCAAUUCUCAGCCGUCCAUCAUAAAUACUUUUGAUUUGCAAAAUUGACCCUUAUAAACCUAUGGAAACCUUGUUUUUGACCUUUCUGCAUGUAAGGGUCCGUUUGAUUGCCAGUAAAAUAUUUUCCGUAAAAUGAUUUCUGGAAAAGGUUUUACUUUUCUGUAAAAUGACUUACUGAAAAAUAUUUUCUGGUGUUUGAUUGAAUCUGUGUAAAAUAUUUUCUGCUAUUUGGCAGAUUUCCUGAAAAUAUUUUCCGGAAAAUUUAUUUUUACAUAUAUUAAUAUAUAUUAAUAAAUAUUUAUAUUUUAAAUUAUUUUUACAUAUAUUGCAAUGAUUUAUUUAUAAAUAAAUAAAUAAAAUUAAAUAUAUAAUAAUACUCAAUUAUUAAGCUACAAUAUUAACCGUCAUAAAUUGAAAAUAACCAAAGUCAAAUAAAUUAUUUGUAAUUGUGUUAAAAAAACAAAAAAAAACAAGGGUUGAAUACUUAUAAAUUUAGCUUCCAAACCACAAUUAAAAAAAUACUAAUCUAUGCAUUUAUUUAAACCAUAUAAGAUGUAUUUACCUACCAAUAUGAAACUUUGAAUCUUUUAAACAGAUUCAGCAAGACCAAAAUGUUAAACAAAAGAAAAGACAUAUUCCAAAUCCUUAGUAAAUUGUUAUAGACUGUGUUUGGCGUAACUGCUUAAGUGCAUCUACUAUCAAAUUGCUAGCCACUUACAACUAAAAAAAUGGCAAUGUCUGCUGCCAGGAAGCUUGCUGGGUUCAAAUCAAAACACACAAAAACCAAAACUUAGCCUAAAUAAUCUAAUCAUAAAACACUACUCCGACUGUUAGCGUUGCAUUAACUGAUUCACCAUCUGCUAUCAAAUUGCUAGCCACUUGCACCUUUCUUUAAUAAGACUUUGAUUACUUCCAGAUGGGACCCUUGAACAGUAUAGUGAAGUGGAGUGAAUCCCUUGCGAUUAGUGGCUCUCACUGAAACUCCUGAUGAAAGCAGAGUUCAGACAACCUCUAGAUGUCCUUUCUACGCCGCAAAAUGAAUCGCACCCAUGCCAUCCAUGGCAGCAGCACCAACAUCAACAUUUUGCUUGCAAAGAUAACUCACUACCUGUGCUUGCCUUUUGGAAGGCAAAAACAUAUACAGAUGGAUAUUCUGAACAACCCAAAAGAACAAUGUUGUCACGGGGCAGAAUUGAAGUUAAAUAUCCAGGUAACUAUCAUGAUAUUUGAAGCCAAUAAGAUAACAACCUCAAGACAUAGAUUCAACUUCACAUCAACCUCUAAAAUGCUUCAGACAUAUUUGUGUCCCAAGUAAUAUGAUUUAUCAUAGUAGCUGCAAAAUUCAAAGCAACAUUAAUAGUUACAACAUGGUACCAAAUACUUGCUUUAUAUAGCACAACAUGCAUUCUUAAAUAUUUUGAAAAGAAAAAUCUUCAUAGGCUGUCCAUCUUAAUUCUGUUAUCAAGGAUACAACCGAAUGAAAUCUAUCCAAGCACACACAAAAAACAGGUCGUACCCAAUGCACAAGGAUCUUGGCUAUAAAUAGGGGCAGGUCUAAUGUAUGCUGCCUUCCCCUGUUCACAAAGGUUGUUUCAAGGUUUGAACCCAUAACCAAGCAGAUAGCAAGUCAGGGACGACCUUCAAAAUCUUGCCUAUUAAAACACAAAACUUGUAGCUAUAGUUUGUAUCCAAUUGGGUGAUAAGAGGAUAGCAGCUAUGGACCAAAUGAAAAGUUUAGCCAUAGUCUUUAAAAUCCAAAAGGGCAUACAUUUUAAGUUUAAAAUGAUUGGUUUUCAAACAAUAGGUUUAACACUAUGAAACAAGCAUUUUAGUCCAUCUAAACAACAUCUGUCACUCUAAAUAAAACCAAACCUAUAUUCGCUCAGAGGUAUACAAAUGCCAUAAUAAGUACCUGAAAAAUAGUCAUUUUGGCGUUCCACAACAUCUGAACCUUGAACUGCAUACAAUUUUAGCAACAAGUAUAUACGCAAUUUUCAACAGUCAUCAAACAGAAUAUGAAUAACAGUAACCAUUUUCUUUGUAAUACUUGAAAAAUCUUUCAUUUUCAGGAUUCAGUGAAAAUAGACAUUCUCAUUCUCAUCUAAUAAGCACAAUAGCAAAAAUUAGCAUUUUGAUAUUGAUGUUACUUAUUAAUGUGUAUGCUUCUGAUUUGUGACCAACUAGAAAUCAGCAUGACAGAGCACUGAUGUCUUUCCAUACAGUGUAAUUUUCAUAGAUUAAUCUGUUCAAAUUUUGAGCAUUCUUCACUUUUGCUAUAGAGGCUUCAACGCUAAGAGGAAUCACUAGAUGAUGCAUUUUUUGGAUGACAUAAAAUUUUCAGUAGAACUUAGCAGUGUACUUGCAAAAUAUAAACUCUGCUGACAGGUUCUGAAUGCUAAAUGAGUUCUUUGCAUUUAUUUCCUUUUCUUUUCAUUUUUCCUCUUCACUGUAAGCAAACAUUUUACCCCCACCUUACUUUUACCUUACAGUAUCUAAAAUGUAGGAUCAAAGCUCACCUUGCAAGAAAAUAACUCAACAAUGCAGUCUUCUUUUGUGGGGAUCACUCGCAAGUCAAGUACAGGACUUGCUUCAAAGUUGAAGAGCGCAAGUUUUGGAAGUUUGCACCUGAAGAGCAUCGAAGAACAUAUAUAUAAUCAACAGAUAAAGAAGAUGAAGAUAAAAGGCAUCAAAUUAAGCCCUGAGGUUAGAGCUUUAGAAUGAAUGAGAAACUUGGAAUAAGUCAAUUAAAAAAAAACAGUUCCUUGAUAGCCAAAGCAAAAAAGAGAUUAUGACUGAAUAGAUCAAAUUUCCUUUUUCUUCUCUGACCUCUCUUCUCAAGAUUCAGCCAUAGAAGCUGGAAAAGCACAAGAAAUACAAAGAAUGGCAGAAGGAACUAGACUCAAUACCCAUUCUAGAUUCAACUUGUAACACCCCUUAACCCCGAACCGUCGCCGGAACAGAAUUACGAGGCAUUACCGGACGUAUCGAACGAUUUACAACAAUUCUUAAAUAAAUAACCAAUAUAUUAAAAUAAUUCAUAAAAUUUAUUAGUUUGUUUACCAAAUGACUUCAUUUUUUCAUUUUUUUUUAUAAAAAUUUCGGCAGCAUUUCUGCUUAUUUUUACAUAAAACCCCCUGCAAAUUAAAACCAUAUAGUUCCCAAAUAUCAUCAAUUCAACCAAUUAAUUUCACAUUCACAUUUUCUAUUCUAAAUACUUCUAAUCAAACUCAAUCUACACAAUAUCAAUUUAAAAUUUAACAAUGUACUAAUUAGAUAAAAUAGAUAGACUUCUUUCAUUAAAAUCCAUAACCUUUUAAUACUAACAUUUUUAACCAUUAUAUAAUAAAACAUAAUAACCUUUAUACACAAUCUAUGUACAUGCCACCUUUACCAAAGGAAAAAUACAUCACCAAGUUUUGCCGAAGCCGGGAUUAAUCUGGAUGCUGAACCGGGACCUUUGACUUCUAUUAACCUGCGCACGGAAACAACCGUACGCUGAGUAAUUCAUACUCAGUGGUAUUACCAUAAUUCAAAUUAUAACAAUAAUGUACAUGUAAUGCAUAAAUCGUAUAUACAAUUUAAAUUAAAUAUUUCAACAAUAGCAAUUCAUCAACCAAUAUCGUAUAUCCACAAUUUGAGUUUGAAUAAUUCACGAACCUUAGGUUCAUUUCUCAAUCUCAUUUCACAUUUCAAUUCACAAUUCAACUUUUUCAUAUCAUUUCAAUAGCUCGUUUGACCAACUCGUUCGGUUUAUCAUUUCAUCAUUUACCCUAUUAACAAAACUCGGACUUUGGCGGAUACACGGAUCCAACCAAACACACCAGAAUGGCACCCAGUGCCUCAUCGGAUAGUUCGAAGCAAUAGUUGACACCCAGUGUCUCAUCGGCCAAGCCGAAGAAAGUUGGUACCCAGUACCUCAUCGAAUCUAUCCGAAGAAAUAUAGUGACACCCAGUGUCUCAUCGACUCGAGGUCGAAGUAUCCCUGAACUCUUCCAAUCCUAUGGCAUGCCAACUAUAUCCGACUCAGCCCGACUAGUUAAUAGGGUAUUUAAAUCACAUAUAUUCUCAAUUCAAUUACAAUUUUUCACAUUUUCAAUUCAAUCAUUUUUCCACCUUUCAAUCAAUAAUUAUUUCACAACUUCACACAUUUUCACAACUCAAUACAUUUCCAUACAACUUAAUACCAUUCACAAUUCGAUUCAAAUUCAUUUCCCGCUUUCAAUCAACAAACAAUUUAAAUAUUAUUUCAUAUCAACUAUUCAAUUUAAUUCCCACUCAUAAUAAUAAUAAUAAUACUAAUAAUAAUACUAAUACUAAUAUUAAUACUUACCUCACAUUUCAUUUACUAGACACAUAAAUUAAAAUUUAACAUUAAAAAAUAAAUAAUUUGAAUUAUAGUAAUACAAACCGUAAUUUUCUCGAGUUUACUCCUCGAUAAUCUUCUCUUUUCCCUUCCGUGCCGACGCUUCUGGUUCUUUGCUAGCUACGAAAAUGAUAAUAAUUUAUACUAUUAAUUUCAGCACUAAUUAUGAUAAUAAUUAAAUUUCUAUUCAAUUUCUUCCUUAUUCUCAAUUUAAUCCUAACUAAAUUCACUUACUUUCCUAAUUCAAUUCACACUCUAUUUCUAUUCAAAUUUCAUCCAAACUAAAAUUUAACUAUCACAAUUUCAGCAUAUUUUGGUAAUUUCGAAUUUCCCUCAAUUUAGUCCCUAAAACAUAAAACUUAUAGUUUCUUUUACAAUUUAAUCCCUUUUUCAAUUCUAACUUAAAAUUCCUUCAAGUUAAUCCCUAAUUCAUCUCUUUUGUUCGACAUAAACUAUACUUGAAAACCUAUGAACUUACAAAAUAUCAACUUAAUUCCAUCAAAACUUUGUUUUAAAGCUUUUAGAACAUUAGAAUUAAGAGGAAAGGGCUAAUUUGACUUACCAAAUUAAAUUCAAGCUUCAAAAACCAUAUUUUCCCUUUUUCUUUUUCUUUCUUUCUUUCUCCCCUGUUUCGUCUCUUCCUCUGUUCCUUUGUUCUUUCUAUUCUGUUUCUUUUCUGUUUUGUUUCUUUCUUUUUCUUUUUAUUUCCUUUUAUUUAAUUACUUUAAUAUAAUAAUAAUUAAAACAAAUAUCUACUUAGUAAUUAAUAAAAAUAUUACAAAUGUAUGUAUUUUAUUAAUACACUUGUAUUAAAUUAUCACCAUACAUUUGUCUUUAUUUAAUUUAUUUCUUAAUAUAAUAUUUAUAAUGUAAUUAAUUUAAUAAUAUACUUUAUAAUUAAUUUAUAUAUUUAUAUAAAUAAUAAUAUAAAAAUCUAAGAUUUUUACAAUGUUAUGUCGCCUCAACUUCCAAAUGUGGCUUAAUUGUCCAUUUGGUCCCUAUUAUUUUCCUUUAAUCUAUAAUUAUGCUUUCACUCUUUAUUCAAUUUAAUUCUUUUUACUAAUUACUCAUAAUUAAACUAAAUUCACCUAUCUAAAACUUAAUUAAACACACAACUAGUCUCGUAAAUAUUUCUAAUAAUUAUUUUCGGACUCAAUUUACUAGGACGGAGGCCCGAUAUUAUAAUUUUCCGAUGCCCAUGAAUUUUGGGUCAUUACACAACUGGACACACUUAAGGAAUCUAAUAACCAGAAUUAGAGAGAGAAAAUUCUGUAUUAUAUUAAACAAAAAUUAGAGAGAAAAGGAAGGAAAACAGAAUGCAGAGGUAAAAUAUUAGAGAAAUAUGCAGAUACCUCGAGGAGAUUAGAGAUGAAUUUUUCUCGACUGUGGACCUUAAUUUUUUAAGGUUUCUUCAAAAUACAGAGGUAAGGCUGACGGUCGAGCGACAGAGACGACGAUGCUGAGAUGGUGAGGUGAGGCCAACGAACGGAGAUGAGGAGCCGAAGGAAGAUACAGAAAUGAAUCAAAGAACAACAUGACAGAUCACAUCUACAUUGAGGAGGACGUGACGGUCAGACGACGAGAGCUUCGAUUGGGGGGAAUUGAGUUUUUCUUGGGCAUGGGAACAACCGAUCAAGGAUGGGGGAAGGGGAAGGGGAAGGGGAAGGGAAAUGGAAGAUUUGUGUUCUUUCUAAUUUUCCUGAAAAUGUCUUACCGAAUUAGAAACGGUAAGACAUUUUCCAAAAUUAACACCUUCUUUUCCCGUGUUUUGUAAUUGGUUUUACAGUAUGAAAAUAUUUUCAGCCAAUCAAACACCGAAAAUUUCAGAAAAUUUUACACCAAUCAAACGGACCCUAAAAGUGCAUAUUAAGGAACCCACUCUUCUUUUUCGAUCAAUUGAUUAACUUGAGAAAUUACCUCACUUUGGUCUAUAAGAAAAUUAAAUUUCAUCUCCAGAUUAAUUCAUAAAGUGAUACGUUUCAGAAUAUAAUUUUUAAAAAAAAUGAAUAUAUGAUCAUUCUAAAUUUUAUUUGCGAAAUUAAAAAUAUAUAUCAAAUCAAACCUUGGAAAUUUCUGUUUUUUUUUUUCUGUUCCUUUUGUUUGGUAUGGAGUUAGAGCUGUAGUUGCAGGCUGAAAAUGAUGGGCAGAUGCUUUAGCUUGACCCAGUUAGAUAGUCUAUUAAUCUUUCUUUUGAAUCUAAUCUUCAUUAUAAUCUCUAAAUGAAUUGUUGGAAAAGCUGUGGAACUUUUUGGGGAAGAAAUAAUUUGUACAAGUGUAAAUAUAUAUAUAAGUAAAAUAAAAUUAUUAACAUCGUAAAGCAAUUUGACCUAAAAUUCACACGUGCAUUAUCUACAUAUGAUAAUAUUCAAAUAUAAUAGUAUCAAAAUUAUAUUAAUGAAAAGUUAUGAAAAGAUUUUUAAGAUUGUAAAUUUGUAAUAUAGUAUAUCAUCACCAACCCAAAUUAUCCUGCUAAUGUAAAUCAAAUUUAAAAUAUUGAUUGCCCUUUAAUUUUCUUCUUGAAAUUUGGUGAAAUACAAUGUUCCCCACAAUUCUCUCUUACUCCUGUAAAUUACUCAUUAAAAUGGCCCACUGUUAAAUUAAUUUGAAUUUUUAAAGUUUAUUUCUUUCUUUCUUUCAACAAGUCUGUAUUAGGAGCAAAAUGUUAAUUCUGACUCUUGAUCCAUAUAUAUAAUUUAUAAUUACUAGAUUGGUUGGAAUUAAUUAGGGAUAGUCAUCAUUAUUACAAACAAUCUGUGUAAAUCAACUGUUUAUUUUAUUACAUGCUAAGAAGCCAUCGAGAUACCUCCUUCAGAAACUAGUAACGACAACAAUAAUAGCAAAAAGAAAACAACCGUAUUAGUAUUUCAAGUCGAUAUCAAAUAUUAUUUUUAUUAGUUUAUAAUUGAUUUCUUUUUUCUAUUAUAUAUAAAAAAACCAUAUUUUUACCCAAAAAAAUAUUAUUUAAUUAACCCUUUAAUUUAUAUUAAUUUGGAGUACUGUUGACUUAUUUAUGCUCGAUGUUCAUACUUGAAUUUGAAUUUGGGUAAGUAUUCAGUAGAUAUGAAUUUUAGUUAACUAGUUUAGUGACUGUUUUUCUUGGAUUAGUGUGUAGGCCAAAAACCACCUUAUUCACUGGAUUAAGCAUUUUUAUAUUAUUUGACUGCAUAUUGAAUUAUAUAUUCAACGCUGUUCAAGUUAGGGAGCUGAGCUGAAGGAGGAGCAGGACCAUAUUUGUUUUAUUUUAUUUAAGCUAUAUUUUUGGUGAUCUCAACACGAAACCAAGUUUCUAAUAAUUUCGUUCAAGACUUGACUGAAACGUGGCUUCUACGUCUCUCAAGUCAAAUUUAUAACAACAUCAUAAAUGAUAGGCACUUACAUUAAUUUCAAUUAAUUAACUACUCCAUGCUAUAGGAAUAAAUUUAUAAUUAAAAUAUUGAGGAGAAGAAUCUAUCAAAUUAAGGGGACGUUAGGUCAUUUGCCAUGAAAAUUUUAAAUCUAAUAAUUCAUAGUAUAUAGAAAGUUUGAUAUCUUUAAUUCAAUUGGUGCUCUAAGAGUUUAAAAACUGUAAAUUCAAACAUGCUCUACUAAUUCAUUUUAUUAGUACCAUCUGAUGGUUUCAUAUUAAUUAUUCAUUUCAUGUUACAUGCGGUGUUCAAAAUUAGGUUUUCACUAUAAGCCACUUUUUAUUUGUAUAUAUAUGGUUUAGGACUAGGAUCCAGCCUUAUAAAGACAGGAUGAUGACUCAUAACUUUCUCAUUCAGCUCAACUUUAGUGGUUGUUUUUUUCUCCUGCUGCUUAAUUAAUUAAUUAGCUCUUAAUUUCUGAGUAGAGUUCAGAUUAUAAGCUAGAUAGCCAGCUCAAGAAAAGUUUGUAGUAAAGGAAAUUUUAAGGUAUAUGUAAUGCUCAAAUUCUUCACUAAAAAUGCCAUCAAGGAUAAUGAUAUAUAAUACAACUACGCAUAUAAAAUGCAGUUUAAUUAAUCCAGUAUUACAAGCCUGCAAAUCCUCUUAAUACUAGGUUUCUUGUUCUUCAAAAAUCAACCAUAUUAUGUCUGACCUUCACCUCCACAUCCCCCCUAUCAAAGAAGCUUUUACCUCUAAAUGUUUGUUACAGACUCAAAACCAAGUUUCAAGAAGAAAAAAAAGAAGAAGAAAUCCUACUCCCCAUCUAGUCCUUGAAUGUUAGGCCUUUCGAGACCAGUAAUUGAAUAAUAAUUCAUAGGCUCUAGAGAGAAGUUCAAUUUGAUGAAAAAGUAGUUAAAUCCUAAAUAUAUAAUAUAAAUAUGUACACACACAAGGCGUAAAAAGAUGAUGUAAUUAAGCGAGUGGAGACUCAUGGUUCAUGUUUAAGGAACGUGGAAGGAACCAUGUCUUGAAGAAGUCCAUAGUCAGGAACCUGGUGUUGAUGGACGUACUGAUGAAAAGGGCUAAAGUUUUCGGCAAACAUUGAACCAGCGGGUGCUUGGUUAUUCAUCUGAUGAUGAUAGUUAGGCAUCUGCAUGAGCAACUCGUGCGGGAAGCUUGGUCUCCCCAGUGGCGAUGGGGUUAACAUGGAAGGUGGGAACAUGGAAGGUGGGAACAACCCAGCUGCGCUUCCUCUCAGUGUUGUCGGAAGUGGGUGGUUGUGUUGACCUUCGUAUGUUGUGAUCACAGUGGACGGAUCCUGGAAUGACCUCUCUACUCUUUUCUUCACCGUGCACUUCUGAGUAGUGCACCUGUAGUAGCUUCUGCAAUGAUAAACAGAAAUGUAUCCCUUACAUAAUGAUAAAGAAGCUGGAUAAAUUUUCACCAGUGGAAGCACGAGUUGGUGUUUGUUUCCCGAGAAAAUCUAAUCAUAUUCACACACAUACAUACAUAUUAUUUAAGCCUACUUUAUAGCUUUCAAAGACAAAUACCUAACGGCUAAACCCUCAAGUUAUUACGUACAGAUUAAGUUUCUAUAUUGACGGAUCAUCUAGGUGCAAGUCAAAAGAAGGGGGCGAGAAGAUGUAAUGCAAGAUCAAGGUUUCAGACACAAUUUCGCAAGUAGUUUCUUUAGUUGAUUGUCUAAAAGAUAAGAUUAUUUUCAACAUAUGUGUUUGGUUGUAGAUUAAGAAAACGAAAGAACCAAACCUCGGGUAUGGACUGUUUUUCACAGCUUUUUGUCCAUAUUUUCUCCAUCUAUACCCGUCUUCUAACUGAUCAACUUCACUUUUAGUUACGAAAGCAAAUCGUGGUUCUCUUUGCUUCUUCUCCCCUUUCAUUUUCGCUUUGUUUCUAUUAGAUACAAUAAACACAACCAGUUACAACCUCAUAAUUUGUUACCAAUAAUAUUAUGAAAAAGAAGAAAAAAAAAAAAGAAAAGAAACUUAGUUCGUUUACCCUUUCUUUGAGCUUUCACCGCCAUCGUCCGAUCCUUUUGGCUGCCCAUCUUUCUUACUCUUGUCUGAAUCUUCUUCGCAACCAGCCUCACUUGAUGAAGAAGAAACAGAAGAAUUAAGAGUCACCGUAACUUCACCGGUAUUGCCUCCUAAUUCAUCCGCCCCAACGUGCUGCUUCAUCAUUGUCCGAUUGCCGCCUUCGACGGAAGAAAACACUUCCGACGACGUAGGUGACAGACCGAAAGCUUUCUCAAGUGAACCGUAGUCCAUGGAAGUACUGUGUAAGCAAUCGGUGAAGCUCAUGUAGGAAGGAUCAAUGGAGGACGAUGAAACCCUGUACAUGUGAUCAGUUUCACCACCAUAACUUUGCUGAUCAUGAUCAAUAUUGUUGAAUGCACCCCCAUGGUAGUAAAAGUCUCUGAAUCCAUGAUCCGACAUGGAGAGAUCGAUCAAGAAGACGAAUAACAAAAGAAUCAAGGGAAAAAAAGUUGGAAGGGAUAGGAGAGAGCUGGGGUCUGAAAUAUUUUAUGGUUUUGGACUUUCAGGGUUUCAGGACAUCUCUUUAUGUUGUUUGAGUCAUAUAAAUACAGACAUAUAGACAUUUCAGCCAAUAUACAUGUAAAAGUCGUGAUGAAAAGAUAUAGAGAUAGAAAGCACUGUAUAAAAGAAGGUUUGACAAAACACCUUCCAAUAGGAAGAGCAAAAAGUGGCUUCUAGUAUGGAAACAUUUCCAGUCCAUACUUGGCAUUCCCUGACCCACACUUUGUAGUCACCCCCCUUAAUUAGGUCUUAGCCCUUCUUUUUUCCUAAACUCUCAUCUGCCGGACUGUGUGCGAAUAUAUAUUUUCUAAAAAGUUGGUUUAUAUACAUUAUCUGUAAAUUUAAUUUGGUUUACAAUAAAUUUCUAAUUUUGUAGUACAAUUUUGUACAAUAAUAAAAGAAGGUGAAAAUUAAAUGAGAAAAAAGAAAGCAUGAAAUUUGGGUUUUUUUGGACAAACAAAAUAAAAGGGUUAAUUAUUGUUUAAUAAUAUUAAAUUACCGGUUAUAAAUUAAGAAAUCUAAAAAUGUUUGAAGUCUGCACUGGGGAAACAAUUUAUCAUCUAGGAGUUCAACCUGACUCGCGUAAGGAAAAGAGGAUAAAAGAUUAAAAAGGAAAAAGGAAGGAGAGUGGGAGAACGCGCUAGAAAGGAGCGUGGGGAUGCGGAGGAGAAGUCAGCGAAGAAUACCAGUAAGGGGUUACAAUCAAGGGAUGCCUUUUUAGGGGACGAUGAAAAAGAGGACCCAAAGAGAAAAUAAAACGGUCAAACAUUCAAACUUGAAGAACUAUUAAUAGUUUUUUUGGAAUAUUAGGCAUACACGUGGCAUUAUUGGCACCGGCAUUUGACCGUAGCAAAACCAUCAUCCGGCACGUGGGGGAAACCUUUUUGCUGCUUCUGCUUAUGCCUACCCUAACGUCACCCCACACCUUAUUUCCCUUUUUACCCUUGCUUUCCGUUUUGGCCCCCACCCUUUCGCCUAGUCUCCCACGUUUCAAUCCCAAAUGCCUUGGGUAGUUCUUCAUACAAAUUUUUUUUAGCAACAAAAACGUCAUGCCUACUUUAGAAUUUAUUUCUCCAAUAAUUUGAUAAAAUUUAUAUUUAAGAUUUGAACUUCGAAAUCAAUAAUUACUUAGAUUCAUCUGGAUUUGUUAAUUUUAUUAUUGGAUUUUUUUUUUAUAAAAUUGAAGUUUAUCAGCCUCCAUGCCGUCCGUUGAAAUCAGGUGUUAGAGUGGAUCAAAUCCAAAACUGGCUUUGAAGGUGGAGGAAUUAAUGUUGUGUUGCCGGAUAAGAAUAAUGGUAUUUAUUAAGAGUUGUUGCAAAUUUGUCUUCCAAGUCUGCCAAUUUAUGUAUUUACCCUAUUUAGUAUCAUGAUCAAUUAUAUCUAAUUCAAAAAUAUAUCAUAUCUAUUUUAAUUUUUAAUCUUUAUAUUUUCUUACCAAUUUGGUCCUCCUUCUUUUUCUAAUUAAAUUUAACCAUUAAUCUUUUAAGAAGAGUUAAAUCAUUUUUUUCAAUUAAAACAUUAAUUUUUAAGUAUGUUAGCGUGAUAACCAUUAACCUGUGUAGCAAUCUACGUAGCAUUAUUAUUUUUAUGUUUAAAAUUCAAAAAAUUAUAAAAAGUUUAUAAAACUUAAAAAUAAAAAUAGCAUGAAAUAUAUAUUAAAAAAUUUGACAUUUUAACCAAUAUUUUCAUAAAAAAAUAUAAAUUAGUUAUUUUAGUAAAAAAUUCGUUUUAUUUUUUUGGUGUGUUAUACUGAUAUGAUUGCACUGCCAAGAAGUACUAAAAGUAGUUCAGCGGUAAUUGAUUCUAUCGAUGUUUACUAAUAGCUACUUUUUGAUUUGAAGCCAAAAUCAUCCGCAUUUCCAACUUCCUUCUUCUAUUUCAUACGUUAUACUAUUUAACUCAAUCGUCUUUCUAUUCAUCCAAGACCGAUUGAAAUUUUUUAUUUAAAAUCCAAACCAUGAUAUUUUAAAUGUAAUUAAGAUUGAAAUGAAGUAAGAAAUAAGUGUGUCUUUUAAAAUAUAUAUUAUGAUUUCUUUACAAAAAAAAAUAUUUUAACUUUUCAGUUAAAAUUUUAAAAAUUAAAUAUAUUAAAUGGAUGAUAAAUGUUAUAACCUACUUGGUAAGUAAAUAAAUUUUAAGCCGUGGUAAAUUCUGCAAAAUAAGAGAUAUUUAAGAUUUGUCGUGAGAAAUUUAUUUGUUAAAAUACAAUACAACAAAAACUUUAUCUUGUUUUAUUUAGGAAGUGUUUGGAAAGCUAUCUGAUAAUUGAAUCCAAGUGUAAUUGUUUAUAAUUACACAAAAGUGACAUGUUUGAGUAAUUGGAAUGGGUGAGUCUCGCCAAUUUGGGUAUACUUAGAGCACCCUAAUUAUAUUUUUCAAUUAUUAAAGGAGAGUGAGAAUUAAAGUAAUUAUACACUUAGUUAGACCCAAUUUAACUUAGUUUUUUUUAUAUAUAAGUUAUAAAAAUUAUAUUAUAAAGAUAAACACAUAUGAGUGUUUGAGAUGAUUAUGACAACAUAUAUAUAUAUAUAUAUUACAAAUCCUAAAAAAUUAUUAUAAAAAUAAAUUGUGUAUUUUAUAAAGUUAAAAUAAAAAAUAUUAUUUAAAUCCUAAAAUUUUUAAAAUUAUGACCAAAUUUAUUAUAAAAAAUAAUAUAUGUGUUAUGAAAGUGUUAUAUUAUAUUUACUUUUUUUCUAUCUCAUGCAAUGCAUGGAUUACUCAUAUGUUUUAUAAAAUUAUUAAUUAAUAUUUAAUAGUCACAAUCAUUAAAAAAAUACUUUAAAAUUGUGUAAUUUAUUUAAAUUUUGAUAAGAUAUUUUUAUUUGGUUAUUAAAAAAAUUAUAAACAACAUUUUGAAUUUUAAAAACUUGUAAAAUUAUUUUAAAAAUAAUAUUUCAAAUUUCUGAAACUUUUAAAUGAAAAAAACUUUUGAUAAAUUAUUUUUAUAUUGUAUUUAAAAAUAAUUUUACUUUUUAGCGUUAAAUAUAAAAUAGUUUACAAAAGUAUAAAAUCAUUUUUAAAUACAUAUAACGUAAAAAAAAUAAGGAAAGGAAAUAACUUACAUUAUAAAAGUGUUAUAUUAUAUUUAUUUAUAAAAAUUUAUAAUUAAAAAUAUAGAUAUAACUUAUUUAUGUAUUCAUAUUAUGUAUUAUAAAAAUAAUAUAUUUAUCCAUAAAUAAAUAUUAUGGUUGUUUUUAUAGUAACUUAUUUAUAUAAAAAAAUAACAUUCUAAAGUUAUGGAAAUUAUAUUACUUACCAGAAAUGUUGUGAAAGAUUUUGACCAUUUAUAAAAUCUUUUUUUACAAAGGUUAUAUAUUAUAAAUUUUAUAUUGUUUUUAACUUAAAUUACAUAGUAUAAAAAGAGAUAUAAUUUACUCUAUGUCUUUCUCUAAAUUAGGUUUAUAUAUGUCUUUACAAUUAAAGUUAUAGACUAUUUGAAUUAUGAACCCUGAUAUUAUAAGAUCAAUGCUAAUUAUGCAAAUAUAAAAUGUUUUAUUGUAUCAUUUCAUGGGGUAUGAUAUCAUUUAAAAGAAUGUUGCCAAACAGAAACACCAUACCAUAGACAACUUGCGAGAACUCUCUAAUUUUAGACAUUCAGAACUUCAAAAUAUGGUUGAUAAGACAUUUUGUUGUUUUAAAAAAAAUCUCAUAUUAACAGUAUUACCUUAGUAUAACAUAAAAAAAUAAAGUUGGAUCAUAUUAGCAUAUUGCAUAUUUUAUAACUUCAAUCAUAAGUGGAAUUGAAAUAAUCCAUACUUCGAAUAGUACAUGGAAGAAUGAGAUCUUAAUAAUUUUAGUGACGUUGAUUCAAAUUCAAAUGAUGGUGAACUUAGUCAGUAACCAAUAGAUAAAUAUAAUAAGCAUAUGUUCAAUAUUAAAGAGGGAACAACUCAAUAAAUAUGUAUUGAAACAAUUAGAUAGAAUUGCAUAAGAGGUUUAUUUUUCAUGUUAUUUUUAUUAGUAUUCGUACUGCCAACUACUUUUUUAGAUUAACAUAAUACGUAUGAUGAUUUUAUUUAAAUUUUUAUUAUUUUUUAGAAAUUAUUUUUAUCAUACUAAUCAUUUUUUUGCAGUAAUUAGCCAUUUUUAAUAAUAUAAAUUAUGUAACUUUGUACUUCAAAUUGUACUAGCAAGCAUGACAUUGGGAGCUAUGAUGUAAUUACACCUGGUCAUCUAAACAUAUUUAGGAAAUUACAAUUCGUUGUAAUUACAAGAGAGUAUAAUUAUUACCCUAAUAAUUACACUUUCAUUUAAAUACUGUGUGAAUGUUAAAAAUUAAAUAUAAAAUUUAAAAAUUAAAAAAUAUUAUAAUACUAUUAGUUAAUUUUAAAAACAAUAAAAUUAGAAUUUUGUUAACUCAAUCGAUAUCCGCUUUAACUUGUUGCAUCAAAUUUAGUCGGUGAUUUAUAUAAAUAGAGACAAAUAAUAUAAAAAACGUAAAAUAGUCUUGAAUUGAAUGACGCAAACUAUUUAAAAUAUAAAACGUGAAAUUUUUAAUAAGUUCGUGACAUUGGAUUAAAUUAAUCAUUUUACCAUUAAAUAGGUAAUUUUAAUUUUAUAUUGUUGAAAAGAAUUAAAUAAGAACAAUUUAGAAUAGGGAUAACAUUUAUUAUUUAAAAAAAACGACAUGAUAUAUAUUUUUCAUUUAAAUUUAACUCCAAACAAAAUAUUCCAUCUAUAGAAUCAUAAAAAUGUUUUCAAAAUAUAACUUUGUUAAACAGUAAAUGAUAAAUUCAUAAAUUGUAAAUAUUAACUCUGUUGAAAUUGGCAAGGUAUUUGAACUGGAUUGGUGGUCUAACUGUUAGAGCACCAGUUCUUGGUUCGAUUGGUUUGUCCAGUCCAAUUGAAUAAAUUAUUAAACAAAUCAAAAAAAAUAAUGAAGAAAACUAGUUCAACCGUUUCGAUAGGUUAGUUCAAGCAAUUCAUGGAUCAAUCAAUCCAACCCUUUUUUUGGGCCGGUAUCUUAAUCAGUUCUUUAUUUAAUUGGUCUGGCUUAAAUAUAAAAAUUGUGAAAAUUAAUCUUAUUUGAUAUGUUUUAAUAAUAUAGAGACUAAAUUAAUAGAGGAGAUACAUUUAAAUUCAAUCCUAUAAUUGAGGAACCUACCACCUACAUUUACAAAAUAUAAAUGAUAUUUCUGUAUUGGCUAGAAAGGAAUCUGAUAUAAAACUUACAUAAGUUGUAAUACUUUUAAGUAAUAAAUAUAUAUAUAUAAAAAAUACAACUGUAGAAAUACCUAUUUCUUUUGUCUAGAUCGCCAUAAGCUUUUUCAAAUUUGAAACUUAGCUUAUGUAAUUUUAUAUUUAAGAAUUCAGUUCGUUUAUCUUUUAGAUUUUAAUUGUAAAAUUUAAGUUAUUACAAUAUUAUUUUCUAAUUAUGUGGUUAUUAAAUAAAUACUUUUUUAUUUUAAAUUGUCACACUAAUAAAUUUAACGGUAUUAGUAAAUAGACUUAAAUUUUAAAAUAUGAAAAAUAGAAUGAUAUAAUUCUUAAAAAUUAAAUUUCAAAUUCGAGGAGAGUAGUCCCUCGACGCUUUCUUUCCUUUCCUUGAUCCUAAACAAUAACAUUUCAUGGCCUAAUCUGGAGGGUUUUUAUUAAUGCAUUAGAUACAUAAUACAUACAUUAUGUAGGAUAUUAUAAUAAACUAAAACUGGAAAGUGAAAAACGACAGCACUGAAAUUACUACACGACAACCCAAACUCACCAGUUUGCCAAAGAAUUAGUCAGAAACAUCAAGCUUUGAAAACAAAAAGGAUCAAAUGCCAUAAAGGUUGCUUUAACAUGUAAAUUACUUGUUUUGUUCUACAUUUUGAUCCCAUCACUUUAACACCACUCAAACAAAGAAAAGACACCUGUGUGCAUGCAUCUUCGUAUGUAGUAAUAAAACUAUACUCGGGCAAAAUGAAAAUAGUCAAUUAGAAAAAAAAAUUAAACCACAAAAUUAUUUAUAAAUAGUACUUAUAAUAAACUAAUUAAAAGCUUUGUCUUAUUCGUAAGUGAAAGCUAUAGAAUAAGUUAAUGGAGCCGUAAUUUGUGGCUAAUUGUUUGCUUAAACUUGAACCUUGAUAACAUGUCAUUGUCAUAGCUUUUGAUUUAUUACAAGUCAAAUUAUUCACUUGGUUCCAUCUAAUUCAAAGCCGAUGUAAGAUUAAGUUUUUGAUAAUAAUAAAAAUUUAAUUUCAAAUUUAAUUUAAUUCUACUCAUAAACAACUCCAAUAACGUAAAGUAUUUCAUCAAAUAAUUUAUUAAUUAUAAUAAGUUAUAUUUUGAUUAAAACCAAGUUGUCUAGAAAACUAGACCAUUGACUCCUCCUUUGGGUUUUUUUUUAAUGAAAUAAUUAAUUGAUUAUAUCAAUCAAAUAUUCAAAGGGCAAAGGUCCAUUUUCUAUCUAAUAUGGAAUGACAUAAAUCUACCCACUUCUUAAAUGUGUUAGUUGUUGAGUGACAAUUUAUAUUAUUUCUUUUUAAUUUGAUGAUAUCACGAAAUAAUAAUGACUAGCUUAGAGGAAGUUACCCAUCCAUGACAUGACACGGCAUCAACCAAAGUUCCAAAUUUUUUUAAUACAUGACACGACAUCAACCAAAGUUCCAAAUUUUUUUAAUCAGUCUUACCAUGUAGAAAAUCACCACCAGUGCAAAAUCCAUCCACUUCAUUACAUUUAAAAUUAAAAGAGAGAAAAAACACUAAUGGUGCGUAUAGAUGUACGAUACUUUUAUUUACAAUUAGUAUAAAAAUAGUGGUGACACUAAGAUUAGAUACAGUAGCAUGAGACAAAAAAAGCUAAACACACCGUACCACACCUUCAAAUCCACCUUAAAUUUGAUUAAUAAAUUUAUACAAAUAAUUUGAGAAUUCUAUCUUUUUAGAAUCCAAUAUAAUUUAUUUGGAAUUUCAAAAUUUUUAAAAAAUAUUUUAACUCAUCAAGAUGUUAGCUUUAUUUAUGCCAUAUACGUAGAUUGUCAUGUGUAUAUUACGUAAGCAAUUAAUUAAUUUUUUAAAUUUUAAAAACUCAAAAAAUAUAAAAAUUACUAAAAAAUUGAAACUUAUUAAAGAGCCUAAAAAAUAUUUUUAAUAUUUUUAUUUUUUUAAAAAUUAAUUAAUUGCUAACGUAGUCUACACAUUGACUGUCACGUGUAUGCCACAAUACUAAAGUUAACAUACGUUAAAUUUUCUAUCCAUUUUGGGUAAUUUGAAAAACAAUUCAAAUUCAAAUGUUAAAAGAGACGAAAAUUUAUAUGAAACGUUAAAAAUAAUAUUUUUUUUAUAAAGUCAGAGAGUCAAAUAAUUCAUUAAAUAAUUAUUUUAAUUAUAAUUGUAAUCUUAAACUAAAUCAAAAUAAAUUUAGAUAAAACUUAUAUAUUAAUGAGAUUUUGUUCGUAAUAAAUAUAAAGAGAACUUAUAUAUAAUUUACAUAAAGAAUUACUCCAACAUGUAGUCUUAAAAUUUUCAAAAUUUUAGGAUUAGUUUGGUUUUUAAAAAAAUAAAAAUAUGUAAAAUUAGAAGAAAAAAAAUAUUUUCAUCAUUUUCAUUAAACAUGUUCUGGAAAAAUGGAAAUGAUGAAAACCAUUUAAAAAAAGAAAAUACCUCUUAUUUAUCCUUCUUCAAAUCCGUUUUGAACUUUCUUCUUACAAAAAAAGUGGCUACAAGCUUAAUAGCCUAACAUUACAUUGGAGCACAACUUGAUGCAGGCUGAACUAGAUAUUAAAUAAAAAUAGUAAUUUUUUUAAAUAAAAAAAUAUUGAUAAGUUUAAAAUGGGCUUAAGUUAAUCAUUUACAAAUAUGAAUAGAUUUGGAUAAAAUUACAAGCUCAUAUUUUAAUCCAAUUAAGGGUCUGUUUGUUUACAUGUAAAAGAUUUUACGGUAAAUGCUUUCUGUAUUUUUUGUGUUUGUUUCACAGAAAACAACUUGGUCAACGGAAAAUAACUUAUAGAUCAACGUAAAAUAAGCUUUUUUUCUUGUAAAAUGGACUUACCCGUAAGUCAUCUUCCGGAAAAAAGUUCAUCUACAAGUAAUUUUAUUUUAUAUAAAAAUUAACUUAAAUCAAGCUUAAUAUUAUGAUAUUGAUAAUAAAUUUUAUUUUUAUUUUUAAAAUAUUAAUAUAAAAUAUUAUAUUUUAUAAUAUUAUUAAACAUACAUAUUUAAUUAUUUAUAUUUAGUCGUAUAAUAAAUUAUUUAAUAUUUCAAUUUUAUUUUUAAAAAUAAUAAUUUUAAAUAAUAUUCUUCACAUAUUAUUGAAAACGUUUAAUAUUAAUAUUUUAAUAACAAAUAUUUAUUACAAUUAUAAAUAUAUUAAUAAUAAAUGCUUUGUAGUAUAAAGGUUAAAACAUGUCAUGAGUCUAUAUGCUAUUCACUAAUUUGCAAUUUAGUCUCUAUACAUUUAUUUUUAAGAAUUUAGUCUCUCUAUUUUUCAGAUUUGAAAAUCAAGUCCAAUUGUUGACAUUGUUAAUUUUCUUUUGUCAAAAUUUUAAAUAAAAAAUACUCAAUUGGUAGUCAUAUAACUAAAAGAUGGAGUUGUAAUGAACCUAAAUUUAACAAAAUAUUUUUAAUAUAUGCAAAAACAAUGCAAAAUAUAAAUUUAUAGAUAUAAAAUAAAUUUAAAUGAACAAUGGAAAGAUAAGAAAAUCUCAAACGUAUGUUUGUUUUGUUAAAAACAACUUUUGUAAAAUAUUUUUAAGAAAUCUGUCAAACACUAGAAAUUAUUAACUUUUACAGGAAAGUAAAUUAUUUUACAAAAAUCAUUUUUCGGAAGUUAUUUUUUGAUAAACAUAAAGUGUGUUAAUAUCACACGUAAAUUCGACCCGAACUUAGAUUGGCCCAUUAACACCUGUAUCUCCAACCCAAACCAUGAUUUUAAAUAUAAAAAAAAACAAUAGUAAACAAAUAGCUUUUCAAACUAAAUCCUGUUUUUAAUUCGAGAUUUUAACAGAAACAGAAAAAUUAAAAAUUUGGUUGAAAUUACUUUUUAUCCUCGUUAAAGAAAUGUAAUAUAUCUUCUAUUUUAUAAAAUUAUAUUUGAAAUAAUUAUUUUAAUUUUUUAAAAAGAAAUAAUAAAUAUUAUCAAAAUUUUCAAAAACACAAAUUGUGGAGAAAUUAUCAGAGUGUGCAACCAAAACGAACAGUUUCGUAUUUCAGUUAAAAGAACAAAAUACUAAAUUGAAAGUUGAAUUUCUUUGCUCAUUUUCAACUAUAAAUGGUCAAAGGAUUAAUAUUAUAUGGUAUCUCAUGUCAAAAAAAAUUAUGAAUGCAUAUAUGGUUUGGUAAUUUUUUAAAUUUCAUAGAAUUUAAUAUUAAAGUACAAUUAAUUAAAUUAGAAUGUUCAAUCUUCUUUUCUUUGCAACUCAGUGGUACAUUUUACGUUUAUUUAUAAGACUAGCAAAAGAUUGAGUGUCCCUAUCAAAUUAUCAAUUUAGCAGAGGGCAGGUUUUUGGUUAGGUGUCUACACAGAAAAAUAAAUCUUUUCGAUGUCGACCCAUUUAUUUAUUUAUUUAUCAAAUUUACAAAAUUACCCCUUAAUUGCAACUUCCCCUAAUAAUUUCAAAGCAUAAUAACUUAUUCAGCCCUCCAACUUUAUAAAAAGAAAUCAUUUUAGCCUUUUGUUUAAUUUUUCAUUUUUUUUAACCCUUAAAUUCGUAUUUUUAUCAAAUCACCCUAAAAUGAAAGGAAAAGUUAACGUUUGUCAAUUUUGCUGACAUGACAUACUCGUGUAUUGCCACACGAAUAACACAUUAAUAUUUAAUUAUUUAUUAAAUAUUAAAAAAAUAUUUUUAAAAAUUAAUAAAUGUUAACAUGUCAUCCACGUGUAUGCCACAUUAGCAAAGUUAACAAAUGUUAACUUUUUCAUUCAUAUUGAGGUGAUUUAACAAAAAACAUAAACUUAAAGGCUAAAUAAGACAAAAAGUUGAAUAAAUGACUAAAAUAACUUUUACUAUAAAAUUAAAAGGCCAAAAAAAAUAUUAUACAAUAUGAUUCUUGUACAUAUAAUCAGAUUGUUAGAUGUAAGUGAUAUAUAGAGUUGAGGGAAAUUCCAAAUUCCAAUAAAAGUGAGUUCAAAUUUAUGUUUUAAUUUGCAAAAAAAUAUAUCCCAAGUAUGUGAAAUCUAAAAGGUUAUGAAUUAUUUCCCCUUUUCUCCUACACCCAAACGUCCCUUUCUAUCUUUUUUUUUUUUAAUUAGAACUUAAGUUUUAGUGACAUACAUAGAGCAUGGACAAAUCUAGUGGACCGUAUAGGGGUCAUGGCUACUCCAAAGAUUUUAAUUAUAUAGUUUUAUUACAUAUAAAUGCUAAAAUCCGGUCAUUGACUACCAUGACUUUCCUUUUACGUCUUCGUUUUGAUCCAUUCGGUUUCAUUCAAUUUCUUUGAGAUUCAUUGCAUGUUAUCCUAAAUAUAAUUUGGAACGUAUGUUUAAUAAUAAAAUAGGUGCAUGCAUUAAUUAGAUUUGGCGCAAAGGAAAAUAUAUAUGAAGUACAAUUAGGAAUAAGUAGUUCUCAAAUGCUAUAAAUAACACAAGGUUUGCGUAACGCCAAGUUUGCAAAUAUAUAUUGUGACUGUAGCAGUUGUUGAAGAGUUACAUUAACAUUUAACAUCUUCCCUAUUUUGUUGUUUUAUUCGGAGGUGGUGUUGGUUAUUAUUUGUAUUUUGUUACUUUUUUUUUAUUGUUUAAUAAGUCUUCGCUUUUAAAGUUUUUUUGUAUUUCUUAUACAUGUAGUCUUGCUUUUGCAAGUAAUUUUUAGGGAUGGUUUUGUCGCCAUCCUCUACAGUUUAGUGGAUGCUUGAAUUUUUUGUUGAUUUUUGCCCACUGCUUUGGACCAUCCAGGAUUGAUUUCAUUAUCGUAUUAAAUGCUUGUAACACUCUAGAUAUGUCGUGCUUGAGUUGUGACAGAGCCAAUUAUUAACGUGUCAUAAUAUUCUAUUAAUGCCAAGACUGAAACCGUUGUUGUAUUGAUGAAGCUUAUAUUUAACCGUUAGUGUUUUUUAUUUUUUUUUUCGAAUUAUAUUGUCCCAUUCAUAAUAUGAAAUAAUAAAUUUCUCUUUCAAAACAUCUUCCCUAUUUUUAAUAAUUCGUUAAGUCAACUUUUUUUAAAAAAAAUUGUUGUAAUUAUUAGAAUCACUGUUUAACGACAAAAUCGCCAUGUUAAUGAUAAUUAAAGCAACUCCAAUAAUAAUAAUAUAUGAAUAAAUAAAGUAAUUUUAUUUUUGCCACAUUAGUUGUUAACUUAAAAGAAGGAUGAAUAAUAAUGGAUUUGGAGAAACUUCAAUGUUAGUGGGGUUUGCAUGGAAAUUAUGUUGGAAAUGAGAAUAGAAUUCAUAUGACACUGAAAGAACAAACAAUAUGGAAUUCAUAUUUUAGUCUUAUUUAUUAUAAGUCUGCUCAAUUUCUCUUAAAUAUAAUUUUUUUUUCCAAUUCUCUAAUCUCACAAAUUUGUGCCGAUAAAAAAAUAAAAUUCCAUAAAAAUCUGAAAAAUAAAUAAAUAAAAAACACCCUUUGUUGUAGUCUUAGUUAAGUUGGAGCAUAUAUAAUUCUGAAAAUGUGAAAAGGUCUUCCCACACUGUUUGAUUCUUUCAAUCGGUCAAAAACAGUUUUGACUGGUUCUAUUCUAACUAAUUGAGCUAAAGUGUCAAUUUGUUUACAAAUAAUUCAUUCCCACCUUCAUAAGUUAUUUUUACUAAUUUAAUUACUCAAUUAUUUUUUUUUAAUAAUCUGUCCCACCAUUUUACCAACUACAAUUGCUUUAUAUUUUUAUUUUGAAAAAAAAGAAGAGAAGGAAUCUAUCUCUUUCUCCUUUUUAAUUUUAAAGAGCAUGCAUAAAGGAGACUAGAAUUCAAAUUUAGUAGAUGUUAUUUAUUUAUUAAAAAUAUAUGAUUAGGCUUUCACAAAUUUCUUGAGUUGACUUGGCAAUGCUGCAAUGCAUAUAAUAAUCAACAAUUUUAAUUUAUAUGGCACAUUGCUAAAUCAAAUUCAAGGUCUUUGUCCAUAGUCAAGAUCACCGCUGAAGACAGUCCUGUCUAUUUCACUACAGCUCAGAAAGGGUUUUGCUUUGAUUCUCCAAUUUUAGUCUCUAAAGAUAUGGGUAAAAAAAGAUGGAAAAGUAAAAGGAGAUUGAGAUUAAGUGGGGACUAUGCAUUAUAUAUAAACUUUUUGAGUUAGGGUUUUGGUUUAUCCAACAUCAGAAAGUUAAGCAAAGGGAUUCUUGAGGAUUCAUAGCUUUUAUAUAAUCAAGUGAACUUUUGAAUCUAAAAAAUAAAGUUGGCUUUAUGGAAGACAAGAACAUAUGUAGCUACAUGUGGUCUAAAACACCACCUUUUUUCAUUCGUUCAACAUUCAACAAAGUUUACCCAAAACAACAUUCAACAAAGUUCACUGAUUCACUUAAUUUUCUCCAGCUAAAAUCAUAAUAUAUAUAAAAAGAUUGCACUCAUUCAUUCUUCUUCUCAUGAUGCUCAUGUGCAAACUUUCAACCCCCCCCCCAAAAAAAAAGAAAAAAAAAGAGGGCUUGACUUCAAUGUCAAGUCUCUUAAUCUUGAUGGGUUUGUUUUUUUUUCCUACAAAUUGAUAUUUGUAGGCUAAUUGGUAUUUUCCUAGCCAAAAAUAAAAAUAAAAAUGCUGAGUUAGGUGUUAUCAGCUGGUCCUUUUGAAUAAAAAUAAGUUGGUCAACAGUUUGAAUAAUCUUGUUUAUGAACAGAAAAUGUUGCUUAUACUUUAUCUUUUUAUGACUCUUAUCCGUUUGUCAAAGGAGCAAGAACUGCUUCUGAAACCCACAAUUUUUAGGAUCUACUGCCGGGCGAUGACUGCUAAUAGAGUGGGGCUCAAAUUUAAUCAUUCAAUCUUUUUCUGUUAUAUAGAAUUAAGCAUAGUGGAUAUUUGGUGACUUAACCUAAAAUUAAGUUUGAUCCAUAAAACCCUUUUGUCCUUUUUCUUUUCUUUAAUCAUAUUCAAACUCAACUUUAAACUAGUUGAGUUUGAUUUUAAUUAAGUUUGCUAUUAUUUGUGGAAAUAAAAUUUUAAAAGCCACUCAAAUCAAGCCCUAAAUACUACAUGAGUUAAGUGAAUUUACAUAAGAAUAGCAUUUAAACUUUAGUUCAGCUCAGUCUCCUAAAGGUUAUUUAAUUUUUUUUUUCUAAGGGAGCUUUAUACACUUCUAAUAAAAUUUAUUAAUUUCAAAUUAAAAAACUUAUUACGUAUCUACUAUUUAAAACUAAUCAUGUGUUACAUUCUUAAUCCGUGAUAAAAAUAAUAAUUAAGCUAUGAAAUUUACACAUACCAUCACAAUUCAAGUUAACCAUGGCAUCAACAGGGAUGGGGCACAUUUUCAACAUUAGUGGCUUCAGCGACAAUACACUAGUCAUUAACUUGGCCACUGCAAGAUUCCAAGUUAAUCUAUGAUUAAUGUCUGCAGCAGAAUUCGUCCAUUUCGAACAUAUCCACAUGAAUCAAGUUGCUGAACGGUUCAUUGGGUAGGAUCUUUUGACCAAGUUUAUCCCAUUGGAUAGAACAUUAUAGGAUGGGCAAAAUCCAAAAAGUUUGAGCUGAACAUGCGGUUCAUAUAAUUGCUUACUUCGAAUGCGAACUAGUCGUUUCCUUGAUUGAAUAUUUGGUUCCGGCACCUUUCCAUCAUUUCCUUGAGCUUGUAUGUCACAAACUUUGAUUUGCUACGUGUAUAAUUCAACAAUCAAUCAACUAAACUGCAAACUUUUUAUUAUUGUAGAUAAAAAUGGAAUUUGAGGUUAAAUCACAAACUUUCAGGAAAACACAUAAAUAUUGGCAUGCCGGCGAAGUAGAAAUCUGAAGACAAUGCAGCAGAGUAAAGCAAAAAGCCAACCAGGCAACUUCUUAAAUGCCCAAUAUUUAACCAGGAUUGUGAGUUAGUCAUAAUUCUUGCAAAAUAUAAUGGAGAGUAAGCAAUAGUGCGACACCUUUCUCCUAUUAUAGUUCAAGAAGGAUUUGGCCAUUAAAAUUGGUGUCCAAGCUCUGGAUUUGAAACUUCCUUGGGAGAGAUUGAGAUCCUUAAAGGCAACUUGGUCUUGAAGAGGUAUAAGUAGGGCCGUUCACUGACCUGCUGUUUAUGCUAAAGCAGAAUCCGAUAUCCCCUGGAAAUCCAACUGCCAUUUUCUUGCCAAGGUGAAGGAACUUUGUCAUUUUAGCAUGCAAUGUUCUAUCAUCGAGGAAAUGUUUUCUUAUUAGACCAUGUGUUGUAGAUGCUCUAAAUUUAUGUUUUCACAACUUAGUCAUGUGAUCCUCUGCAUCUAUAUUGUGUAAGUUGGGUUUUUCAGUAGCAAAUGGUCGAAUGAAAAAUGGAGUUUAUUACUGCAUACAGGUAAACAAAUGUGUUGCAUCGUAAUGUUCUCAAGCAGAGCAUUUUUUCUUUCGGUAUCCACUGUCGGUUAUAGUGACUAAUUCCUCUCACUACGAGUGCUUUUCGAAGUGGUAAACGGUUGGUCAUAAAAUGUGCUCCACCGAACUCCCCCGAUCUCAUGAUUAAAGGAACAUCUCAUGUAAGAAUCACUUUAAUAUCUCACAUACAUUGAUAUUUCGGUUCUAUAUUAUAUAUCUGCCUUACUGAACUUUGCAUUUGUCCUGUUUUUGUCUUUUUGGCUUCUGAAGUUAUUUUUGUUCUUUUUCUUAAUAUUUUCUUAAUCCAGUUUUUGUGCAUUAUUGAUGUUACAGUAAUGGUGUUUCAAGAGCAAGUAAAAAGAAGAGGUUUUUUCUUUUGCUCAUCUCAUAAGCUUGUUGAUAUCAAGACAGCGUGCUCUUUUCUUACCUUAAUGAAUUCAACUUUAUUUUUGUACGUUUAUUUUAGAGCAUGAUACGUUAAGUCUCUGCACCAAAUUUUGACUUACAGCUGAAAGUAGGGUUUUACAAGAUUAGUUGUCCUUGAGCUGAAUCUAUAGUUAAAGCCGUUGUUCGAAGACGUUUAAACCGGGACAAGUCCAUCACUACCGCCUUGCUUCGCAUGCAUUUUCAAGAUGAAAUUAUUGAUAAAAUAAAAGGGAUAAUGAUAUAUUUGCCCCCUGAACUUUGGAUAAUCUUCUAAUGUGGUACUUUUACUUUCAAAAUGUCUAUUUUGAUACUUGUACUUUUGCACUGUUAAUCAAUCUAGUACCUUUGACAGACGACGUUAGUUUCUGGCAUGGCGAGACACGCGGCCCAGCUAUAAGUUCCCACAUUUCACAUUUUCCAGAAAAUAUUUUAUUCCCAAAUAAUGAGAGGGACCUCAAAUUAAUUAUACCAAAAAAUAUCUUAAGCAAAAAAGAAGUUUUUUUGGUCAUAUUUUCUUAUUUGAAAUAAUGCAUCAGGACCUAAGAUUAAAUAAUCAAAAAGUUUUUUUUUUAAAUCUUCACCUUUUUUAUUUUUUACCUUCAAAACUAAUUAUUUUUAAUUAAAAUAAAUCUGGGCAAAUCUGAAUGCUCUUAAAAUAAAUCUUUAAAUCUCAAAUAAAAUAUAUUUAAUUUAAUUUAACAUAAUUAAUAAUAAUUUUAGAAAACAUAAUUAAAAAUGAAAAUCCAAUUUUUUUCUCUUUUCUUCUUCUCCUUUUUUUGUAUAAUUUUCCCAUAAUUUUGACAGUUAAUAAUAUGGUUAAUUGUAUAUUGAUGCAAUUAAUAUUUUUGGUAUAAUUUACAUUUUCUCAUCAGUGAAAAUUUUAUUUAUCCAUGUAGAUGAAAAGUAAAAAGAAUUUGGUAGGACAAAGCUAUUUUUUAUGGGUGAGUAUUUGGUAAAUUGAGCAGUGUAUUUUUUUAUUCUAUAAGUACGUUUUAAAAAUUGACAUGUGUCUUUUCUUUUUAAAUAUCUAUUUUUUAAAAUCUUCUAUUUUACCCUAUAAGACAUUGGUCAACUCUUUAAUUCUAUUAACUCUACCUGUGGAGUCUAAAAGUGUAUCAAAUAUUUUCCCUUCUUUUAUUUGUAUUUAGGAUUAACAUUCAAAAUGAAUAUAUUUCUUUGUUAUAAAUAUUUUUGAAAAUAUAUUUUUUCAUACACUUGAAUUCAUACCUAUAAUCUAAUUUUACAUCAUAAUCUUGAAUCCCAAGUUGUAGCCUAUUGUCCGGGUGUUUAUUUUUUUCAAAAUAAUCUGGAUUCAAAUUACGAUUGCAUAAAACAAUAUACAAAUUAUUUUUAAAUAUAUUUAAUUUCAACCAAAAUGUGAGCAAAUUAGAUUAAUUCAAAGAUCUGUUAAUAAUAAAAUUUUUAAUUCUGACUUUCUAAUUUAUAUUAAAUAUUGUAAAAUAAUUUAUCCGACAGAAAAUCAUUAUUUUGAUAUUUUUUAUUUUUUAUUUGAUUAAAAUCACUCAACUGGAAACAAGAAACUUACUGCAAGCUUUCAAAUUCAAUCAUAUUGAUUUUAUGAUAAAAUCUUAACAACAAUUUUAGAUGUAUUUUAUUGUUUAUUAAAAUUGUAAACUUUAUUCUUUCUCUAAAACUAAAUCAAUGAGGCGUCACCCAUUCAAACUGCCAUUUGUUAAACAAUGAAGUGUGGCACUUAAUCUCCUUACUUUGUUUUUUUGUUAAAAAUCUUAUAUAAUAAACUGUCAGCAUCAACAAAGAUCACCUACUUUUUUGACAACAUACAUAAUGGUUCGUAUAAUUGCUAGCCUCGUUUUAUGACAUCUCCUAUGGCACCUUCAUUCUAUUGUAACAAGUUUACCCCAUCGAGUAGAACAUUACAGUCUGAGCAAACUCCUAAAGAGGACCAGCUAAACAUUCAUAAUGGUGUAUAAUUGCUUGCCUCGAAUGCCGACCAAUCAUCUCAUUUAUGACACUUCCCUUGGCACCUUCAUUAUAUUGUAAGGAAGAUUAUAGCAGCUAGGAUUCUUGCAUAUUAAUGAUGACUCUCCACGAGAUCAGCAAGAGUUAUCUUCCCGCAGUUGCCGACAUCCAGCCUAUCAAAUGUCUCGCAGAUCUGCAUGAUGUCUUUUUCUGAUACCUUCCCCAACUCCUUGAGCUUGUAUAUCACAAACUCUAAUUUGCUGCAUGUAUAAUCCAACAGUAAUACUUAACAAUUAAUCAACCAGACCUCGCACUUGUUCGUAUUGUAGAUGAAAAUGGAAUCUGAGACAAAUUUAGUAACUUAAAGCAUAACACAUAACUUUUGGCAUACAAAUUACCAAAAACAACAUUUUAAGAUGCAAAAUAUCGGAGGAUAAUGCAACAAAGUAGGUCUGAGAUAGCUGAUGAGCAUAUAAGCAGCAUGGCAAGAAGUAGAGCAGAAUAAGCAGUGGGCUUCAGUUUGUCCACAACAAAGCAUCUUGAAGAACAUGAAAAUUUAUGUAGGACAUUCUAGGCUUCUGAAAUUAGCAGGUCAAUUUAUUCAAUUCUUUUCGUGGUGAUUUUGAGAAUGUCUGAGCAAUUGGCUAAUAAAAAUUUUACAUAAUUAUCAUAAUUUAAUAGCAGAAUAUGAAGAAAUGAAAACCACUUCCAUUUGUAGAGGUUAUGUGUUAAAAGCAUUUUUGAACUACUGAGAAUCCCAUUUAUUAGUUUUACAAGCUUUCACUAAAUAGAUUUGUUCUAGGAUAAAAUAUGAACCAAGCAACUAACAAGUAUAUCAACCUUUCAACGUCUAAGCUUCAAGAGUUCACAAUAUGAAGAAGUAACCAAAUUUCGUAAAAAAAGAAAACAACAUACCUCACAAAACCAUUGUUAUCAAUAUCAGCAGGAAGAAACUCCGAAAUGGUCAGAUCAUGGUCAAGCACCCAUUUUGUCAUCUUCCUGUGCCUCUUACCCACUCUAGCCUCAGCCAAAUAUAGAAACGCUCGAGCGACGGCCAGAGUUGAAACGAACAACCAAAUAGUAGCAAAAAGCCGACCAGGCAACGUCUUAAAUACCCGAUCACCGUACCCGACAGUCGUGACCGACAUAACAGAAAGGUAAAAAGAAUCCAACCAUCCAAGACUCUCAACAAAAUGCAUAGCGCCAACACCAAUUCCAAUACAAAGAACCACAACUCCUAAUGCCAAUCCCACCUUCAUUCUUAUCCUCAUUCUCCCCUUCUUCACAUCAAUUAUGUAAGACCUAGUAGAAUCCUUCUUUUGACCUCCAUGUUGAACGGUUCUCAACAAGUAAUUCUCUUGCAAAUCAAGCACAUAACUAAUCAUACCACUAAGCAACAUAUCGAUAAAACCAAAUCCAACCAGCACAAAUAGUAUUGAAAACAAUUUGGUAGUCACGCUAUUAGGAGUGAUAUCCCCAUAUCCGAUUGUGCAUAUUGUGACGAUACAAAAAUACAGCACAUCAACAAUCGGAUGAGUUUCAUGACCCACAAAAUUAGAACGAUUAAACCAAUAUAUGAUAACACCCAAUGACAAAUACAGUAGCACAAGCACAAAAGCUUGCCUUACAAUCGAUGGAGAACCAAAUUGAGGCUUGGGAAUUGUAGGGUGGAUGAUAUCGUUUAAAACUGCAAUGGCAGGUGCUGUUUUGGACCUGUGGAGAUUGGUUCCCAUAAAUUGGAAUAUUUACUGCCCGAUAAUUAGGGGUGUCGAAAAUUACAUUCCUGGAAUUUAGUUCCCAUAAAUUGGAAUAUUUACAAAGUGCAGUUAAUUAGGUUUCGGUUAAGCGAAUUUAUUAGAAUUAAAAGUAAUUAGAUAUAAGGACUAAAUUGUGUAUAGGGUAAAAGUUGAAUUAUAGAUUAAAAAUAAAUUAAAGGGCCAAUGUAGUAAUUAUACGUAUAUUAUAAAAAAAUGUUAAAAUAUGUUAUCUUAAUAAUUAAGUAAAUGUGUAUAUAUAUUAUAAUAAUAAUUUAAAGUAUAAUAAACAAAUAGAUAAAAAAAAAAAGCUAUACAAAUUAGAAAGAAAAGAAAGAAAAACAGAAAGAAGAUAGGAGAGAACAAACGGCUAAGGGUUCCAAUUUUUCAAAUUUCAAUUGGUUAAUUAAUUUGGUCUACUUUCUUGUAAUUUUUAUAUUUUUAGAAUCUUGAUAUUUAGGGUUACCCGACCCAUGUUGAAAUUUUAGCAAUUAUUAAGUUUUUAAGUGUUGUCAAUGUUGAAUAAUUUUAGUAUUAGGGAUUAAAUUGAUAAAUUUUUAAGCUAGAAAUGGAAAAGGAUUAAAUUGUAGAAUAAAUUGUAAAUUUUGAGUAAUAGGGACUAAAUUGUGAAAAAAUCAAAAUUUAGGAGUUUAAGUGGAAAUUGGGAGUUAAAUUUAGUUUAAAGUGGAUUUGUAUGAAAAUAUAGAAUUAAAUGCGAAGAAUAAAAAAUUAGCCUCAGUUUAGGGACUAAAAUUGGAAUUUAGACAAAUAUUGAGUAAAAUUUUAAAUAUUCAAUAUUCAAUAUGAAAUUGAAAUUUUAUUGUAUUGAUGAAUUUUAAUUGUUUUAGUUUCGUAGCUAACGUCGUACCGGAAUCCUCGACUAAAAAUGGGAAAGAUAAAAUCGACGUCGAAUAGCUCGGAAUUCCCGAUUUGUAUUUCUAUAAUCCGAACUUAGUUGUUAAUUAUUAUAAUUCAAUUUUAAUGCAUAUAGUAAGUGUUGAGGUGAGUAAUUGACAUUUUGAUAAUUGAUUGAAAUGGAUUGAAUUGAUAGAUACAUAUUGAAUGUAUUGAUUAUUGAAUUGAAAUGAAUAUAUGUGUUAAUGUGAAAGUUGGAUAUUUAUUAUUAUAGAUUGAAUUUAAUUCAUGUGUAUAUAUGUGAUUAGAAAAAUUAGUAUUGGAUAUUGGUUUUAUCUGAAAUGUGAAAUUAAACCCUAUUAACUGUAUUGGGCUGAGUCGGAUAUAGAUGGCAUGCCAUAGGAUAGGAAGAG
RNAcentral lists this long non-coding RNA (98351 nucleotides) under Gossypium barbadense (sea-island cotton). RNAcentral's name for it is "long non-coding RNA (GBAR_LNC016082)". Lineage: Eukaryota; Viridiplantae; Streptophyta; Magnoliopsida; Malvales; Malvaceae. The record is from RNAcentral.